UUAACUCUAAACAACAUUAAUUUUACUUCCCUACACCCUCAACUCUAAACCCUCCAAAACUAUAAUAUUCCCCAAAACACAAUAUGAAUAUAUACCACUUGGCCCAAAACCACCUCCUAGGGUUUUUUAGUGGCUUCUCAUUCUAUGGUGUUUUAGGGGUUACGUACCUUACCUUCCUGAAAUAUUCACGAGGGUUUUUUUUAUUAGGGGUUUCUCUUUCUAGGGUUUUUAGGGUAAUCGGGGAUAGUUCUUAACCAGCGCGGUACUGCCACAAGCCAAAGCCUUCGGCGGAAUCAUUCCCACCAUAUGAACUCCUUCGGCAAACACAACUCCCAUUCCCAUAUGCAAAUGAGGUUCAAUAUGGCAAUGGAACGCCCAAACACCUGGGUUAUCCGCCACAAAUCGAAUCGCCGUCCACCCAUAUGGGAAAAUCACCACUGUGUUCCUCAACGGUGGAUUUUUCAAAUUCAGUUUCUUCUCAUCCUCGGGGGCGUAAAAUUUCCCCUCUCCAUACCCCAAAACCCAAAAAUCAUGGCCAUGCAAAUGCCAAGGGUGAAUCUCACUCAUAUUGGGGUUUAACAUAUUAGCGUUUUGUAGAAUCACAUCUACCGUUUCCCCCAUAUUGAACUUGUAAACGCCGUUGCCCGUUGUCGUUUCAGGGUUCGGCGGUGGGUUGUUGAUGUCGUAGUUCAAUGGGAAUGUUUCUGGUGGUGGAUUUUGGUUGAAGGCAGUGUUUAGCCUCAUUUUCAUGGCGGCGAGGUACGGCGUUGGAGGGAGAGCUAAAGAGACAUUGUUGAUGGCCCAUUUCAUGAACCCGUUUAUUCGAUUUUGGGUGUUGAGGAGGAAGAGUCGGCGGUUGUAUCUCACCGGUGGCUUUGGACUGCCCAUGGCAGCGAAGAUUCUGAAUGUGAAGUUUUUGCUCCGAUCAAAAUCCUCCCAGUGGGGGGUUUCCGGAGGUGGAGAAAUGGGUAAUUUGGAGGCGGAGUUGGGGAGGUAAUUGAGGAGGGUUAGUCCUGGAGGGGUUUUGGGUAGCCGUGCGCGGACGCCGAUGGAUACCCAGUAAUUUUCCAAUGGGUUUUGGUCGGUGGUAAUGAGGACGGAGUAUGACUCGCCGGAAUAAAUGUCGAUGUCGGAAGUGACAAAUGGUUGAACGUAGUUGCCGUCGGCUUCUACCACUAACAGUUCGUGAUUCUGCAGAAGAAGAGGAGAAAAUAAUUAUUAAAAUUAGUUUUAAAUUCAUGGAUAAACAUUAAUGUUGAAAGUUGAAGAUAUUAUUUAGUGAAAAAUUAAAGUUUAAAAAUCUAAAAUUAAAUGGAAAUGAACAAUUUGAAACUUAUAAACUAAAAAGGAGAUUAGAAUUUUUUGUUCAUAAUUAUUCAAGUUUACUUUUGAUUAUUUUUAUUUUGAUUUUCAAUUACUAGUUUGAAGCAUGAAUAUGAAUUAUUAACAUUCUAACAUGCAAUUAUUCUAAAAAGGACAAAACAAAAAUGAAAUUUUGAUCCAUUUCUUUCACCACUGAAAAAGGCUAAGAUUUUGUUUUGUGUAAUUAUUAUGUGCAUAAUUAGAGAGAGAUGGACCUCAUUUUGUUAUACCUUUGACAAGGAAUUAAAUAAAUCUUCAUACUUAACAUACUAUAGAUUUCAUUUAAGUGUAGAAAGAUUUGUAUUUAGUACUCUACUUUUUUAUUAUUUUUCUCCCUUUCCUUUUUUGUUUAUUAUUAUUAUUAUUAUUACUUUCUUUAUAAUUUUCUUUUAAAAAACUAUUCUAUAUCACCCAACUUUUAUAAAUAUUUACUAAUAUAACAAAUUGAUAUCGAUCUAUCAUCUAACUUAGUCUAUCAUAGUCCAUUUUCCAUAAUAGAUAAAAUAUGAAUUUUGCUAUAUUUUGUAAAUAUUUUGAUUUAUUUUAUUAUCAUCUAAAUUGAAUUUUAAAAUAAUAUUUUAUUAUUUUUUUAAUAGUUUUUGUACCCUAAAUUUAAUAAUAUAUUAUAAAAUCUUGUUUAGAAUUUUGUUUCCUAAAGUAUAAAUGUAGAUCCCCACCACAGUACAUCUAGAUCUCAAACAUUUAUGUGGUAACCUUCAACUUUAACAAUUAUUCCAUAAAACAUCUUCCCCAUUAUUAAAAUAAAUGAUAAAAAAAAUGAGGCAAUAGUUUAGAUAUAAAAUCAAAAGAUGGGAUAAGAUCACAUAUUAUUUUAAUCAAAUUAUACAAAUUUAAUCAUAGUAGUUGGGAUAAUUUUAGGAGUUAGUUCCAUAGUUUAUAAAUUACAUAUAUUAUUCACAACUAUUAGCAUUUAUUUCAUCUAGAAAGAAGCAUUAAAACUAUUUAUAAUGUAAAAUCACCUUGGUACCUCAAGGGUCACAUCAAUAAAUAAGAAUAAGAUAUAGUAAAUAAUAUCACUUAUGCUUUACAAUUUCUUACAUAUUUGUUACUUCUCAAGUGGGUUUAUAUAUGUGUGUGUAUAUAUAUAUAUAACUAAAUAAAAGUAUGAUUAAAAUUCUAUAUUAAUAAAAGUACAUAUAUAGAUAUUUUAAGUUUAAGAGUAACAAUCAACUCUCAAGUAAUAUUUUUAAAACAAAGUGAAGCAUUUAAGUGUUAUAUAUAUAAUUGGAUUAGAAAAAGAAAAGAUAAAAAGUAAUAUGAAUAGGACAAGAAAGAUGGGAGCAAAACAUGUGGGAUACCUAAGAGAAGAGUUGGUCAAUGGGAAUCACAUCAUAUUAUCAAUACCAAUAUGUCCAAAAUGUCAGAAAUGUUAGAUUAGGUUAUCUAUUGUUUGUACUCUCCCAAACACUGCUACAUGUGUUUAAAAGUAAAUUUAAAUAUUAUCUCUUAAAUUGCUAUUUUUAAAUACAAUGAAAUAUUAUUAUAUUAUAAAAUUUUGUUAUAUUUAUAAAUAUUUAUGUAAAAAUUUAUAUAUUAAAGGUGGACGUGGAUUAAAAUAGAAGAGAUUUAAUGUAAAGUUUAAAUAUCAAAACGAAUAUUUUAAAGUAUAAUGUGAUAUAUUAUACUCCAGAAUUCAAACCCUAAUAUUCUUAUAGUCAAUUUUGAAAGGAGGGUAAAGUUGAUAAAAUGGCUUUUGAUUGUUUGGUAGCUAUUAUUCUCACUAGUGAAAGAGAAGUUUGUGUGUUUUGGUUAGUUUCCUCUCUCUCUCACACACACACAUAUAAUAUAUAUUUGCUUUCACUAACUACUCCCACUUUUAGGACUUUAUGAGUCAAAACCUUUGAAAUUAUUGGAAGUAAUUUUCAAACAAAAAGCAACUUUCAUACUUCUAACACCUUUUUAACAUAUGGUUUGAUAAAGCUUAAUUAUUUCUUUUGUACAAUUUGUCAUUGGAUGGAGUUACUUUAUCAUGUUUCUUUUAGAUUCAUUCGUCGUGAUUGAAAUUGAACUACUUAUUAAUUUACUCGUUGAGGCUAUUUGAGUGAUUUUUGGAUGUUUAAUUGUUUAAAUUUGAUGAUUUUCGACUGUAAUAUCGAUUUAGAAAGUUUAUUUGGUCAUUACUAAAGGUUAAAUAUCUUUGAAAACUGCUACAAUUAUUUAAAAUUGAAAGAUUAAAUCAUAGAAAAUACCUCAAAAUUGUCAUUUGUUUAAAAAAAAUUAUACCUUCAAAAGUUUAAUACAUACUAAACGUGGAUGGAAUGAAGGUGCAUCGAACUAUACACCAAAACACACAUCCAAUGCCAAAAGUGAAAAUAUUUCAAAAUUACUACGAAAUAUUUACGAAGGGUUAGAGGUAACACUUGAAGGUUUCAAUAUUACUUCUAACUUUCAUAAAUAUUUUAAAAUUUCCUUCGUGACAUGUUAAUGAUGUGACAGUGACCCGUUUUAUUACAUGAUUUCAAGUUUAAUUUUAUGUAUAAGUUAAUACAAUCACAAUAGUUUUGAAAAGACUAGAUACCUAACUUCAAUAUAAGAUAAUUUUGAGACAUUCAUGCUAACAAUUUUGUUACUAAUUUUUUAAUGUAUUUAGUCUUUAUGUUUUAAUCCUUUACCGUUCGAUAAAAAUUUCAUUAAAUAUAUUCAAUCUAAUUUAAAGAUUUUAUCGAAUCAUAAAAACUAAAUUCUACUUUUUUUACGUGAUACGACUAAAUUUGUGACUUAAACCAAAAUGAAAGAUAAAAAGAAGCAAGACUUACUCCAAUGGCAAAGUUGAGGGAAGCCAAGGCAGUGGUACUAGCAAUUCUUAUCCGAUAAGUUUUCUUGGGUUGAACAUGUAGGAUAAAUGGUGCACAUUUUUCUUUUCCACUCAACUCACAUUGCUUCAAACCUUGGUUGUAUUUGGCUGCUAUUGAACAGUCAAAUUGCCCUUUCCCAUUUAUCAAUAUGCUCUGAAAAAUAGUAAAAACACACAAAUAUACGAAGUUACAAUAUUAUUCUUGAACAAAUGUGAAGUAUAUAUAUAUAUAUGCAGAAUUUUAGAUGGAAAUUAAGACUGGAGAUGAAAUGUAUGGUGUUGGCAUGACAAAAUUUUACUUUAUCUUAUAUUCUCCCUAAAUGAAUUUUCAAAAUUUCGUAUUUUGUUUGUGUUAUAUAAAUUGAAUAUAUUUCAAACAAGGGAGGAUUGAUUUUGAAAGUGGGAGAAUAUAUAUAUUUUCUCCAAAUAUUUUUUUCUUUUGUUAGGAGCUAUGGCUUAACUUAGUACAUGUAUAUAUAUAUGUGUGUGAGAAAAGAUAUACAUGUGUUGUUUUAUCCUUGUAGUUUGAACAUGGUGUUCUUUUAAUUAGAUUAUACAUUAGAAAAUUAUUGAAAAAAUAUUACAUUAUAUUGAUAGAUGUUGAUAAAAUUCUAUCAAAUUCUAUUUGUGCAUUGAAAUUGUGAUCAAAUUUAAAAAAAUUUAUUUUUAUAAUGUAUUGGUUAAUUUUGUUUUUUAAAAAUGUUCGAUAUAUAUACUUAUCUUUUAUACCUAAACAAAGAAUAUUUUAAUUUAUUAAGCUUUCUUUUUAAACAGUGGAUUAUUAUAAGAAAAAGAAAGAAAAGAAAAGAAAUGGUCAUUGAAUUAGUUAAUAAUUUAAAUUAAGGAAAUUGAUUUAAGGGUAAGAAGGACAAAUUAUAUACCCACCAACCUCUCAAGUCUAUUCAAUCUACUAACUUUUCUUUUUCAAUUUUCAAAAUGCUUUAUUUAACAAAAAUAUAUUUUUUUUAACAAAUGAAAGCAGAUUCUUGAAAAAAAAAAUAGAAUGAAACUACUUACGAAAUAUAAAUAAUUUCGUCACCUAUUCAACGUUAUUCACAAGUUUGUAUGCAAAAAUAUAAAAUAAACAAAAUUCAGAAUAUGUACUUACUUACAAGUUUAAAUAAUCACUGACAUACAAAACCUAAAAAGUUAUGAACACUUAUUUUAUAUUUAUAACAAUUGAAGUCAAUUAUUUAUCUUGUUAUCAAACAAAUAUAAACCAAUCAUACAUUGAAAUUUUCAAGUCAAACAGUACAAGAGAUGAAGAAAAAAAUGAUCACACACACACACACUUCAAGAAGAGGAAUGGAAAAGGACAGAGGAAAAAGAAUAAUUGGUGGAAUAGUGGUUUUGGUUGUGUAAAGCAAAUUUCAGCGAUGCAUUUUUUCUCAACUUUUUCUCAUGUGUAAUAAAAUAGGAAAGAAAACAAUUAACUUUAAAAGUGGUUUGUUGAUCAUCGUCAUUUAAACAAUAAUAUCCAAAUCUCAACUUUACAUAAUGAAUAACACUUCUUGAUUUUGAAAAAAAAAAAACAAUUAAUUUUUACGCUUAAUUAUGUUAAAAACUUUGUGUUGAAAAUGUGUUUUAAAGUUAUAAAUAUGUUUAAUUAUGUGUUAAAAGUACAUCUUUAAUUUAAAGUUCUACUCGUUACAUCAAUCUCCAUCUUUUUUAAAUUAGUAAGUAGGGAUCUUUUUGAAAUACAAAAGAACAAAAAUUAAACUUUUCUAACCAGUUAGUGAAAAGAAAUUAAACUUUUCAAAAUUAGAGGCAUGUUUCAAAAGCUAAUGAGUCUUCUUUUUUUUUCCUAAUUUAACUAAAUACUAAUAAAUGAUUGUCAAUUCAUAGUUGAUAAAGUAGAGAUGGACCAAUUGACACUACUUUAUUCAUACAUAUUGUCAAAAAGAACUAAAAAAAGAAUACUUAGUUGGUAAAGCACUAAUUACCUGAGGCUCACCAAUCCAACGCAUUGGUUUGGAGCUGAGACCAACUUCUUGCUUGUGAACACUCUGAUGCCACCAAUCACUAAGCAAUAAGUUGAUCUCUUCGUCAUAAUGGAAUGGCUCAGAUCUUCCUUCUGGUGGAUCCACUAUCAAAGAUCCAUACAACCCAGCCGAUCUUUGCAUCCCUAAAUGGCCAUGAUAGAAAUAUGUCCCAGCCUACAGUAAAAUAUGAAUAAAUAUUAUAAAACAACUUGCAAUAUUUCCUAUGGACUCAAUACGUUUUAAACCCUUCUUACCUUAUCUACCACAAACCGGUAAGUGAAGGUCUCACCCGGGUUAAUGGCACACUGCGAGAUGGAAGCAGUGCCAUCAGCCCAAGGAGUACCUCGUUGUAGGAUUCCAUGCCAAUGAAUAACAACACCUUCAGUGUGGAGCUUGUUAGUUAGCUCCACAACGACGAUGUCGCCAGCGUUGGCUCUAAUCGUCGGUCCAGGGAACUCGCCGUUGAUUCCCAUAACAAUGUUUUCAACACAAUCUGGCGACCAAAACAUGUACUCAACAUCCCAUUUGUAGUGUUUUAUUUUGGGAAAACCUGCCUCAGAGAGAGUUAUUCCAAAUCCAAAAAUGAUUGACAAAACAAGGAAGGAUAGAAAAGGCUUGGGGAAGAAAGGCUUAUCUGCAACUUUUGCCAUUUCGAAGGGUUGAGGAGAUGAAAGGGAAGAAUAAUGAUGCAAUGAGGAAAAAGGAAGAAAGGAAAAAAGUGGGAAGUUUGUGUGUAAGAUGCCACUAGAGUUUGCAAUUUGCCUCCUUUUUAUAAUGAAAUUUUGAGAUAUUUUGUUUACCCACUCCCUCUCUUUCGUUAAGUCAAGUGGUUGAUUUUAAUUCUAAUUUUCAUUUUUAUUUUCAUUUGUUGUGUGUGUGUAUAAUAUAUAUAUAUAUAAAUAUAUAUAAUUAAUUUGUGUGUUUAUACUUUUUUCUUUAAAAAAUUACUACAAAAGAAAUGGAAACUGUCUCUCAAUCAAUCUCAGACCUAUAUGAAAUGAGAGACAUCUAUGGAAAGAGAUUAAAUUCAAAUGUAGGACCCUAUAAAUGUUGAUCUAUAAUAAUUAAAUUAUAUAUAUAUAUAUAUUAGGUUUGCUAUAUAUAUACACACACUAUGAAAGAUUCCAUUUAUCUUUUAGGUUGUUUGUUUUUUGGAUCUAGAUAAUAAUCAAAGAGCUAGUUGUUUCAAUGUUUGGAUGUAUUUAUUUGACUAAGUUAUAAAGUAAUGCUUGAAAAUAUCAAUAUUAUUAGUUAUGUUUGCUUUGUAAAAUUUGUGUGCAAGAAAUAUGUGUGUUGAGAAUUAUGUUAUAUACCAAGAUUGUUCAAACAAAUUUUAGGCAACUUAAAUUAACAAUAGUUCGAUACAUUGUUAUGGAUACUUUUUGGGUUAAAGUAUAAAAUCGAUAUGAUGAUAAAUAAGAGAAAGUCAUCGGGUGAUCAAGAAAGCAACAAUAAAUAGGGGCUCGCUAUCCGGCCAAGAUAAUAAAAUUGGCUUAAAGAAAAGAACUAAUUUGUCCCGAUUGGUUUGCUUCGACCAAGGCUGAACCUACACAAAACAUAUAUCGUUACAUCCCAUGCAUGAUGUGAGCUCACACACGAGCCUUAAGAAGAGGAUUGACUUGACCUAAAACCACUUCGAUCGACUCUACUUUGUCCUUUGUGAAGGCUUAACUCACUAAGUCAAACCUAUUUUAAUGUUCUAGAACAAAUUAAAAGAGAAUAUUUAGAAGCUUAGGAAAACACUCUUCCUAAUUAAGGAGAGGAGAAUCCAAUCACCCGCUUUAUAAAUAAGAUGGUAAAAAGACAUAAAAUGUUAGUCGUUCUCUCUCCAGUAACAUCAUACUAUAAUAAAAUCUUUAGAUCAUUUUCCUUGUUUUAAGUAACAAAGUGUGUGACGCCCUAUAUCAUACCAGUGUGUCGUUCUUGCUAAUUAACUCGUAGUUGAUCUUCUUCACCAAAAUAUAUAUUUAUCAUAGUUAUCGCUUUGAGGUCAGAUCAUUUUACCUGCUCAAAUUUUAGAAAAUUAUUUAAAUUCAUUUAACAUGUUUUCUUCGUGGUAAAUUUAUUUAUUCAAUAUUUUAAUAUUUUAAUUUUAUAUCAAUUAGGUAUACACUAACUUUAUUGGUUGUUAAAUUUUAUUUAUUCAACUUUACUUGAUGGUGAUGGUUUUGUAGGCCUUCGGGCAUUUUGGUUCUUUAAUCAAUGAAGUUCUUUUGAAUAUACAAUAUAUGUAUGUUGUAUAUAUAUGAUUUAUUAAAUUGUAAUCAUUUUCAAGAAAAGACAAUUAAUAUUUAAUUAUGAUAGUUUUAAUAGAUCACGUUUAUUUGAUUGCAAGAUUAUAAUUUUUUGUGUGAUUUUUUAGUACAAAACAUUGACUUACUCAAUUAUCCAUCUCUGAGUCGGUAACUAAUCUAUUUUUAUCUCAAUUGAACUAUAUUGAGUUGAAUAUAUAUAUUUAAUAAUUUAAAUUUUAAAAGUAAAAGUGGAUAAUUAUAUCAAAUAAGAAUAUGAACAGUUGGACACUUAUGAAAUCUAGUACGUUCAUGUUUACAAACUCACUUCAAUUCUUUGAAGAAAAAAAACAAAAUACAUGUUUAAUAUGUUAAGGCUAAACUAUGAGUUUUGAUCCCUAUAAUUUGAAUAAUAAGGUUAAAGUUUUAGUUCAUAAAAUCAAGAGUAAUUUAUUAUCAUCUAACAUAUUGAGGGGAUAACCACGACUACUUUACUAUGUUGAAAUUAUUAAAAUGUUCCCAAUUUCUAAAUUAUGUUAUUAAAUACACAUUGGAAACAUUUCAUUCAAAUUUUUUUAUUUAAAUUUUGUGUUUUCAAAUUUCUAUUUUCAAACUGUCUUUAACCUACAUAUUCAUUUAAUAGAUAUUUUAGAUUUUUUCCAAACAAACAACUUCUUUAUUUAUAUGCUUUGUUCUGUGUUUGUGUUUGCAAGUUAAGUUAACGAUUUGUUGUAUUUAACAACAUUCAAUGAGUCAAAAACUAUAUCUAACUUAAUUAACGAAAAGUAUAUAUCACUUCGAUAAAAAAGUGAAAUUUCAUAUCCUUUUCUUUUCAAAAAUCAAGCAGGGUAGGUCAUAUCAACACGCAUUUUUUUAAAAUAUUGUUGUUUCAAAAAGAAAAUAGUAAAAUAUGGUUGUUGGUAAGAUAUACUUUAUAAAAGGAAUAAAAUAACUGAAAUUAUGAACUAAAACAAAUGUAAGGAUUGGAGUGGGGAAAUGGUGAUGUUAUAUAAAAUAUAGACAAGUUGAGACAAAAGUAAGGAUAAGAAAAAGUGCAUCAAACUUUUUAAUUUUCAAAAAUCAUUCUAUUUUUCUUUUUAUAAUAUAUAUAUAUAUUAUAAAGUUCUAAUAUUUAAUAAGGUAAAUCCAUGUAUAUAAUCUUGCUAUUUAUUUUUAAACUCUCUAACCACCCAUUAUCGAUUGAUGGAUAUAAAAUUUUGAAUAUACAAGAAUUGAAAUAUUUAAAAUCCUAAAAAUGUUCAUUUUUGAAAAUUGGUGAAAUAUAAAAAGUAAAUGUUUGUGUUUAUUUUAUUAGUUUUUGUUUACAAUAAUUCUUCUAAAUUAAAGGUAAUUGUUUUUAUUAUAAGAUUGAUCAAAGUUAUGUUUAUAAAUAUAGGAAUAUUUUCAUUAGCUCUCUUAUCAAUAAUAAAUAUUUUAUUAUUUAGUUUAUAUUUAAUUAAUUAAUAAGGAAUAUUCUCCCUAAAAUUAGUUUACAAAUUAACUAAAAAGUAAUCAAUGAUUAACUUUCUCUCUCCUCUAUUGUUCAUUUUUCAAAGAAAAAUAGGUCUAAUCUCCAAUAAGAACAAUAAUACAAAUUAAUUCAAAGUUUAUACUCCAUUAUGAUACUUUUAUAUUUGGAUAAUAAUUAUCUAUUUAUUAAAAUAAAUAUCCACCGAACAAACGUUAGUUGAUGAGAGAAUACAUUUUCUUUUAAACAUUUUCUUGAAAAUGAGUUUAAAUUUAAACAUUUACAUGUUUGAUUAGAUUUUUUUAUGAGUGUUUAUAUAUGAAUUUUGUUUAAUUUAUCUUAAACCAAAAAUGUUUAUACUUAACUCAAAUUAUACCAUAAAUGACUACUAAACAGUAUGACCUAAUUUCAUAAAAAAUACAUAUAUUUUAAAUUUAAAAAAAUAUAUAUACUUUGAAAUUAAUGGCACAAUCUUUUGGAACUAAUUGUUUUAAAAUUUUGAAAUUAGUAAAGUUAGAACCAAAAACAUUAUUUUUUUAUUACUUUUUUUAGAUAGUUUUAUUUUAGAAGUAGAGGUAUACUGAUAUCUAAAUUCAUAAUCAAGAUAAAAAAUAAAAAUAAAUAAGAGAAAAGAAAAUUAAUAAUAACACCAGAAAUAAAGGGAGCUUGAUUUAUUAUAUUGUUUUAGUAAUUAUUCAAAAUAAAAGAAAGAAAAACGUGAGAUAAAAAUUGCCAAUUUUUCAACUUUAAUUUAUAAAAGUUUGGUUUUUAAUGAUUUCUUUAAAAUGAAUUAUUUUAUAAACGAUUUUUUUAAAAAAAUGCAUUAUUCUAAUUUUUCAUAUACGAAAUUUUUUUUUUACAAAAUUAAACACUUCAAAAUCUCAAUCAAACACAUCAUAAUUCUUAUUAAUUUUUAAUAAACUUUUUGUCGUUUGUAAUUAAGUGUGUUUAUUUAUUUUAUUAGUAGUCUUCAUCUUUUUCUAAUUAAACAAUUUUAGUUCAAUUUUAACACGAAAAUAAGUUUUAAAAUGAUAUAUUAUCAUACCAUGAUUUUGUUUGUGACUUUUUAUAAAAUUAAAUAAACCAAGUGAAGAAAUCAAUAUUAAUUUUCUAACCAUAUUUUUAAAACAAUAAAGACCCAAAAACAAGUUUAAUUACUCUUUUAUAACUAGCAAUAAACUUUUUCUUUAGUACUAAUUAGCAAUAAAUUAUUGAGUACUGUGUUUACAUUAUUCGAACUUAAAUUGUGGUAACAUUGGGUCCCAUUUCUACUUCUAGGGCUUAUUUGGGUUUUCAUUACAAAUCACAAUUUACACUUUUGUUAACCUAAUUUUUUUCUACUCUUCUUUCUUAAGGUCAAUUUUCAAUUAGAAAGUUUCAUAAUAUAUAUAUACACACACUUCGUUUUUCCAACUUUUUCACAUUUUGGUACUUUAGAAAAUAAUAAUAAAUAAUAACUAUGUAAUUUAAAAUUUUCUAUUUGUCCACCCUCGUAUUUUCGUAGUUGUCGAUCAUGACUGAGUAUUUAGCUAUAAAAAGGAUUAUCCAAUAAAUCAUCCAAAAGAGAGUGAUUUUAUUUAACAAAGUAUGGUGGCCGACUCAUCGAUUCAACAAUUAGAAUGACUAAAUAGAUAAUUAAUUUGAACUGAUUAGAAACAUAAAGGUCAACUCUGAGACAAUCAACCAUCAAAGUUAAGAAAAUCAAUUAUGUGGAUUUCAUGAAGGUCGACUCAUAGGGUUAGUUAUGGUAGACAAAUAUAAGGCCUAAGCAUGUAGAUAAACCCAUAGAAAUCAGAGUGGCUAUAUAACGUAAGAUCAAGAUCAACAUUACGAAGGCAAAGAUUAUUAUGCCUAAAUAAGUGUUUUACUUUUACAUAUGUUUGGGUCAUUAGUAAAGUAAAUCCACCACUUCAUAGCGGCUAAGUAACGAUUUGAUUAAUGAAUCAAGAAGUUAAUUAGCAAAUGGUCAUUACAAAUACGUUGUUUUUUUAUAAACAACAGGGUGCAUGAUGCUUGUUCGCUUCCUCUGAACAAGCUUUGAAAAUUCAUGGUUGGUACCGAAGUUUGGUAUUGAAAAAGUAUAAAUAAUUGUUCAUAUUACUUUUGUUCAUAUAAUGUCAUAAAAGGAAUAUUUAAAUGCGUGACAUAAAAGACAAUAACAUAUCAUCAAUUGAGGAGUCAAAUCACCCAUGGAAGAAGUAUUUAUGACAGUGGUACCACAAAUUUCAUACACCCGAUGUUAGCAAGUUCCAAGAUAUGUUAGUAACUCGUUGAAACAAGAUGCUUUUUACAAGAAGCUUUUAGUUCUAAAAUGGAAUAACAAUUUAUUAUUUAUUUGCUUUUAUUUUAAAAUGAAAGUAACAUAUCUUAUUUAGGAAAAUUAAUUUUGAUAUGAAUUUAUAAAUUUUCAAGUCAUUGAAAAAAUACUUUUUUCUAAAUUUAAUUAGGGUUUUAAUCCAAUUUAUUUUGUAUCUAGAAGUUACAAAAGGUUACAUUCUACGUUGAUGGAGUAAAAAUUUCAAAUUGGUUUGAAAAAAAUAUGGUAAGAAAACUAAUUAAUAAUUAUAAUUCUUCAAAAUUAAUUAACAUUAACAAUAAGUACCAAAGGGGUUAUUUAGUGAAAUUAAAUUUAAUUUAAAAGUUAGCCGCAAAAUGAAAAUAAAAACUUAAAACUUGGGUAGAUAUAUAAUAUUUUGAAACUUAUAGAAAAUGAAUCUUAAACUUAAAACUAAUGAUAAAUAUUAUAGUAGUUCAAAAUGUAUAAACUAACAUCAUGUUUACCGAACUAUAAAAAAAAUUGAUGUGAUUAUGAAAAAAAAUUUAUUGAUGGAUCAAUUGUAAUGAACUUGAAUCGUAAAUAUAACUAUAUUGUUUUUUUACGGCGUUUACUUACAAUCAAGAACUUUGUCAUAUUUAUUUUUACUUUUACCUCUAUCUCUUAAGGUCAAACAGUAACGUCGAUAAUAGUAAAAGAUGUCAAAAUUGAUAAUUUUUCAGUUGUAACAAUAAAAAUAACAGUAGAGAUAAUUAUAAUAAUAAAGUUAGCAAUACAAUGUAAUUUUCAAAGGAACGGUUGCAAAAAUAACCAAAAAUGUUAUGAUAAUAGGUUCUAUAUUAUUAUAUUUUAUAAAUUGCAAAAAUAACAAAUUUAAAAAUCGACAACCUUUUAAUAACCCUAUGAUAUAAUUAAUUUUGUCAUAUUAGCAAUAUAUAUAGAAAAAUAAGUGUUGUUGAAUAUUUUUUUCUAAAUGUUUUUAUCAUAUCAUACAAUUUUUUAUUUUGAAACGUAAUGAAAUUAUGAAAAGAAGUUUUUUGGAAAAAUAUAAAAAUUUGAAAAUUUUGAAAUAAUUGAAAAGAAAAGGGAAAACGCGUUAUGUGAUUUGAUUGAAUUGCAAAAGGGCAGGCCGAGGCUGCUCCCUUUAUUGUUUUUGUAUUAUCACAUAUCUAUAUUCAUUUCUCACGUGGGAAAAUGAAAAUAAUAUCUCUUCUUGCUCCCUACCCUUAUUAUCUACUCCUUCCCUUACAUUCCUUUUCUUCCACUUUUCUUUUAAUUUAAGAAUUUUUAGCCUUAAAGCCAAGUGAUAAUUGACAUCUCAUUUUCGAUCUGGCCUACAUGUGUGAGAUUUUGUCUUGGUAAGUUUACCAUAAUAGGAUGGUAACAAAUAAUUAAGGAAACUUUAAUUUUAUAGAGUAGGUCUACAAAAUAAUAAUGAUGAGUAUUUUUAAUAUAGUAAAAUAAAUUGAAAUAUUUACGAAAACAUACCAACAUUUCAUAUUUUAUAUGCUCAAUUUAUAUAUAAAACAUUGUAUAAUUGAAGGUUCAGUCCAAUAAUUGUAAUAUUCAAUGCUUCACUUUACUUCACUAUAAAUAUACUAUAAAUAUUCAAUAGAGUUGUCCAUUAUUUCAAAAGCAAAUGCCUUUACAAUGAGGAUACUGAGAUUUCCAUUCUUUUUUACUUGCAUAUGCAAAACUUUGACUAACAUAAAACGUAUUAAAUUCAACACCAAACAAAUUAAAAUAAUAUACAUGUUUUUUUUCACCCGUUUUAUUUUAGUACAAUAACUAUGAGAGAGAUGAUUGAGUAGACUUUUAAAGAUAAAAUUGAUGUCAAUCAUAUUAACCUAAUUAAGCUCGUUUUGAUAGUAUAACUUUGUCGAUGAUACGUUAGAUUUUCGUAAAGUUAAAAGAUUCAAAAUUGAUAAAAAAAUAAUUUAAAAAAGAAAAGAAAAAUGACAAAAUGGUGAUGUAGGAUUUUUUUUUUCUAUAUUCGUAAAUACAUUGAUAUUUUUUGAAAUACCCCAUUCAAAAUUCUUCUUCAAAUUUAUGAAAUUAGAAAAAUUAAAUAAGUUACAAUUGUUUAAUUACUACAAUUCAACCCAAUAUUAACCAUAUAUAAAUUAAUUAAUGAUUCUUCUCAAAGAAAAAUGUGUAUAUAAAUUAUCACCCCAAUUUUGUGGCACUAAAUGACCCAUUUUGUGCACUAAACAACAACAUUGAUAAUUACUAAUUAAUAUUAAUUAGUUAAAUUUUGAUUGACGGAUGACUUUAAUUAUUUAGUACUCUUAUUGAUGAUCAUCAUCAACUUGGCUUGAUACUGAUAUGUUUAGAAUAAAUGAUUGAUUUACAUUAAUUAUGCAAAUAAUUGUUUAAACAAUUUGAGAUGGAAUAUAAUUAUAAAAAAUGUAUAUGGAGAAAUUUUGAUGCGUAUAAAAAUGUCAAACUAUUUACCGAUAAUAGUAAGAUCGAAAAACACUUAUAGACAUUCAUAAACUUUAUCAAUGAUAUUCGUAUAUCGAUUUUCAUUACUGAUAGACAUCAAUAAAAUUUAUGAUAUAGACUUUUAUAAGUUUCUAUCUGCAUCUAUUAGUGAUAAGAUUAUGAAUUAUUAUCCAAAUAUAAACUAAAUCAAACCACACGAUCGUUAAGUUUGAGAGUGUAACGGUAGCUGCUUGUGUACCACAAAAAUAGUUUUUGAGAUUUAUCGGAUAAAAUAAUAACGUGAGCACAUGGCAAAAUGAAGUACGUUAAAAUAAAGAAAAAGGCAGUCUACCCCACACCAUAAACAUAGCCUUUUGGAGUGGGGAUUGAGACAACUCACUGUCCAUCUUCAAUAACUCAACUUUGUGUGUAACCAUUGCUUCAAUUCAUUAUUGGAUAGGACGUAGAUCUUUUAAGUUCUCUACUUCUACUUCAAACCACAAACAUUUAAAACCAAGUUAUUAUGAUUAUUAUUAUUUACUAUGUUUUUAUAAAUAGAGAUGCGAAUAGCACAGUUGGGAUUGAUUCAGUUAUUUAUUCAUUUCUUUAUGUUGAUCAUAAGCUAAAGAAUAAGAAUAUUGUAAACCAAAAUUGUUUGAUCGAAAAUAAUUUACAAAAUUUUAGAGAUUUGAUUAUCUAUUCCAAAACGGUUUGAUGUGUCCUUAAUAUAACUUUUGAAAUUAAAGGGAUUCAAUAUGGGUUAUCCUUAUACUCAAGUUCAAAAGUUAUUUGACAAUGGAAUAGGUACAUUCCAACUAAUAGGGAUUAAGUUGCUAAAGUGAAGAAUAAAUAAUACACUAAUUUUAAAAAAAUAAUAAAUAUAAGAAAACUCGAGGGAAAAAUCAACUUUUUCUUAACUUGGUAACGUAAAUGAAAAUGAUCGAAACUAAAAAAAAAUAAGGGGUCUUUUUAAAAAUAUAACAUAGCCACAAAAUAUUUACACGAUAUAUAACAAUUUCAAAAAUGGAAAAAAGCCCACACAGAUCCACCGUGAGAAAUACCAAAAAUAUCACGUGAUUAAUUGACAUCUAGUGCGCAUAAUUUUCUAUACCAUCGUUUAGAUUUGGAGUCAAGUCUAAAUGAUUUUUUUUCAAUAUUUUUUGGUACACGAUAGUUUAUAUUUGAAACACAAUCGUUUAUGUUUGAAAAACAAUCAUUUAGAUUUGACCUUUUAAAUUUGGCUACCCAGAUCUAAAGAAUUUUUCUUUUAAAAUUCUUUGUACAUAAUCGAUUUUUUAAAGAUUUUUUGUACACGAUCGUUUAGAUUUGACUAUCUAAUAUCCUAACGAUUUUUUUUUUUUAACAAUCUUUUAUUUUUGGAACAACGAUCUUGAACCAAAUAACAAUUUGAAAAGAAAAAAAAACUGCAGAAGAAAAAGACAACGAAAAUAAGAGUAGAAAUACGAUGAAAACGAAUGACAGACUUGAAAUAUUUUUAAAAAAUAGCAAGUUUGAUGGACUUUUUUAUUUUGUUACAUGGACCGUAAAUGUUUCACUGGACUGUUAUAUUUGUGAAAAUUAACGAAAAAGAAUAAGAGGAUUAUGAUUUUGAAGAUUGAAGAGAGUUGUAGGAGCAUGUGGUAUGAAGUUUGAUGAAUGAUUGUGAUAUGAUUUUAUAUGUUGUGAGAUCCUUUUAUUGCAUGUUGCAUGCCAAAUGAGUUAAGUGGUAAUUAUAUACUCUCUUAAUAGCAACUAUUCACACACUAGUCUUUGUCCCUUCGGGUACACCAAUUACUUUGAAUAUGUCUCACCUAUAAUACUAUAUAUUUAGUUAUUAUUCACUUAAAUGUUUCUUCAUAUAAAAUAUUUUUGUGUAGCUUCACCUCUAUAGUGUACGUAUUUUAAAUAUUCAUCCUUUCAUGAAACGUGUUAUUUUAAUCAACAUUUUAAGGGAUUCCAAAACCUAAGUUUGUUUUGAAAUUCCUACAAAAUUAUUUUACUCAUGUUUUAUUUAAUCAUCUAAUAAAGAUGUUUAUUUUAAGUAAGGAGGCCCCCUACUAUAAUUAUCUAAAGGAUCAUUUGAUUCAAUGUUUAUCUUGACGGUCAUGUACGUCAAGAAAAGCCUUCUUGUUUUGUUGAAGGAAAUAUGACAAAAUGUAAAAAAGAAAAUGUGGAUUCUUAAUUUUCUUGAUGGACAAAGUAAAGUUUUCUUAGUUUUAUUGAUGAUUCACAAACGUCAAGAAAACUAUUUCUUGAUGGACAAUACACAUCCAGGAUAAUAUAUUAGUUGGACUGACAAUAUUAGGUUUUUUUAUGAACGAUACCCAUCAAGAGAUGAAUUUUUGUGAUUCGCAAUAGCCAUCAUUGAAAAAAAUUAAUAUAUUUCUUUUGAAUUUCUUGAUGGGUCUAGGGUUUCUUGAUAGACAAAGACAAAAAAAAAAAAAAAUUAUGGGCAAUAUCCAUCCAGAAAAAUGGUAUGCUCGUCAAGAAAUUUUUUUAUAAUUUUGGGUUUAGGAUAAAAUCAUUUGUAUGACCCAUUAAGAAAAAUGAUAUGUCCAUCAAAGAAAAAAAUUAUUUUUCACAAAACACGAAAUUUAGACCCUUGUUAACCGACUCAGUGAGCACCAUAUUCAUCAAUAAAUGCCUUAAACAUUUACUAUUUUUUUUUCAAUUAUUACUUUCUAUUCAUCAAUAAUACAAUAUUAUUUUUCUAAAAGUUAAUUGUAUUAUUACUUUUCUAAAAGUUAAUUGUUUUAAUUAUAACUAGAUUGAAAUAAAUGUCUUUAUCAAAAUAAUUAUUGUGUUUAACUUUAAUGAGUUUUGAAGUUUGUAAUUUAGGAUUUUUAAAAUUUGUAGAAACUGGUUAACAUGAGCUUAGUUCAACGGAAACAUAUAUGCACAUGUGGCCAAGAGGUCCCCAAAUUCAAAUAUCACCACUUGCAUUAAAAAUUUGUAGAAGCUGUUUAUAAAUUUGGAAUUCAACGUUACAAAUGUUAGUACAAGAAUCAAUUAGCAAGGAGCUAAGGUGGGUGUGAGAAAAGAUGAACUCAAGAUCAUGAAGAUAAAGUCUCGUGUGCAUGUAGUGGCGGACGAUAAACUCCAAUUAACUAGCGAUUAUCAUUUUGAUAAAAUCUAAGAUUUUACUAUAUUUUACAAAUAUUUUUAACAAUUUUUUAAUUAACUAUCCAUUUCCUAAUAUUUAAAUAACUUUGCAUACUUCUUCAAAACUUUUAGAUUAAAUUAAAAAAAAAAAGUUAUAAAGAAAAAAGAAAGUUAGAAAAUGUCAGAAAAGUCAUGAAAAAAAGCUAUGGUUCACUCCACAAGUGACAAUUGCUAGAAAAUGAAAAACUGCCAAAAGGCAACAAAGGAAAAACACAGUUGCCCAACCUUUAUCAUAUAUAUGUAUCAGUUCUUUUCCAUCACUGUUUUGGACCAAUUAGUUCAUGAUUUAAAUAUGAAAAUACAAACACAAAAUGAGAAAAAAGGGGGGGUUCACUUCACGUGAAUCACUAAUGCCCACACCAUAACCUACUGCCCCAUCGUAAUUAAUGUAUUGUUACACACAAAAUCCCAAAACUUAAACAUCCUGUACUGUGCUAGAGGGUGACGGUGGGUAGUGCCAUUUGCCAACCCAAGCGGGCACCAAACAACGAACCCAACAUCGCAUCGCCCUUGUAAGCAGCAGUCUACUCAACAAAAUCCACAAGCUUCGUAUAAUAACCAUCCCCAGCCAAGUUUAAUUUAUUGCACUGAUAAGAAUCAGUACAAUCAGACAAACUGGAGGGGAGGACCAAAAGAGUUUACUCUAAAGAGACAAACCUAAUAGUAAUUGCUUCAAGAAUUUUGAUAUUUCAUUUGUAUUCAACCUUGGUACAACUUGCAAAAGAAACCAAACAUUUUUAAUGCUUACUUUGAAGUUUUGAGAAAUCAUUGAUACACACGUUUUAAUUUUGAGGAUUAAAAAAUGUAAUUUAUUCUGAAUUCUUCUAUCAAAUUAAAAUAUUAUUUAAGUUUUUUAACUUGCUUCCUGUUUUGACUCACAAACUUCCUCACAAAAAGUUAAAUAAUUACUCAACUCUACUAAUAUUGAAGUUUGUAUAUUGAUUGAAAAACUCUAUCAAUGAAUCCAAUUGUUUCCCCCGCCAAUGACAAAACUCGGGUGAUAUUCAUUGCUAAAGACAUGCUUUGAUGACCACUUCUAAUGUCUAACUUCAGAAGCACCUGUUGUUGAUGACCACUACUGCCCUAUUCCAACUACAAUGGUUUGAUGACCACCUCUGGCAGCAAACCCCAAUAUUUUACCACCUCCAACAAUCCUCUCCCGCGACCACCUCUGGCGUUCAACUCCGCUUAAGUACUACUACCUCCAACAACCCUACAUUAGUGAUCACCUACAGUGACCAACUGCGAGCACCAAGUUAUUGAUCAUCUUCAACAUUAACUCCCAAUGACCAUCUCAAUCAAUCAUAUACUAGAAAAGCAUGAUCAUUAGUGAAAGUGUUUUAUAAGCAUAAAAACAAUGGGUUAACAGGUACACCCAGAUCAUUUCCACUAGAUGAACAUCUCCUUUAACACUCUUAGCAUUCCUACUUUAUUGAUGAUCAAGAAAUACAAUACAUGAAGCAAGGAACAAGUAAAAAGGGCUAGAAAUAAGUCAGAACAAGAUCCUAAAAUUAUACAAAAGCUUGAAGAUUUACAACAAUAAAGCUAACAAUGUAAUUGUUAAAGAGAUUUGAUCUACUAUUCCAAUAUCUGGUGAGAGUUUGAAUGUCUUCCCUCCACCAUGGAACUAUUCUUAUUCUUGAAAUUUUUGUUGUUCUUCUCAAACCAAAUGGUCCAAAGGAACAAAUGAUGUUAAAAACAAUAGUAUCUAUUUUCCUUUUUUAUGCCACAGAUGUUCUUGCAUAAUGAAGCUAUAUUGUUCAUAAUGUUUAACAAUUGUCUUAUAUAGUAAUCUUACAUUAAUAUAAAUACUUUAAUUUGAGCAUUACAGUCAAACCAAGAAAUUGUGUAUGAAAACACUUCAUGAGAAAAUGAACCUAAUAACCCAUUUGUAUUUUUUAAAAAUAGUUUUUAAUUAUAAGAGUUAAAAAUGCAAAUGACUUUCUAAAAAACAUUUUACAGCUCAACCAUUGGAUACCACCAUGAUUGCAUCUUUUCAAAUGCUCAACUUCUUUCUUCAACCCUCAUUACAAGUAUAAACUCUAAUGAUUUUAUUUUUAUUUUCAUCCAAAAUGUCCUCUCGUAUCAUUCAAGAUAGUUAUCCUUUCAUAUAUACUCAUUGUUGCGAAAUCAACAAUUAAAUAAUAGAAGAAUAUAAAGAUCGACAUAAAAAGAUAUGUGUGGUUCAUUAACAGUGUAUUAGCUAUAUUCACGUAUAGAGAAAAAAACAAAUAUUAUUAGAGCGAAUGUUUUCACAAUACAAUAUAUGACGUCACUGGAUUAGAAAGUUUAUAUAUAUGCACUUCUCUAAACCUUAAGCUUAAAAUCAUAAAUAACAACAUAUGCACAUCUCAAUUGUUUAUUUAGUGCCACAUAAAGAACCCAAGAAGAACACCCAUGAUUAUGAUCCUCUCAUCCAUGCAAUGUGCGUGCGACUUCGAUCACAUUCCUAAUACUAAAAUAGAGGCAUAAUACACUGCAAUCUACAAUUUGACAUAAUGCCAUACAAAGUCCUAUGCCACCCCUUGAUGAAGUACUACGUUUUUUAUGCAUUUUACUUUGAUACAUUCUAAUUUCUACUAUUCAGAAAGUGUAAAUUUUUUAUGUUUAAUUUGUGUAAAAUAAUAGUAUUUUGCAAACCUCGAGUAGAAUGGUUACAUAUUUUUAGGAGAAUUGUGACUAGCUAGAGAGAGUCAUUAGGGUACAAUUAGUUUUACUCACAUUAUAAUUAUGGUCUUUUUUUAAUGAUCAAAUUACUUAAAUCAUAUAUAAUUAUAUGAUUUUUUAUCCGUCGUUGGGAUUAAUAAUUGGAAAAUUACAUCAAAUAACAAAAACAUUUAGAAAAAAAACAAUUCACGACACUAAUUAUUUUGCAUAUUGUGAAUAUAAAAAAAAAGAGUGAUAUCAAAUGAUUAUCAGACAGUAAUCGAAGGACUAUCAAACGAUGGUCAUAAGACUAUGAGACAAUCACCACUUUUAUAUUUGUUAAUUUUACAAAUUUAGAAAAUAGUGUGACAUGAACUCUAUUAUCAUAAAAAAAAUUCUAUUUUUGCAAAAGCCUCUUAAUAAUUGUGUCUCAUCAUCGUGAAAAUCAUCCUAAUUUAUCUAAUACAUUAUUGGAAGAAAGAAACUUUCAUAUUCUUUUUUCAUAGCUAUUCAUUAUUAAACAUGAAAAUAUAAAAGAUGGACAUUGGCAUCCAACAUAUUUACUAGAGCUAGUUAUAUAGUUUAGUAGUUAAGAUAUAUAUCUGUAUACUUUUAACCUCAAACGUCAAAGUUUGAUGUGAUUCCAACUCUACAAUUAUUGAAUUUAGAAAACAUGCAUAUAUACAUAGAUUAGAAAAAAGUAUAUAUUAAAAGCAUGAAAAUUUUUCCAUUGAUCUUGAAAUUGUAUAGAGUAAAUAAGGGACCUUGGAAGCCAUUUAGUAGCAUCAUUUUUCUGUCGUAAGCUUUAAGAAUUAAUACUACUUACUACUUGUUCUCUAAGUCAUCACGUCUCGGUCAUGUUGGCGAUUGCAAAUUGUUGGAAAAAUAAAUAUCAAUCAUUAUUAUGUUGUAUGUUGAACCACUGUCUUAGAAACAAAACUUUGGUCCAAUCUUAGUGCUAAAUCGCAUAUAUUGGUUGUUCCACAAGAUUAACACAUCUCUAUUGCUCUUAAUUUAAAUGUUUUUGUAUAAUCUACUUUUUCGGAUUGGUUUCUGACUUUGGAUCUCCCUUGGACUUUCCUCUAGUCCUUAUUUUUGCUUCCUUGCUUCAUGUACCUAUCGUUUAUUAUUAAUAGAACGAGAAUGAUGAUGGUGCUACAAAUGUGUCUACCUAAUGAAGAUGUUUCAGUGCAUCUGCUAACUCAUAUCAUAUUUUUUUAGAAAAAAACGUAUACUUCUCUAACUCACCGUGGAAUGGAAUCAAACAAAAUGUUACUCAAAACAAACAAAUGAAAGUUUCAAAAAAGAAGAACCACUCCCAUCACCAAAAUCUUUCUUCAAAUAUAUAUAAUAGUUUUAAAUCUAUAAUUUUUAGUGCAUUAAAAUAUAUUAUUAUAACCACAAAACCAUUAAAUAUUCUAAUAAUUAUCAUUGAAACAUUAGUUAUAAAUCAUUACAAUAAUAGUCAUUCAAUUACACAAAUAUCCUAAAACGAGGCACAAAUCAUUACUAUAUAAAUUCAACUCGUAAUCGUGGCAAGUAUUAAGAGCAUCUUGAAUCAUCUAACAGCAUUCUUCUACCCAUUGGUUGGGUGGAUCAAAAUCAGUUGCAAUAUCAACACAUCCUAAUAAUAUGUAAUCACUUGCAAUUGGUGGAGGUGGUUGAUCAGCAGUGACAAAAGAAAAGAAAAAAGAAGGUUGAGAACUGGAGAAGAAGAGAGCAAGUGAAGAGGUUUUGUUGGAAGAACCCAAAAGAGGAAAUUCUUAGAGAGAUAUUUUUAGAGGGGUGAAAAGAUCAGUGUGGUAAUUAUGGAAGGGUUUCUAUAGGGUCUUAAGAAAGAGGGCUGUGCAUGAGCGUCCUGGUGGAUAAACUCAUUGUUAAUUAAGUUAGGCUCAUUAUCUAUAUUAAUUGAUUUGCAAAUCUUUAUGAAGUGGAGAUUACAAUAUUUGUUGAUCAUAUUUGCUGUGAUUUCCACUAAAUUACUUUGUCUUUCAGUGUUAGUGUGAUUUAAAAUAAGCAGGCAUUCGGUAUUUUAAAACUCAGUUAUUCCUCUCAAGUUGCAAUGCUGAAGAUAUUAUUGAUGAACAUAACAAAGUUAAUUAGUGGGCUAACCCAUUUUCUAAGAUAUUGGGGAUGAAAAAAAAUAAUUUUAAUAAUAAGUAUGCAAAACCUAAUGGGAAUUUGACUUUUCUCCAUGUCCAAACCAAAAUUAUCUCUUUAUGAAAAGAAUCAUUAAAAAUAUUUUUUAUUGGCAAUGUCAUCCAACCAUUUGUAUUAGGUUAAUCCCGAACAACGAAAUUUUACGUUCACCCCAAACUUAAAUCGCUCUCAAAUUUUGUGAGUAGAGAUUUCUUGAUUUGCAUACUACUUCAAACAACAAAUAUUUCAUGAUUGACAUGACUUAUCAAAAAAGAGUUACCUUGACUUUUCAUGGCUAUCCAACGAAUUCAAAAACUGAAAAAUCAUCAUUUUUACGAGAGACGACUUACAUAUUUAAUUUGUUUAUCAAGGAAGGUAAUUUUCUUGACGAACGUGCACAUUCAAGGUAAAUAUGAACAUUUAUUGUAUAAAAAAGUAUUUUUUUUUUAUGGUCAAGAAAACUAAGUUUGUGUGCGUAAGAAAAACAAAAGUUUAAAUGAAACAAGAGCAUUUUGUCGGCCAUAAAUAAUACAUUACGUUACGUACGUAUACAAAAAGAAAUGUAGAAUUUAUGUCUUAAGUUAAGUUGAUAUAUAUUUUUGUACGGUAAAUAUGUGUGUAACUGUAGUGUUAAACCAAAAAUUAAGCAAAAAAUUUAGUCUAGUUUUAGGUCAACAACAAAUGGGAAACAAAGAUUUCUUAACUUCACUGUCAUAUUAAUUUCAGAUUUUAGAACUUUACUCAAUUGGUCACUUAGAAGGCUACGUUUUUUAUUUUCUAUAAAAUAAAGUAAUGUAUUUCAAUAUGUCCUUUCUUUUAUUAUCCACAAAUAAGUUGAAUUGUCCACUUGUCACUCACACAUAAGAUAAAAUAGACAAAUGUUAUCACAUUUAGAAAAGGUAAGAUAUGAUUGUACGUGUAAUCUUGUAAGAUAUGUCGUUUGUGUUUCAAUAAUUAUUCAUGGAAUUCAAAUAAUUAACUCAUCACGUUUCUUGUGGUUCUUAAUUAUAUAAAGUUUUCUUUCUGUCCCAUUGAUUAAAUUACAAAUGUACUAUAUCAUAUAAUUGAUCUCUAAUCACAUCAAUAAUAUGUAAUCAAUUUUUUUAAUUUCUAGUGUGAAGUAUCUUUGGUAUAAUUUCUUUUUUUUUUAUCAUUACUUUAGUUUAUUUAAUUAACAAUAAAUUAUGAAGAUUAAAAAAAUAUCUAACUUUUGAAACAAACGUAUAAGUCAGCUUAAAUAAUGUUACUCUCUAUAUUAUCAAAAGUAUUAAUUCAAUGUAAUGUUCACACCCAAUCGUUCAUGCCAUUAAAUCUUAGUUCGCUUUAAUAAUUGGAUUAUGUUUGUGUGAACGAAAAAAACUGAACUGAGUUUAAGAAAGAAAAAAGUAUUACGAAAAAUAUCAUCUAUAUAUAAAGAUUUGUCGGUAUAUAGCAAAAAAUAUAUCUUGCGAACAAAUUUUAAGUUUAAUCUACUGUAGCCUUUAAACUUAGAUUUAGGUUGGAAAUACGCUCAAAAUCUUACGGCGGUUAAAUAAUAUGAGUUUAUAAAGGAAGAUACAAUUAUUUCUAGUGGUUAUGAACUUUUUAGAAUGUGAAACUCAAAAGAAAGUCUUGAAGAAAGUCGGUCUAAAAGUUGAUAAUAUCAUAUCAUUAGAGUAAUAUCUGACAAUUUAAAUAUUAUUUUUCAAUACAAUUUUGAGUUUAUUUAUUUAUUAUUAUUUUGUAUUUUAAAACUUUCUAAGGCCCCAAAUUAAACUACGUAAAGCUAAGCUUAGGUUUUCAAUAAUCCUUCCUAACUCUUUUUUUCACUAUUCCACGUCUCUUUUUCAAUCAUUUUCAAAUUUUGAGAGAUGGAUCCCACACGUCAUUUUCCACUUUUCUACAUUUUCCCAAUUUCCUUUUCUCUCUCUUUCUUAAUUUAUUUCUUUAUAACAUCCUUUCUUUUUCUAUUUUAUUCCUUUUUUUCCUUUGUUGUCUCUUUCCUUCUUUUUUUUUUUUUCCUUCAUUUUCUUUUUCAUUCUUUUUUUUUUUCCUUUUUUUUCUUCUUAAAAUAUAUAUUUAGAGUGUGUUUGGAGUGGAAAUUUACGACGAUUAGAAAAAUGAUUAUAUGGCUCAAACAUUGUAUGGGUCAAGGUUUUCCAUUUUUGAGGAUUAGGGUUAAAAAACCCUAUAAACUAUCAUACUUUAUCUUUUCAUAACCCUACAAAUUUUCCUACUUCACCUUUUCAUAAUCCUACAAAUUUUUCUACUUCAUCUUAUCAUAAAAUUACACUCAUAACUCUUCUCCCAAACACUUGUUAUAAUAACACUACAAUUAUAACCCUUUCCCCAAACGUAUAUUAUCAUAAUACUAUAACAAUAAUCUUUUCUCCAAACACAUAUUAUCAUAACACUACCAUUCAUAUUACUUCUCCCAAACACAUAUUACCAUAAUACUACCAAUAAUAACCCUAACAUCAAACAUAUAUUAUCAUAACACCAUCAUAAUCUUUUUUUCCCAUAACUCAUUCCCUCCUCCAAACGCACACUUAAAGUUUAUUUUGUAGACUUUUUCACUUCCUAUAUAUGAAUUAUAAUUGUUCUUUUUCCAUUGUUUACUCGUAUAUUCAAUAACUCUUCUCUUUACAUUUUAUUUUUAUUUGUUUUAGUACAAUAAUUUUAAUAAUAUAAGUUUGUAAUUAUAUGUUUUCUAUUACAUGGGCACACAAAAAAAAUAAAUUAAUGAAAACUAACGAUUCAAGCUAAAUUUAUGAAAUGAGUUUGAACGUCACAAUUAAGAAGAUUAAAAAAAUUAAUUUGAAGCAAAAUUUUGUAUUUCAUAGAAAAUAUAUAUGCAUAAAAAAAAAAAAGAUUAGUGCAAAAGAAAGAUUGAAGCUUAAUUUAUGAUAUAGACGUAGUAAUUAAAAAACUUUUUUCAUUCUGAUGUACCAUAUAUAUGCAUGCAAAAAAAAAAAUGGUAAAAAGUAACAAUUAAUAAUAGCAGUUUUAACGUUGUAAUUAUGAUGAAUAAGGAAAAUGUGUUUUAAGAAAAAUAUUGCAUUUCAUGAAAAAUAUAUGUGGCAUGGAAAGAAAUAUUAGUGAAAAUGCAAGAUCCAAGCUUAAAUUAUUGCUAGGAAUCUUGUAAUUAGAAGCUUACUUAAUUCGAUGUACAUUAUAUAUGUAUGAAACAUCACGAUUGAUGCUACAUUUAUUGAAUGAAUAUCAUAAUAAAAAUUAUUUAAUAAAAUCAAUUUAUGAAAAUCGUGUAUUGGAUCUACAAUAUAUAUUUUAGUGAAAAAAAUUUAUAAAAAACCUAGAUUGUAAUAGUCUCCACCCAAAAUACACAGUUUAUAAUAACACAUAUUAUUAUCAUAUAUAAAACACAAAUUAUCAUAGUCUACAACCCAAAUGCAGACUAUCAAAACAGAUUAUAAUAGUGUAUGCGCUCCAAACGUAGACUAUCAUAAUACUAGAACUAUCCUAAAUCACUCGCUCCCUAACGUCCCUUUAAAUAUAUGUAUGAAAAUUUUGUUUUUUAAUUAAUUGAUUUAGUUUUUUUUUUCUUUACUUGUUUUAGGUUUUUCUUUUAAUAUUAUCAAAAUAUCUAUUUAAUCUUUUAAACUUUAAAACAUUGGCCAUUGGGUAGCAAUUUUAAUUUUUAGUUUUUUUUUUUUUAAAAAAAGCUAAAAGCAUUUAAACAUUCUUUCCCUUUUUUUUUAAUCUUUUAUCUACUUCUUUACCAAUAUUUUAACAAUCCAAGUUAAAUCUUGAAAAUUAAAAAAAAAAUUGUAAUUUCUUUCGCAAAUAAUUUAACUAUUAUACAUAAGAAUAUGCAAAUUAUGGUAAAGAAUUUGAAAAUAAAUAUUCUUAGUUAAAAAAAAAAAACAAAAGUAAAAAGAUUAUAGAAUAAAGUCUAGUACAUUUUAAAAAUAUCUCACACGUAUAAUAGAAAUAAGAAAAGUACUUACAUGCAUCUUAGACAUUUUACUUAUGUUUCGUACAUUCCACCAAAUUGUCCAAUCAUAACUUAUCAUAUACCAAAUUUUGCUAAUUUUCUUUUCUUUUAGUAGAGUAUUUUAAUAUGUUUUUAUGUAAAUGGUAAGAAGGGAUGUACAAAUUAAAUGAAAUGCACCUAAGCAUACUUACUCUAUACUAAAUAUUCCCCCAACUUCAAUCAACCCAUGCCAACUUUCAAUACACGACCUAUGCUACGAGAAGAUUUAAAAUAAGGGGAAUGGUUUCGAAUACAGCAAAAAUGAACUAAAAUAUUUAUAAAUUAUAGCAAAUUUUUAUAUUCUCUAUCAACUACAGACACUCGUAGUCACUAAUAGAAGAUUAUCAAUAGUUAUGGGUGUCUACAAUUCAUAGAAUAAUUUAAAAUUUUGUUUUAUUUUAUAAAUAUUUUCACCAAUUUUAUCAUUUACAAUAAUUUUUUUUAAAAUAAACAUAUUUAAAUAUGGGAAUAAACUUUGAAUAAUGUAUAUAUCUCAAAAAUGUUUCCACUCUAAAAUUUUUAGUUUCAUUCCAAUUCAAUAUCUUAAAGUUCAAUAAUUGUUACAAACUUUACCCUAAUUUAUUCAAUCUCUAGCAAAUUUAAUUUAUUCAAUCUCUAGGAAAACAUGUCUCUCAAAAAAAAAAAUCAAAUAACACAAAAGAAAAAAAAACAUCCAUAAUUCAUUGAAUUAUUAAAAGCAAACAAACAUUACACCAAACGAAGCCUGCAUAAGAUCAAAUUAAUCGAUCAAAUUCGACUGAAUCAAUAAAAAAACAGAACUUUAGAGCCCCGUUCAGUCAUUAUUCAAUUUUUGGCUUCGAAAAUUUUGCAGUACCAAGUGACAGUUUAAGAAUAUGAUAAUCAUACGUUUUUUUUCCUUUUGUAGAUAUGACAAUUUUUAGUGUGUCAAAAAUAUGAAGUGUAUCGUAUAUAUCAAAGGUGUAUUUUUGUUUUUACUCCCAUCAAUUUUAUAGUGGAGAUAUGCUAAAUUCACAUCAUAAUUAUACUUUUCUAACUAUGAAUUAUAAAAAUAUAUUAAAAGGUAAAAAGUAUAAUAGUUCACACCUUUCGAGGUUUGUAUUCAAUUUAAUUUUUCAACUGACCACUAUAUCAAUUUAAAUUUUAAAUUUUCAAAAGUGUAUUUCUUCUUAAUCAAAAUAUUGUGUUAAACUUUAUUGAGUUUACAUUUGAAAAUCAUCAAAACAUUUAAAAUCCUACACAUGUGCAUGUAGAUGUUUUCGAUCGUCGAAUUAAUAAAAUGAACUAUUAAACAAAAUUGAUAGAUGGAUAAAUUUCAAACAAAAUGUUGAAAAGUAUUCCAAAUUGAUUCGUGAAGAAAGUUUAAGCAUUUAAUCAAUAAAAUUCAAAAACAAAACAAAACUCUUGAAAAGUGUAGGAAUAUAAAUGACUAUUUUUACAAUAAUAUUAUAUUGUUAGACAAAUCCAUAGAUAGUGUAUAUACUAUGCUUAUACUUCCAUCGUUUAUUAUUUGGUGGUAAAGGCACCAUGGAAUUGUGUAGAUAUCAAAUAGAGUGAAAAUCUUUUGUUGGAAACACUUUUUCAUAAUUACCUCAAACAACAAUUGAUGGAUUCAAAGGAAAAGAGGCAAUAAUGGUGGUGGAGGGGUAAUAAUUCCAUCAAAUAAUUAUAUUUCUUUAGUGCAUUUCCUUUAGUUGUAUUUUGAUAAUUAAUGGAAUGAUUAAUUAUUAUGCUCAAUACCUUUUUUUUCAUACCAUAAUUAAGUUUGGUCUUGCAUUAAUGAUAAAGUUUUGAAUUGUACAUGUAUGAUGAUUUUUAACUAUUGUAUUUUUUAAUUUUGUUACGGUACAACUAUGGUGGAUGGUUAACAGUUAAAUGAUGUUAGUUCUUAGUUCAUAAUCAACAGGAAGCUAUUAGAUUAAAUUACGAUAACGAUUUAAUGGUUGGAAAGACAAUUUUGGAAUACAAUGGUGGUAGUUUAUAUGUAGCCAACAUCAUAUAUUUUCAAGCUAAGUUUAAAUAAUGGAUGAAAAAAAUGUUUCAUAGUCCAUUUUAACUUGUCAUUCCUAUAAACUAAGAAAACUCCAUUAUCAUUGUCUCUUCUUUCUUUGUUAAAAUACAACUCAAUUCACAUCAUGAGAAAAAAUGGUUAAGUCAUAGAGAUUAGGAUCAAACCAUGGGGACUGUUUUUAAGGUUUUAUAUAAAAAAAGAGCUGACAGAAAAAAUAGCAAAUUAAUUUACUGGUUUAUUUUAGAUAAAUGACAAAAUUUAAUUUAAAUCGAUAAUAUAGCAAAAUUGUUAAAAAUGAAAAGCAAAAAAGCUGCAAAAAGACGGUGAAAAAAACCCAUCACAAAUAUAAUUAUUUCAAAACCCAAAAUACCUUAUAAUUGAAUUAGACUCCUGACUAUUACCAAGAUCGUUUCAACUUUCUCUCUAAUUUUACCCUACCAAAACUAUCGAACCAAUUAAAAGCCAUAAAAUUUCAAUUUUCCCUCAAACUCAGUUCGUCUACCCUCAUCUCCAUUGAAGUCAAUUUCAAAACUUGAAGUAAAGUGUCAGCUACUAUAACCUUUGAAAGAGCAGUGAUAGUUCACAAAAAAUCCUCUCAACUAAAAGAAAGACAUCCAACUUCGAUUUCUGCAAAAACAAAGUUUGUUUUGCCUUUUCUUCUUUUGUGUUCUCCUCUGAUUCCUGCAGCUUAGUUAAAUUGAUGGUUAAUAGCACAGUGUCAAUUAUCUUGAUGGACCGAUGCAAUCAGUCAUCCACUCCACCAUAAAUUGACUGUAACAGUAUCCAUUGAAUUUCUCCUCUAAAAAUAUCAACAUGCAUAAAAAUAUUUAAAUUUCACAAAAACAUGGGUGUUAUGGCCUAUUUUUCUCAAAAUGUUUUUUUUUGUCGGAUAUUUCUCAAAUUUAAAGGAACCUUGGGCCUUGGGCCUCCUCCCCACAAAAAUCUCGUUGGGCCAUAAACGAGUUACCCACUACCCAAGGCGUCCACUUUAUUCAUCGGAGCUCAGGUUGCAUGAACCGCGGAGCUCCGUCCAUCAAUGGCCAUCAACAAGCCUCCUCCUACUACAAAUUCCGACAACGAACGCAUCGUUAUUGGAUCUGCCAUAGCCUCACGGCUUCUUCUACUCUUCUUAAUCGUCUUCUGGCGUUUUCUCCUCAGCCCUUACGACACUUCAGCAUCGCUUAAUCCUUCAUGCUUAAUCAACCCAUCUUCUUUACCCCUCACCCAACAACCAGUUCUUUUUCCUCAAAUUGGCUCCGCCAUUGAGAGCAGCAUUGUCUGGGAUGGCGUCUACUUCGUCCGAAUCGCUCAGUGCGGUUAUGAAUAUGAGAAAUCCUACGCCUUCUUGCCCCUUCUCCCUUUCUGCAUUUCCCUCCUGUCCCGCACAGGUUUGCUAUUUAUACUUCAUUUCGUUGUUUAUUCCAUUGUUAUUUUUAUUUUAUUGGUUAUUAUGUAGAAUGAUCGCUUCUUACAUUUUACUUGGGUGGCUUAUGAACAACUGCCGAUGUGCUUCGGGGAUUAAUUCAUUUUUUGUGUGGUUAAUGCGGUUCUAAUUUUGGUACAGUAUUGUUGCCUUUGGUUCCGGUAAUUGGGCAUAGAGCUGUAUUGGGACUGUCUGGAUAUCUAAUUAAUAACAUUGCUUUUGUCCUUGCUGCACGUUAUCUUUUCAGGUGGGUUUGUUGAGAUUACGAGUUUUUGGCCUGUAAUUCUUAGGUUUAUACUCUGAUUUUUCAAAUGGGUAAAUAGCCAUUCAUCUGCUUUUGUACUUUCUUGCUUUUAUUCUAUGUAAAAUCCUGACAUCUUCUACCUGGUCGCUGUAAUAGGCUUUCACUUAUUAUUUUGAAGGAUGCGGAAGCAGCAAUGCGGGCUUCAGUUCUGUUUUGCUUCAAUCCUGCUUCUAUAUUUUAUUCAUCAUUGUAAGUGACUUUUUCUUUCCUAUAUCACUAUGGGCGUAAAAGGUUUUGAUGGUGAUGGACUAUACUUGCAAUUGUAGAUAUACUGAGAGUUUAUACUCGCUAUUUUCAUUGGGUGGAUUAUAUCACUUGAUGAGUGGUAGAAGUAGUGUUUCUGCUCUGUGGCUAGCUCUUUCUGGCUGUGCUAGGUCCAAUGGAGUGCUUAAUGCUGGUUACAUCUGUUUUCUGACUAUGCAUUGGGCUUAUGAUGCUCUUUUUCUGAAGAAAUGUAUCCGUGUAAGUAUCCUUUCUAAUUAAUUGAUAAUGAGUUUUAUAAUGUCUGUUUGUUAAGUUAUCUUGGUUGAGAAGUAAUGCAUUUCUCUAAUUGUUUGUGUUUCUGAUUUAUUGGUCAAAUUUCUCUUUUGAGUUUUCCUUUUGUGAUGCAGAUUUCUUGUGCUUUUAUACAAGACAGAAUCGAGUUGUUUUGUAAUUAUUCUCUUUUAGAUAUUGGUAAAAGUUGGAGUAUUUUUAUGUAAGCUCUUAGGCAAUUUUGAGGAGAACUCAUCUGCUCUUUUAUGCUUCAUUUUCUGAUGGAGUAGGUCCUUUUACCCUUCUUUUUACUAGGAGAUUUCUUUGGAAAGUUGGGCUCUUGAUUAUUUUGUAGUAUAUUUGGUCAGAGAGAAAUAGAAGAGUUAAGGUCCUUAAUCAAAGUGGCUUUAUUUAAAAGAAAAAAAAAAAUUUAGAUAGACAAAAUUUCACAUUUAUUAGAAGAAAAGUACAAGAGACGGUGGACAAAAGCUUCAUUUAGGAAGGAACUUAAGAAAAAGCAGUCCUGUAUUGUUUAACUAUGAUAAACAAAAAGGAAGUUGAAGAUGUAAUGUUCUAACUUUGUUUCAUGGUCAGCAAUGUAGCAUUAAUAAUAGUUUAUUAUUUAUUCCAGAAGGGACUGCAGGUUCUCAUUUCUGGAGCCCUAAACUGUGUCUUUAUAUUUGCUCCAUUCAUUGGAUUUCAAGCAUAUGGGUAUUACAAUAUUUGCAGUGGACGGAUACCAGAAGAAAUGAGGCCAUGGUGUAAAGCUAGGGUACCGCUGCUAUACAACUUUGUUCAAAGUCACUACUGGUAUUGACUUUUUAACUUGCCCAGUAUUCCAAACUUUAUAUCAAUAUUCUGUAGACCAUAGAUGACUUCGUAAUUAUUUUCAAAAUCUUUAGAUAAUCCUGUAAUUCUAGGGUUUCUCAUAUAUAAAUGUUUGAACUUGAAAUAGUUUGGAAGUGUAGGAACUUGUCGACAGAGAGAAUUAGGUUACAAGAAUCAGUUAUUAAUCUAACUAUCAAUUUGAACAACUCAGUAUCCCAACUCUAGAGGAUACUAAUUAUACUUUACAAGUGAGAAAAAGAAAUUAUAAAUUUUAUCAAUGAAGAGAAUUUUACAAAGAAUGAGUCUGUCAAGACUCGACAGGAUAAAGUUUCUUCUCUCUGAAGGAAGAGUUAUGAAGAAGAAUAGGGUUCCAAUCACUGCACAAAAAUUCUAAAGGAAUCCAAUUCAUAACAUUGCAAAUGCAAAGUUAUAGACAGCUUCCUAACAUCCCCUGAUACUGACAGGAUGAAUAUGUUAGAUACCUAGAUUAGUAUAGGGCUAAAGGUAGUUAGUUAUGUAGGCAGUUAGAUGGUUAUAAAUAGGAAGUUGGGGAGGGAAGAAAAGGGAGAUUAGUUUUGUGGGUAGUUUUUCUGCACUCUUUCUUGUUCUUAGUUAGUUUCUAUAUUUUCAUUUCAUAUCAAAUUUUUUUUGUAAUAGUGAGUUUAUAUCAAUUGAACAAGAACACGUUUAUUGGUGUUCCAUCAGAAUAACAAUCACAUCCUGAUGCUAUCAUACUCAUUAAGGAAGCAGUGAGAUUAUGUGGCUUCCCACGUUCAAUUAUCUCUAAUCGUGACAGGAUAUUUGUGAGACUUUUGGAAUGAAUUGUUUAAGAUACAAGGAACCCAACUUCAAAAAAACGCCACCUUCCAUGUUUAGAUGGACGAACUAUGUGAGAUUGUCAACAAGUGCUAGGAGAUCUAUGAAGAUAUUGAAGAAAAUGAUUUGUAAGAACAUCUUUUGAAUUUUCUUUUGUUACAUGUCAGGAACCAUGCGAUUUUGGUAAGUUGAAAGGGUGGGAUACUUUGGUUGGGUGUGAAGUAGGACCAUUUCCUUCUUCAUACUUGCAUCUCCAUUUGAGCCACAACCACAAGAUUUGUUUUUGGGAUCUCAUAUUGAGUUAUUGUGAGUAAGAUUCAUAAGAGACUCGUCUUGGAAAGAGCUUUUUCUUGAAAGGUGGUGGAUUUACACUCAUUCUAUUUGCGGAGUUCUCGAAAGAGGUUGCAACGAGAUGGUUGAGAAGUUCCAUCUCAAUCCUUCUUUUUCAUGAGAAUGAAAGGUUUUUAUGGUGAAUCGGGAUGUGUGCAGUCUUGUGGGACUUCUGGGGAGUGCAGAGCAAAGCUUGAGAGAUCGUUGAGUGAUGUUUGGUUUAUUGCUAGUUCUAACGUUUCUUCAUGGGCCUCAAGUCUAUUCUUAUGUGAUAGAAGGCCCUUGUUUUAAAUUGUCCACUUUUAAGGAGCUUUACUUUUUGUAUCCUCUUGUAUUAUUUCAUUCUCUCUUAAUAAAUCCUCUGUUAUAAUCCUCUGUUAUUCAUUAUAUAUAUAGAUAGGUAGAGUCUAAUUUUAAGAGCUUUAUUUUUUUGGGGGUUUUUACAAAAAUAACAAAAAAAUUUAUGAUAAUAGAGUUUAUGUCACAACAUUUUCUAAAUUCUAAAUUUGCAAAAGUAGCAAAUUUAAAAGUGAUGACCUCUGAUAGCCAUAUGAUUGUCGUCUGAUAGCCUUAUGAUUACCGUCUAAUAGUCGUCUAAUAUCACUAAUUUUACCAUAUUUGCAAUAUGCAAAAAAUUGAUGUCAUGAGCUUUUUUUUUCUAAAUAUUUUUGUCAUUUGAUGCAAUUUCCCUUAUUUUUUUAUGCUCUUGAUUUAUUUCAUUUCUGCUCAAUAAAUCCUCUGGUAUUCAUAUAGAUAGAUAGAAUAUAACUUCAAGUUUUUUUGGACACUCAAAUCGGAAAUUAAGGCUCUGGUAGUUUUCAAAGAAGCAGGCGCACAGGAAAAGAAAGCAUGUAGAUUUAAUUGUUUAUACAAUUGGGAAAUAUCAUUCGAUUUUCAGUAUUCCUUACAAACUAUUGUGAAAAGACAAUACGUUAGAAAUGUUUACUUUGUUUCAGAAAUUCAUUAUAAACCUCUUUUCAGAUUUUAUUAUUUAUAUUCUAAUUGAAAUUGCUAUGCUCUUUUUUUAACAUCUUGCAUACGUCUUUUGGGAUGGCAGGGGAGUAGGUUUCUUAAAAUACUUUCGAUUCGAACAGCUACCAAACUUUCUACUUGCAUCCCCAAUUUUGUCUUUGGUUUUUUUCUCAAUUCUCCACUACGGAAAGUCAAAGACAAAGCUUUUAUUCUCGGUGGGUUUCCAACCAAUGGAUGAUGAUAGAAAUUCUGCUGCCAUGCUUUACUUUCCAGAACGUGUUUCAAGGUCAAGCACACCUCAUACUACAUCUUCCUCUGGGUUACAAGGUAAUGCUUAUUUUUCAAUGGUAAUGUAACAAGAUUUUGUGUUGUAUGAGUAGGUAUAAGUUUUGAAAUUGAGUAGUAUCUUGUCUUGACUUUCCUUGUCAUUUUGUUUUGUUGCAAUUUUUAAAGCACCUUAAGCUAUUAUUUCAUAGGAAAUCAGAAUCUUAGACAGAGAAAGAAGAUUUUUGUACAGGAUCCUGCUGAGCUUGCAGUAGAGGAUAAACCGUCCAAUGGGUCAGGAUACUUUUCUGCUCUUGUACUUCCAUUUAUCCUACAUUUGGGGUUUAUGGCUGCCACAGCAUUUUUUAUCAUGCAUGUACAGGUUUGUCUCCUCUCCAUAAUUUGUACUUUUUUCAAAAGAAUAUGUACAUGGUGUGUGCUGAAGAAUAUCAUUUGCUUGCUUUCUGUUAUUUCAGCUACGAGUCAGCAUUAUUGUUUGCAUUAUAAAUCUAGUUUCAAUAUAUAUACAUAUAUAUAUAUAUAUACACAUUAGCAGCUGUUGAAGACAACUAUCAAGUAAUUUUUGAGUUUGGAACCCUCUGGUCCUAUGAGGCAAUAGUUCUCAAGUUAUUCCUUAUAAAUACCGAUAAAUAGUCCAUAUGGUAUGAAUUGUGUACGAGAAUUUUAUCAAACCAUUAGACUAUUUGUGAGAUUUUAUUAAAUCAAAUGGAUUAAAUUCCAAUUAUAAAUCAUAGGGACUGAAUUCUAAGUUUCUCCAAACGAUUCGAACCAAAUUUGCAAUUUAACCCUAAAACUAUGGUUCAUGUUGUAUGGACAUUACAUAGUUAAUUUUCUAUAUUUUAGAGAGUAAUAUUCAGCAUAAGCCUCUUCUGUUAGAAGCAUAAGUUAUUCAAACCCUAGCAAAUAGCAAAACAAAUCCAUAAAAACAUUCUAAGUUCCAUGUCUUGUUUUUAAGCUUAGUAUCUCAGAGUUCAGAAUUCAACAGGUUGCAACACGAUUUCUCUCUGCAAGCCCUCCUCUCUAUUGGUUUGCCUCAUACAUUACAGUUAAGCGAUGGAGAUAUAUUAUCUGGGCAUACUCUAUCGCAUAUAUCCUCCUCGGUAGUCUGCUGUUUUCAAAUUUCUACCCAUUCACAUGAUUUGUUGCAGCAAAACAACACUUUAGCUUUGGUAUCGAAUCAUCUUGGUUGCUGAUGAUCGUGCUAUUGCUUCAUAGUCCACACUGUUUUGGAUGAGAAAAAAUGUUUAGAACAAGAGCCACAAAGUUCGUUAUAGUUCAUGUAUUAGGGGAGUUCUUCGAGUAGAAGUUAUUUAAGUAAUUUAAAGAAAUUUUGUUCACCUUGUAUGUAAUAAUUGACUUAAUGAGGGUAAUUGUUGAUUACCAAGUUGUAUAAUUGCUUGUGUUUCAGGUUGCUUUUAGGUACUGUCUUCAAAUACAAAGCUUUCCUAACUAUUCAAAUGUUCCAUUUACAAUUUCUUCUCCUUUGUUUAUAUGUAAAUAUUUGGUUAGUUUUAGCUUUUGAAUUUCACUUUUAAGUUUAUUUUAGUCACAAACUUUUAGAGAAAUGUAUUUUCACUUUUAAAAAGUGAUUAUUUCAAUUCCGUUCUUUUAACAUGAGACUUUAUUUGCGACAGUUCUUAAAAUAAAACCAUAAACUGAUAAUAAAAAUUUUGAACUGUGUCAAAUUUAGGUUAAAAUUUUGUAACUUUGGAUCAAAACAGUCACUUUUUUAAAGACUAAAACAACAAUUUAAACUUUUUUUUUUCUACUUAAGUUUAGUAGGAGAAUGUUGAUUAUUAGUAACUAUAAUCCAAGUCCAACGACAAUGGUUAGAUGUCAUUUUUAAAUACUCGUCAAUCGAAUUGCUGCUUUUGUUUACAGAUUUAGACAAUGGUCUCAUGUGUCAAUACAAACUAAGCAUAAUCAAAUGAAGCUCAAUUUUUAAAUUACAAUUAAUUCAUUCUCAUUGCACUUAGUAAACAUGGUCUAGAUGCCGUCUUACUACUUUAUAGAAAUGAUGAUUAAAAAUGGUUAGUGAUAGUCUGACCAAGUCCAUCUAAAGUUUCAUAACUAAAUUUCAUAAAAUUGAAACCUUGAUGUCGAUUAAAUAACCUAGGCCUAUCAUAAAACGAUCACAAUGAGACAUUUCUUCUAAAAGCAAGUCCCUAUCAACAUUAGAGAUGGAUUAGUUUCAACUUUCAAACACUGUACAAAGAAGUUGAGAUACAAUAAUACAAAGAGAUCAAGAAAUAUCUCAAACAGAGGGACCAGAUCUGAGCACUCUCUCCAGUUUCUCAGCUUUUGUGUAAUCAUUUUCAUUGAGAGGCCCAGCAGGGAAUGGAGUUAUUUCCACAAUAAGAUGUGGGGUUGGAAGCUCAUCAAACAAAGCUCUCACAUUGUUGCAACAAACACUCUCCCCAUGAGCACUUUCCCUCCUGAUUUGACAACCCUACAAAUCACAAACCUCUACAUUGUGAUGUCUUUGAGAAUAAUCAUGCAAUUGAGCAAAAAACGGAACGGUUUGUGUGUGUGAAGAGUGAACAGGAUGGAUAACAAGCAUGAUGUGGAAUGGAAAUGGAGGAAUGAAUAAUUCUAGGAUUGUGAUUAGAUUUAGAACCUUGUGAGAUGUGGCAUCAACGAAGUGAUCGUCGUCGGAAAGGAGGGACAUGAUGGCUUUAAGAAGACGCCGUCCUUCGGAUUUAGAUGGCACUCGAUAGUUCCUUCUGAGGGUUCCCUUUGUGGUAGGAUGCCAUUUGCUCACUAGUUUUCUUUUAUCAACUGCUUCAUCCACUGUCAACAAACACAAGAAAGUAUGAUUCAUUCAUCCACUGCCAAUUCCAGAGGUUGAGGAAAGAAAACACUGAAAGGGAUUAAAACAAAUUCCUUUAACCACACUUUUUAAUUUCAUAUACAAAACUCUAAUUUGCUUGUAUCGUUCCAAAUUCCAAUUUUAUCAGAUGUCUCCAAAGGGGCGAUACAAAACUCUAAUCUAGAUAUAUUAUACAAUUCAACAGAGCUACAUAAGGUGUAAAGAAAAGAAUCAAAGAAUACCAGAUAAUUAGCAUACUAAACUCUAGGAUCAAAUUAAACAAAAUGUUGUAAGCAGAGUUGUUCAAUGUUUAUAAGUAUUCCAUGUUUAUUAGACUAAUAAACAUGGAACAACUCUAGAACAUUCACAAAGAUCACUGAGAAUUAUAGAUGGUCUGCCAAACCUAGCAUUCAAGACUUUCUUUUAUAGGAAACAACUAUAUUACAAAAAGAAAACUCUAUACAAGAGAUCCCCAUCAAAUAGAGUAGCAAAGUGCCUUCCAACCCAGCAUUCAAGAUUCAGCAGAAGAAUGGAUUAACAAAGCCCCAAAGUAUUAGUUCCAACAAUGUUUACAUUCAUAACUUAACUGCUAAAACUUUUUCUAUUAAUCUUUCGUACCCUAUCAAACAAAAAGAAGUCAUUCAAUGUCAACUACAUAGCUAAUGAUUAUUGAAGCUUCAGCCAUAUGAUUUGUAGAAUUUUAGUCCCUUGUUUCAAUUCAAAAUCAAAACAAAAGGCAACGUUGAUCAGUGAAUUCUUCAGUUAAUGUAUCCUUCAGUGUAUUCUAACAAACUAUGCUCAGUUUGGUAAGUUGAUAAAAUUCCUUUACAUAACCCACAAAUCAAGCAGAUUUAAAAGAUCACCAACAAACCUGGCUUUCCUCUUACGCUCUCCAACCAUUUAGAAAACCCCAAAUCACUGCUGCUUUCUCCAUCAGAACUACCACCAUAGGAUAAGUCCAAAUCUGGAAAGAAAGAAGAACCAAAAAAAAAAAAAAAAACACGAACACAAACACAAAAUUUCCCUAUAAAAAUCAAAUCCCAUAAUAAAAAAUAAAAUAAAAAAGGAAAGGAAGAUUGAAAAGGCAAGAAAAUCAGAAAGAAGACGAACCAGAGAUAAGUGGGUUGGAUUGAGAUCCAGCAAGACCAGCUCUUAGAAGGGCAUAGAAGAUGCAAAGUCUACCAGCCCACAAAAUAGGAGCUUCGAUGAGAGAAGCGCGAGUGGAUGAAGGAGAAUUGAAGGUGUUGGAGAGGGAUUUGUUGGAUCUUGUUUUGUGGAAAUGGAGGAAGGUUGUGAGGGCAUUUUUGGGGUGAGAUGGAAAACCAGGGAAAAGGGAUUUGGGGAGAAGAAGAUUAAUGGAAUUGAGAGAGUGAAAAUGGAAGGGGAAAGUGGAGGAUUGGGAAGGGGAAAUGAGAGAGUGAAGCAUUGUUGAGUUGUAGACUGAUGAAAUGCUCUCUAAUCCACGCAGUGGCAGUGCAUAGCGAGGGAGACAAGCUGACUCUUAGCCUUUCUACUCACAAAACGCUACCGUUUAACCCCUUGAAGGGAUUUUUUCUAUUUUUCUUUUUGUAAGUACAAAUGUCUAACCAAGCAAAUUAAGAGCAAAUUCAAGUUAUAUCGUUAAAUAAAAGUAAGCAUUGGAUAGAAUCAUGGUUAUAAAAAUCACAAAUCAAAUCAACCAAAAUUUCAUUCAAGUUUCUAAACUUUUUUAUCAACAGGUUUUCAACAAUUUGAGAAUCAGUUUGAAUCCAAAGAGAGAAAAUAUCGUUUUAAGAGCUCUAAUCAAACAUGUCAAAGGACUUAGCAAGCAAUUCAAUUUUGUUGAGCAGAGAUGUAGACAAAUUGAAAAUAGGAAGGAUGGUGAGUGGGUCCAAAUGGGCCAUUUUAAUGCCUUAUCCAAAUGCAAACAAUGUAUCUAACAAAAGUCUUUAAUUUCCUAAGAAGUUGUAACUUUUGGAACUUACGAAAUUAAUAGCAAGAGUGAUUUUAGCCUGUCAAACUCACUUGUAUUUAAAAUAAUCAUGUUUGACAAUAAAAUAAAAUUAAUUUUUAAAAAAUAAAAAAAAAAUCACUUUAAAUUGAAGUGAUUCUUCUUUAGCAAUGGUAAGGGAAGCAUCUCCGAUAUUAUUAGAAAUAAACUAAUAAAAUUAGAUAUUUAUUUAAAAAAUUGACAACCACUUUCGGCAAACUUUUGAUUUUUUUUUUUUUUUUUUUUGUAACUACGACUGCUUUUCUAUAGCCAUCGAUCAAUGUUUGAUGAUCACAUUUCUUGGAUAUGGGAUGAAAUAUAGGUUGAGACGUAUGUGGAUAUUUUUUAAAAUGUAAAAUGUAGGUUUUGGUUGUUAUCGUUUUGUAAGUUGUCAUUGUUUUGGUUCUAGAGAAAAGUUUAUGAGCAACACUAUUUUUUUUUUUUGUAAGUUAUUAUUGUUUUGGUUAUGUAAAGUAAAAUUAUUUAGUAUGUAAGUUGUUAUGUUUUGGUUGUAGAGAAAAGUAUAUAAGUUUAUUUUUCAAAGUGUGUUUAUUGAAUAUGUUUCUAUUUUUUACUUUUAUUUGUUUUUCAUAUUCAACUUUCAAUGGAGAUCACUUCAUGGCAUGCAAAUAAAAGUUUGUGUACUAUUUAUGUAUUGUUUAUUGAAAUUUUUGUUACUUUAGAUUAAUUUACUAUUUUUGGUAUGUUAAUUUUGUAAGAAACAAUUGUAACUUUUAUUGAAAUAUUAAAUAAAUUCUAGUAUUUUCUAUUUCUACCGUUUGAAUUGUGUUUAGGUACAAACCAAAAGUAUGGUGGAAAAACAAUACAAACAUAAAAUAUAUAAUUUUUUUAAAAAUAUAGGCUUCUACCCACAACACACUAUUUUAUAGCGUCGACAUUUCGUGGAUUUGUCGACAAAAUCUAUAAUUGUCGGCGUAAUAGAGCUACAUCGUCGACAAUACAAGGAUAUGUCGAUGACAUUCUUACAUCAUCGACAUAAUAAAUGCCCACGAAAUAUUUUCACCGUUGGUGAAUAGCCCUUUCACCGAUGGUUAACUUCUAAUGUGGGCAUAGUUUCGUAGAUUCAAUUCUGUCGGCAUGCAAUUUCAGUAUUCACCAACGAUCACUUUUUCGACAUCAACGAAGGCUCUUUCAACGAACCUACACCAACGGUUUGUGUCAACAGCUUAAUAUCGUCAACAAAAGAAAAGUCGACGCAUUUUUGAAGAUAUGUCAACGAUUUAUGUCAUCGGCAAAAUGUCAAAUUCUUGUAGGAAUUAAAUUUUUGUAUUUAAAAAAGUGAUAUAUAGAGUUGGUGUGAAUGAUUAUUUAUUAUUUAUUACUAUGAAAAGAUAUUUUUUUCGAGAGAGAAAAUUGUCAAUAUAAUAAUUAGAUUAAGAAAGUGAUUAAUGAAGCAACAUUUAAAAAAAAAAAUCAAAUAUUAUCAAAUUUGUGAUAGCUAUCAAUGAUGAGAUAAAAAUCUAUAAUUAAUAUAUUAUCUUAUAAAUAUUAAUUUAUCAUUGAUAGACCAUGAAAGUUUAUGACAGACUUUAUUAUAUUUACAAUUUAAAAUAAAAAGUUAGUUUUAGACAUUAAUAUUUCUUAAAUUGCAUUUACACAUUUAUAACUUUAUUAAAAAGAUGGCAUUUGGAAAGAAAGUGUCUGGGCUUUAUGGAUAUGAUCAUUGGGCUUACCUAUACAAUGCAUAAAUAUCUUCUCUUUCUCCUUUCUAGGCUACCUUAUAUAUAUUUUACUUUUAACUUUUUCCAUUUCCUACUUAAUCCAUAAUGAUUCGACUUAACAGAAAACAUAUCGUAAUAGGUCAAGAGUAAUUAGACAAGAAAAAUAAAUUGACUUAAAAAUAAUUAUUACCUAUACCUUUUUAUUUUUGUCUAAUUGGGAUUACCAUGGUUAGACUAAACAUUAUCAAAUUAGAACAAUUGUUUAAAAGAAAUUGUGGUUUAUUAAUUUAGUAGUCUACAACCCUUCUUUUAAGGGUCCAAAGUUUGCAAAUUUUACAUUGUUUUUCAGCAAAAUAAUACUGCAUGCAAACACCAAAAUGCUCCAUUUCAACAAAGGAAUGAUCCUUCCUAAUAGAUCUAGAAUCUCAACCAUAACAUAUUUGAAAAUAAUCGUCAACAGGUUAUUUGGUCAUUAAGUAAAAUAAAUUAAUAAGUUGGAGUUCAAAAGUUAUUUCACAUUUGAAACAUAGAGCUGUAAGAUUGAGUUUUACUCUAGUUGUGAAAAGUAAAAAGAUGAAGACAACGAUAGAAGAUAAUGUAAAUAAAUUAAAAAAAGAAAAAACGAAUUUGUUCGAAAAACGUAAAAAAUAGAGAAAUAAAAGAAAAGAAGUUAGUACUUUAAAGUUUAGUUAUCUAACACGAAGCUAAUACAAUUGGUUGCUCGAACAACCCUAAACUCAUUAAUUAAAAGUAUAGUUGUUGGUGUCUAUAACUUUGGCAUUUCAAUUCCUCUAACAACUCUAUCUACAGAACACCCCUAAUUUAUCAACUCUCUUAAUCGUUCUAGGCGUAUUUUUCUUUUCAUCAUUUACCUUCCUAAAAUAUGUACAUAUCUACAUUUCACUAAAUUAGCAAUCACCUUAAAUAUAUCUAAAGAAAUUGUAUUUGUGUUUUAAAUUAGAGCGCUUUGUUGUAUAUAAAAGGUUUUCAAUUAUAUACCAAAAUGAACUAACUUAUUUAUAAAUAUAGCAAAAUUUUAAUUUUUAUAUGUGAUAAACCACGACAGACUCAUAUAGAUAUCUAUUUACCUUAGUGACAGACAUUUGCAAAUGUCUAUUUUGAUCUAUCAUGUAGUCUAAGAAAAUUUAACCAAGAGAAAAAAAUAAUUGAAAUUACCUUUUCCUUUCUAAAAAGAAAAAUGUUUAAACGAGAAACUAUGAAAAACUAUGCACAUUAAUCAACCAUAUGAAAUGGCAAAAGGGUUAAAAGAUCGUGAGUUAAAUUUUUUAUUAUCAUUUACCUAAGAUUUAGUAUCUACGAACGCUUUUUACAUAUCUAAAUAUCAUAAUGUCAAAUUAAGUUUAUUGUCGUGUAUGAUUAGUCGAAUUACAGGCACUAUAUAAAAUAUAUAUACACACACGAAUGAAUGUUGAUUGAACUUACUGUUAGGAAUUUUAAUAUUAAAAAAAUUAUGAUGAAGUUAAUUAAAAUUAAAACUUAAAUAAUUUUUUCAAACUCUCUAUUAUUAGGGUUUUGAAAAAUCAAGAAUAUGUGUCAUUUUUGUAGCAUGAGAAAUAUAUAUAUUAUAUAUAUGCUCCACUAAAUCUGAAAAGGGCUGGAAGAGGGCUCUCAUCAUGAGUUAUAAAUAAUUAAUGAAAAAAAUAUUGUCCCAAUUUUGAUUCUACUUUUUAUUUUUUAUUAAAAAAAAUACAAUAACCAAAAUCACAAAUAAACAAAGAAAUAAAAAAGUCAUAAGUGGUUGUUUAAUAAUUAGGUUUAAUUAUUGGUUACAAAUUAUAGAGGAGAAAAUGGUCCUCCCUAUGUAAAGAAAUUUUUGUAACAGAGUAGCCUUUUCCCUAUUCAAAAUUUAAAACCAACCUCUUUUAUUGUGAUUUUCAAAUUAUAUGAUGAUAAUUUUAGUGAAUCUAUCAAAUUUUACUUAUUUAACUUCUUUUUAUAAUUUUAUAUAUAACCUUCUCAUAACGACAACAACCGUAAAUUUAUAAUUUGAAUAAGAGAGAAUUUUAUAAAACAAAAAAAAAAAAAAACGACUUUAAUAUUGAAUUCAAAGAAUAAAUAUAUUUUGAAUGGAUUUGAUUUAGGUUUAUCUUAAUUGGACAUGGUGUUUUUUUCUUUCAAUUGAUAUGUUAUUUUAUUUUUUAUUUUUUAUGUAAAAUUCUCCCUAGUUCUAAAAUUAAAAUAAGUAAGUAAUUGUGUAGAUGAUAUGAGAUGCAUUUCUACCACUAAUUUCAUAUAUAUUAUUUAACCUAAGUAAAUAGGUUUUUAAUUCUUAAUUGUAGCCUUUAUAGGGUUGAGGGGUCCAAAUUGUGUCAUCAACUAAAGAGUGAGGAUUUUGUUAUCGAGAAAAGAAAUGGUAAUAGAGAAGAAGAGAAAAAAAAAUCCAAAGGCUAACCUUAGGGAGGGGAUAGGAAGGAAGAGAGAAGCUGUGUGAUGAUUGAUAGAAGAUAAAAGAAUAAAUAUAUAGUUGGUCAAGCAAAGUUAUGGAGAAAAAAGGAAUCUAUUAUAAUAGGUGGUGGAUAUGAUUCGAGUCAAAAGACGUUUUAGUUGCUAGCUAGCUGACUACCAAAGGUAUAUGUUGGUUAACCUAUGUUUGCUAUAGAAGUGUUUUGUAUAAUAUGUGCUAUAAAUUGUUUUUUUAUAUGUCAUUUGAAUUUAUCCAUGAAAAUCUUGUUUUACUUAAAAGCAUGACUUAAUAUUCGAAUCAACGUAAGCAUGACUUAAUAUUCGAAUCAACGUUAAAUAUGAAUUUGGUCUCAAAUACUACUGGAAUAAUCAAUGACUCUAAUUCUCAUAGUAAGAUUUCUCACCAAAUUAUCAUUUUAAUAUAUAUAUUAUUCUUUUUAUAUAUAUAUUAUUUCUCUAUUUUUAUUAUUCAAAUUAAACUACAGUAUAUGUAUAAAUGAAAGGAACUAAAUUUUUUUAAAAAAAGUUGUAAAAGUGAGUGUGAAAUAUGGAAGCUAAAUCUAUAGGUGUAAAUUGAAACAUUAGAACUAAAAAUAUAUUUUGGAAAAAGUAAUAAUUAGACUUCAAAAGAUGAGCAAUUUUAAGGGUGUAAGAAUAUGGGUUGAAUCUGAUAACUCGAACUACCCGAACUAUUCAACCCAUAUUGUAUGGAUUGAGUUGAUUGGGUUAAAAAAACUUGAUUUUUUCGAGUUGGGUUGGAUCUUAGGUUGAAGGAUUGAAAAAUUCGGUUCAACCCAAUCCAACCCAAAUUAAUAAUAUAUAUAUCUAUAUAGUAUUUAUUUAAAAGGUCUUCCUCUUCUCCUUCACGCACGACAUUCCUAUUUUCGUUUGUAACCUUGAAUGUACAAAUAUAUAUAUAUAUAUUUAAUAAAAUAAAACUUAAAAAUAUAGGUCUUCCUCUUCUCCUUCACCUUCAAGCACGGCAUUCCUAUUUAUGUUUUUAACUAUGAAUGUUUGGAUUUAUGUAUGUUUAAGAACUUUGAAUUUAUUUAUGUUUGUAUAACGACUUUGAAUUUAUGAAUGCUUCAAACUUUGAGUUUAUAUAUCUAUAAAAUUUUGAAUUAUGUAUGUUUGAACUUUGAAUAUAUAUCAAUUUUGAACUUUUUUUUUUUUAGGAACUAUUUUGAAUUUUACAACCCUUGGAAAGUGUAGGGAAAAAAAAUGCAAUCCGACAACAAAACUCAUAUUUUAUGGGUUGGGUUGGGUUGGAUUGAGUUGGAAACUAAAUAACCCAAAAAUAUUGGUUGGGUUGAGAAUGUCUUCCAACCCAACUCGAUUACACCCCUAAGCAAUUUAUAUGUGUGUAAAUCGAUAAAAAUAAAAAAAUAAAAAAAAAAUUAGGUUCAAAACAUAUAAGCAAUUUUUAAAAAACACUUUAAGAGAUUAAAGAAAAAAAGAUAGAUUGAACAAGGAAGAUUUACUCUUUUUGUUUAUUUUGUAGAAUUUUUUUGAAAAAGCAACAACAAAUAAAAAAAUAUAUCAUUUUUCAUCAUUUUUACAAUUUCAUUUAUACGUGUGAAUCUUAUGAAGGUUGUGAGUUAGAAAAUCAAAUAUUUGUGUUAUAAAGACUUGCACUACGGUGAUGUAUUCAUGUUCUCCAUACUUCGACAAUUAAAUCACGAAUGUAGUGUUCAGUAAAAACGUGAUUAAUUAAGUUUUAGUACCUUUAUCAUAUGAUAGAGCUUAACUAUUUACGACCGCUCGUUUUUCAUGCAUUUAAACUUGUUCAUUAACGCAUGACAAUGUGUCAUCGAAAAAUAUGUCAAGGUAAUCAAUGGCAGCUAGAACAGUAAACCCAAGCUCAAGGAUUUCUAAUUUGAAAGUCUCACUGUUUCUUUUAGGUCUAGACCUUGCUUGAAAUUUGACCCUAACAACAUAAUUAUUAUUAUAUAAAAAGAUGUCCCAACCAAAUAUGUAGUAAGUAAGAAGUUGGAAUCGAGUAGUAGUAAUUAAUUUGGAGUAUAAAAGCUUUUUUAUUUCAAAAGAGAAAAAACAAAAGGAAAUAAAAAAAAAAAUAGAAAGAAUAGUAACUAGAAGAAGAAUGAUAGAAUGCAUAUGAAUGAUUGAAAAGAAAAUUUUGAAGGAAAAGUUUAAUAACAAGAAAAAAUGAUAAGAAGCACUUGGAAAGUACAAAUUGAGUUAUGAAAGUAAUUUGGUGUGUUUGUACUAAUAAAUUAACUAAUAUGCUCACAUGUGUAGCACUUUUGAUAUCAUUGGAAACAAAUGGUUAGUGGCCAAAAGAGGGAAAUAAGAAUCAAAAGGGGACCAACUAUGCCCUUUAAUUUUUUAUUUUUUAUUUUUUUUUGACAAAACUACAAAAAUCAUCGAAAACUAUAGCGGUGGUUGCAAUUAUAACCACAAACUUUCAAAAUUAAAAAUUAAGCUUUCAAACUCAUUCAGAAUUUAAAUUUUGACUUUCAAACUUACAUGAUUGUAUAAAUUAUUAUAUUGAUUUUAAGGUAUGAGAAUUAAACUUUUACGAUUACGGUAAGUUCACAAGGGUUCAUUUAUUACUUUUGAAAGUUUAAGGAUCUAAUUGCAAUAAUUAUCAUAUUUUAGAAGUGGUUUUUGUAAUUUGCCCUUUUUUUCAACAAGUGUGUCCUUUAAUUUAUCGCAAACAAGAGAAGAGAUCUAAUGUGUGUUUGAUCAAGUCAUACCAAAUGAUUGGAUUUUGAUAUCAAAUUUUGUGAUGAUAUAUCAAUGCUCAUUAUAAGGGUUGAUCAUGUAAAAAUAUGGCAUUCUUUUUUUUUUUCUAACAUGGUUUUAGUACUUUGUUUAAGAAAAGUCUUUUAAGGAUGCAAGAUAGAUUUCAAAAUUUCUAAAAGAAAAUUAAAAAUUAUUUACAAAAUUAGUGCAAAUUAUUGCAAAAAAAAAAAAAAAAAACUUUGAUUACAUCAUGUAUCGAUAAGAUAAAUAAAAUCAUGUGUUCAAACUUUGAUAAUGUUAUUAUGUAUUUAAUGUCAUCACAAUAUAAUCUUCAAUUAAUAUUAAUUUUUACUCAUUCAAAUUUACAACCAAAUUAAAAGAUUAUAAGUAAAGAAAGGGUGAAGUAUUCGUAAAAUUAAGUUUAUUUUAAUUUAUAAAUAUCAAUUUGAACUUUUGCCUUGAUAGAUGCUUUAACUAUCAUUACUUUUAAUCUAUGAAUUGAGACUUUUGAUCCCUCGUUUCAUACUGUUAUUAUACUAAAAAACUAUGAAACUAUUGAAAAUUUCAUAUUCUAUUUACGUUAAAAUCAUUAAUAUUAAUUGAUAGAAUAAAAUUUUGAUAUGUUUUAUAAAUAUUUUACGUUUAAUGUGUUAUAAAUUUGAAGAUUGCUUGAAUCAAUACUAAUAUAAAAAGAAAAUCUUUGGGAUAUAUACAUACAACUAAGUAACAUGCAAAAUCCAUAUAAAUUAACCUUCGUACCUAUAGCUUAUACAAAUUAUCUAUUUGUCUUCACUAAUAUAAUUUGAUUAAAAUAUUAUUUUAGUCUUUUUCUUUUUUAAUUUAUUCACUUUUAGUUCAUAUAUACUUAAUACAUCUUAAGUAUAGUAUCUUGCUAAUUUAUUGUUGAUUAAAGAUUGUAAUCUAUUAGUAUUUUCACAAUAAAUUUUAAAAAUAUAUUCAUCUUGUAUAGUUAGUAUGUUUAUUAUUUAUGGGUGAUUUUUUAUAAUUAGUAAAAAAAAUAAGAAUAAAAGCAAGAAGACCAAUAAAUCAAAAAAUAACAAAAUUUUAGACUGAAAGUACUAGCCUAAGCAUAAACGGGCUUAAAGAAGAUAAGUUCGUGCCAAAGCACAAACUUAUGUGUUUAGCUUCGGCCAAGGUCAAGGACAGUUUUAGCAAAAUAGUUAAUAGGACAUAUCCUACAUAUGCUCGGGCAAAAAAGGCAUUGUCCUAAGAUCAAAAUAAGGGCAUGGCUGUAAAAUUAUAGGAGAAUAACCUAGUUUUAAGUUUCUCUAUAAAUUACGUACACAUUGCUAUAAAUUCACGUGUUAACUUGAAUCUUACUCUCAAACUCUCUAGUUUCCACUCUUACUUGAAAAUUAUAUUAGAGUGUGUAUGGUCGUAAAGCACCACAUCAGAAUGCAAGUCUUCUCUCCUUCAAACAAAUCUAUUGUCAGUGUCACACGUGAAUGUCAAGUACGUUUUUCGAAUUUAAAUUUUGACAUCAAAAUUAUUUAACCAAUUUUAGUCAAAUAUAACUUUCAAAUACUAAACUCAAGUUUUGUUAAAAUUAGUAUAGAUAUUAGAACUGAAUAAAUUUGGAAGUAUAAACACUAAAAUGAUAUAUUAACGGAUAAACUAUUUAUAAUGAUUACAUAAGUUAGGAAGUUGUAGUUGUAUAUUAUUUGAUCAUUACAUUGGAGAGGAUGAACUUCAAUGAAAAUUAAUUAUAAUAUGAUUAGAACAAGCUUUUAGAUAAAGUUAUUAAUUGAUUUAAUUAAUUUUGAGCUGACAAAUGGCCGAAAGAAACGUUGGAUCCCACAGAGAGUUAUGAUUUUGAGUUAAAUAUUAGGUUUCCAUUAUGGUAAUACUUAAUAUUAUUUUCAUAUGCAUGAGAGAGACUUUAAUUUUCUUUUUUAAAAUAGAAAAAAGAACAAUAUAACAACUAACUUUUUGGGCAAUUAAGGUUUAAAUGGUUACCAUGUGCAUGGAAAUUAAAUAGUAAAAUAAAGGUUACAUACAUUACUAUUAUUUUCUCAUUAAUCAAAUAAUAAUUUGGCUAACUGGUUUGAAUAUUCCAUCGUUUUAGAAUCUUAUCAUUAUCAUUUCAAUGCUAAAAUGAGUUUAGCUCAAUCAUGAUUGAUAUCAACUUUUCGUCCGAGUCUAGUUGUGGAGUUGAGGGUUCUAUAAUCUGAUUUGCAUAUUGCAGAUUAAGUGGAAUCUACUAGCUUUUUCUAUAUACUUUUGAAUGAUAUUCCAAUUUUUCUUUUGUGUAUACCAAUAUAGUUAUCGUACUAUUAUAGAUAUUGUUUAUCAUUACAACCAAAAUGAGUCUUAAUGUUAAUUUAAAGAUGCUAUUAUAGAGGUACGAUGUCAGUUGUCAAAGUAGGAGAACUAUAAAUAUGUUAAAGUAUUAUUGUCAUUAUAGAUAUCGAUUAUCGAUUGACUCUAAAUGGUAACGGUAACACUAAUGAUAAAAACAUAAUGAUAUUAGAGUAAACAUCUCUUCCAAUAAUAAUUAAAUUACAUUUUUCGAAGGUAUAAGUAAAUGUAAUCAAAAGUAAUCCAAUUGUAUUUUACAAUCGAUAUACAUCAACAAAAAUCCACUAUGUGAUUACCCAUUCCUUAUUACGAUUAGUAAACAUAGCCUAUAAUCAAUAUUGCAAGUUAUUGUAAAAUUAUUUGAUGAAUUUCAUUUUAUUUAUUUUAAUUGCGUGAAGGAUCCAUUUGACUAUUUAAAAUUUAAACCUCCAAACGUUAUUUUAAAAAAAAUAAUGAUAAAGAUCAAUUUCAUUUUAAAAUUUCAAUCAAUCAAACUUGAAUCAAGUUCAACUAAUUUAAAUAUAUCUUCGAUCAAAACAUUAAAGAUUUGAAUUAUCACGUUAGAUAAACUAUAUAGUAAGUAGAUUUUAAUUUUAAUAAUUACAUAAAGUUUUGGAUUAAACUUUGGUAUGAUGAGGAAAAAGUAGAUUAGAACGUGCAAAGAGUUGCAAUCAAUUUAUUUAUACAUAAAGCAUUAAGAGUGAGUGUGUACAUAAACUUAUCUUUAGUUGCCCUUUAAUUACUAUUAAUUUUGUUAAUUUUGCUUUGGAAAAAAGGGGAAGGGUCGAGAAAAGGGGAAGACCCUUCCUCUUCAUCCCUAUCGUUUUUUUACGAGUGAUAGAAUCUAAAAGUUUAUUAUAUAUAUAUUUAGUAAAUAUUUUGUUUAUUGAAUAUAUCUGAAAAUAUCUGCUAACCAAUUAAGAGAUAUAUGAACUAAUUGACAAAAUUAUUUAAUCUCCGAAAUUUUAUUAGCUAGUAACUUAAUUUUUAAUUUUGUUGUAAAUUAUAAUCCAAUCUCUAUCAUUAAAAUUACCAAAAAUAAAGUGUUAAUAUUUAAUAUUUAAUAAAUUAGUCUAUAAAAACUUAGAAUAUAUAUACUUUGGUCUAAUUUGGUUUGCCUUAAAAAGAAAUUCAUAUUGCUUUCUUCUUGUGGGUUUGGUUUUAAGCAAUUUAUUGCUUUACAUAAUGAUAACCUCAAAUUACUACUUAACAAAAAUAUUUAUGACAUCAAUCCUAAAUUAUUAACAAUUUUAAAUUACAAAAAUGAAAGAUUAUUACCUAAUCGAGCAAUUAAUUAAAUCGUUACCAACUUUGGAUGGACUAAAUAAUUACUUCAAUUAAACAAUUACCAUCCUUUUUAUUUUUUAAAAAAAAUCUUGUUCUUUGAUCUUCUUAUCUUUAAAUAAGGAUUAACAAAAUUACAUGAACAUAGAUCACAAAAUCUCUCAUUUUCUUGGUGGUUAGAUUACCUAUAGAUUGUACUCAAUGAUAAAUUUUUACAAUUACUUGUAAAUUCAUUUUACUAAAUUACAAGUCAAGUCUUCCAAAAAAAAAAUUUAUAGAUGCAUCACUAACAAACAUUCUUCAUAUUUAACAUAAGAAUUUAAAAAAAAAAAAAAAAAAGAUGGGUUUGAGUUUUUUUUUUUUUUUUUUUUUUGUAAUAUAAAGUUCAUCCAUAAUAAUAAAAAAAUUUGUCUUAUUACAUAUAUAUUGAAAAAGAAAUAGUAAGAAGAGAAAUACAAUGUACAUAAUUAAUAGUUACUUAUUUAUAACUUUUACAAACCCUUGAAAUUACUUAAAUAUGUUAAUCUUACUGAAUAAAACUUUAAGAAAAAAAGAAAAACUUCUACAUACUUCACUAUUGUACCUGAAAUUUCACAAAAUAAUACACAUUGGGUUUGAGUAGUUUUUCUUAAAUAUGAAGUUCUUCCAUUAGAAAUUUACAAUGGUAAUUAACCAUAACAUGAUGAUAAUUAUGAUAAUUGGAACCUUUUCAAAUAUACAAUAUAUGACCCCAAAAAAAGAAGCCAAAAAAGGUCAGAAAUGCACUGACAAUGGCAUCCUACAAGUUAAGACAUAUAUAGAUAGAAACAAAGUUAUACUCAUAAUGCAUCCCUUUGUAAUUUUAUAUAUAUAUAUAUAUAUGUAUAUAUUGUUAUUAUUUUAGAAUGUCUCAAUUUUAGUCCAUGUUUUUUCAAAAAAAAAAUCUUAAAUUUAAUGGUUGUUAGCUUGUUUAUUGUUUAACUUUUCAAAUCAUUUUUUCCUUUGUUAUUUAUUAAUACUUUUUACUAUAAGUUUUGGAAAUAUUGAAGUUCUUUACACGGAAAAAUAUUAUUUCUUUACCCUAAUUUGAUAAAAAUAUUAACUUCGACAGAGAUUAAAUUUAAGAUUUUUUUGAAGCACUUUGCAAAAUGGUAUUUUAAACUGAAAAGAAAAAAAAAGUAAUUUACUUGAGAACUUACAAAUGAAUUAAGGGAAAAUUCAAUUAGUAAGAAAGAAGAAAUAAAGUAGAAGCAACAAAAUGGCAACACUCCAAGGAAACAGAAGCAAAAGCAGAAGAAACCCAACUCCCCAUGGGAAUCCCACAGCUGAAUGGUUGUUGUUAUAUCCUCCGUCGCGGCCGAGAGAUAGCCAGUGAACGGCAACAACCAAAAGCAACGGCGAAACAACGACGAGCCUCUGAAAUACCUCUGAUGCCGAGGCAACGGCGGCAUCGUACACGGCAUAAGCCAAGAAUCCAAAGAUUAUAAGAGCAAUGGUUGCAAGAAGCCAUUGGUCUGAAAAGCUCAAGCUUGAAGAGUUUCUACAAGUAGCCAUAAGAAUAGAGAGAGGGGGAGAAAAAAAGUGAAAAGGGUGUUGUUGUUUUGGUGUUUGUGUUUAGGAGUGGGAAAUGAUUUGUAGUUAAAAAGAAGUGAAAUGUGAAGAAAUACAAAAAUGGGGUUUUCUAGUUUUGGCUUUAUAUUGUGGUCUUUACUCAUACUAUUGGGUUUAGAAGAUAAAUAAUUGACUGUCCCAUUGCUGCCACAAUCAUACAAACCCUUAAAAUUACAUACAACACCCUCAACAACUCUAGUGUCUGCCUUUCAAUUAUGUUUUUUAACUUUUAAAAAGUAUCUUUGUAGAGUUUUUAAUUUUUUUUAUUAAAAUAUGAUGAAAGGUGACGUGUUGGUUAACGAGAAAAGAAAUUAAAAGGCAUGUGUGAUAUUGUUUUCAAUAAUGCCAUUUAUGUAAAUCGAUAAAAACCGAUGAUGUGAAAAUUUUUAUUGUUAAAAUGCCUUGAAUCUAAUAUUAGGUGCUCCGAAUUACUAAGUAUUGAGCCUUUGAUGGUUUGUAUUAAUAUAUAAUAUUAUAAAUUAUUCUCUUUAAUAAUAAUUUGUUUUUCAUUUGUCCAUGGUUAGUAAUUGUAGCUAACAAGCUGUUAGUUCCACGACUCGAGUUUAAGAGGGAGAUUACAUGUGAAAAGAGGAAUUAUGAAGACAUGAGAUAUUGGUAAAAAACACUUUAAAAGAAUUGAAAAUUACUAUAUAUACCAACAAGAGCGGUGUAUCUUCAUUUUCAUUAAUUCAAUCAUAAGAACUUUAAAGUUAAGUAUGCUAAAUUUACCUAGAUGCAUUUAAGUGAGAACAAAGCAUGUUGAAAGAAUUCAUGUUUGAAUAACUUUCACUUUUAGAAGUAUUCGAAACAAGCAAGAAUGAAGUUGUUAAGUCACAGAUGGGAGUGUCGAGGUCAUCAAGUGUCAAAUCCUAUACUUACAGUGUUAUAGUUAGUAAAUCAGAACCACAUAAGUCUAUAUGUUGAUUCUAUGUUGUUUAUACCAUAUUGCUAAUCGAUUUUAGUUAUAUGAACAAUUUUCGUUGUCAAAUCAAUUUAUAUCCUUUUAAUAAAAGAAAAAAUUGGAAUGAAUUGCAAGGUUGAUUGGUAUCUUUAGAAUAGAAAGUUGAUGAGUAAAAAAUAAAAAUCUUCAAAGUUUGAGGAGAUGAUUGAAAGUUUAGGGAUGUUUUAGUGUAAUUGAAGCUCACAAAAACAAGAAAUAUGAGAGCAAAUAAUUGCACCAACUGUCUAAAUAGUCCCCAAAAUGGAUCCAAACUUACACACCCUUUGCUUAUAAACCUAUAGAGAGAAAUAGCUUUGAAGUUAAGAACCACAAGGACACUUUAUUAAAAUGCUUUACUCUUCUCGCAUUUCUAUUUGCUUACUUCAAAGGAAAUGAAAAUACCAAAUUAAGAAAUCAAUAUGAAAACAAUUUGAAAUAUAACUCAUCAUCUCAAAUAUAUAUAUAAUAAAAAUUAAAAACACAAUGAGAUUUAUGUUGUUUUUUUUAGAAUUCGUACUAGCCAACCAAUAUAGACAUGACUCAAUUAACAUAAUGUAUAAACAUUCAAUCAAUUUUGAAUUCCCUACAUAUGAUGAUGGAAAAAAUGAAAAGGAAAACGUUGAAUAACAAAUACGUAGAUCUCAACGUAUUAAACAAUUAUUGUUGUUUUUAAAUAUGUGUGAUUAGGUUACACCUAUCCAAAAUCAAGGUGAUGCAUUUAAAGUCUCAAUUAAAACUUGUUAAAAGCAAAUAACAAAAAUCCAGACUUACUUUGUAUAAUUUAGCUUUUAAUUUAGACUAUUCUCUAAGAUCUCGAUGAUUUCCUUAAUGAACGUAAUAAAUACAAAAAUUAAUCUACUUCCCAUGCUUAAAAGAAGAGUUAACUCAAUGUGUAAUAAUUUUCUAUGAAGUUCAUACAAGUGUGUGUUUGAGGUGUAUAAUCAAGUUGAUUGAGGUCAAAAGUAUCUAGCACCAUUUUUGUAAUCUAAAAGACUUUGAUAUUUUUGUUGGCUAUUUUUGUUUGUUGAACUUUUCUUGGACAUUCAACUAAGAUACCAAUUUACAAACUUUACACAUACUUGACAAUUAUGUGCAUGCAACUUUUGUAAUUGAGCUACGCAAAAUACUUGGUCACCUUUCAUUACAACAACAAAACUGCAAUGUUAGGUACUUUACAUUCAAUUAGGCCUUCAUAUGUUAGAAUUAAGAAAUUCUUAUUCAAAGAAACAUCUCUUUUUAAAUAGAAAAACAAAUAACCUUAAAUACCUUAGCAACUUAGAUCAAAGUACAUGAAGAUAAGGAGAUAUUUCUUGCUUUCGUUCUUUACAAAGCUUAGCAUCUAACCUAACUCUCUAGAUCAGUAGCACAUGUCUAAAUGCCAACAAAAACUUAACUAAACUAACACGUGAGUGUACUUAAGAACCAAAAAGUUUCAUGCUCAAAUCUCUCCAACUAUAAUUUGCACUACAAGAAAUAGCAUAUGUCUAAAUUAAUUAAGUAAAAAUUUCAAAUUUUGUAUUUAAAAAUAUUUUCACCAACCAAGUUUUUUUUGUUUCAAGAAUAGAGUCAACUAAGUUAGUCAUUGGGAAUGAUCAACUAAGUCAAGUUAGUCAUUGGAUCAACUAAGUCAAGUUAGUCAUUGUGAAUGAUCAAUUAAAAUAGUGAUUAGAAUUCACCAAAAAAGUGGUACUCAUUAGAGCUGGUCGCUAGAUGUGACUCUUGCCAGAAGUGGUACUCAUAGAAUGUGAUCGUUAGUGUUUGUCAACAAUGGUUGUUUCCAAACUUAGUCAUCAACAAUGACUGAUGUGUAGAAUCAUUGCAAACAUUGGAGGUGAGGAGAUUUAGGUCGAUUUAGUAAUUUCAUCAACAACGGUGCCUCCUAGAUUUAGUUGGGUUGAGUUGAUAAAAACUAACCACCCAACUUAGUGAACAGAACAGCCAAGCAUUCUUAAGAUACUAGUAAAGAAAAUGGCAAAUUUUCAACUCGUUGGAUUAAAAGAUCAUACACAAUUCUUUGUCAAAAACCUUUUUAGUUCAAUUAUAAAUAAAGAAAAUUAAACUUCUAACCACUGGUUAGUUGAACAUAUACCUAAACUAGUUAAAGAAUGUGACCCGAUUGACUUGUAACUUAUUUUGCUUCAAAAUUCAAACCAUUGAAUCAAAAUUGGGUAUAUUUCUAGAGAACCUUAAGACAACUUGUAUAUAUAGCCAGAACAAUAUUGGGAAAUAAGAGUGUACCAAAAUGUUAAAGUAGAAAAACAACAUAAAAAAUAGAAACUAUCUGACUUUUUGCCAAACUGUGUUCAUUUUACAUGGUUCACAUCUUAAUAUCAAAAACUGCAUUAGAAAAAAAAAUUACAACGAUCUCAAGAACUUAAUAAAAUAAUAACAAGAGAUUCUAAUUACUGGAUGAGCAUAUAUCAUUACUAAAAUCAAAAAUCACAAUCGAUUCAAUGCGGAAAUCUAAUUCAAGUUACAGAAUAGGCACUGAAUAUGACAGAUUAGUGUAGUAUAAUAAAUGUCACAUAGCCAUGUAAUUGGUUGUGAUAUAAAUAUCAAGGCUAUCUCUUCGUUGUACAUUUCAACGAUACAACAAUGAGAUAGAGCGAAUAAUCCAACAUGUUAAGUCAGCAUACAAAAUAAUUUUAUAUAAGAUCUUUUGAAAGAAUUGCCUCUUCAAGCAACUUCUUCAGAUGAUUUAGAAGAACGUCGUUUGAGAAUGUUGGGAAAUCUUUUGGGUAGACUACAUACAGGCGUGUCUCCCGCUAAACCUUGAAACGCCAUGCCUAAGGAAUAUCCUAAAGCUCGAGCAACCGGUACCGCAACUGCAUUUCCUACUUGUAUGUACCUGUUACAUGACCAGUUCUUAUAUUGUUCGUGUUUUGGAAUAGGUACUUUGAUCACUAAUCUUCAAAAGAACAUAGUAUAUUAUUCUGGGGAUUCACUCACUAGAACAAGAAAAAUGACUAUGUUCAAUGGUGGUCAGUCAAAAAAUUGUUUUCUAAGGGACACGAAGCAAGUUUUUCUAAAACAAGAAACAGAUUAUUGAUAAAUGAAAACAUAUAAAACAAGAUGGAUAAAAUGCAAAUAAAAUACGCAGAAAAGGGGGAAAAUAAAACAAACAGGCUCGCCGAAAGGGCAUACUAACCAAAAACUCCAAAACAGCAGACUAGUCCACAAAGCAAGUUAUUGCAAAGGUCAACCAAAAGCCUCAAGAAAUAUUUGCUUUAAUUGAAUUGGUAAAGCAAUAUAUAUUAUGUUUCAGAUGGUGGAAUUAAGUCCUUCCUUAAAUGCAAAGUUUCUAAAACAUACCUUUCUUUCACAGGCCCAAAGAGCUUAUAAUAAUCUGGAAAGCCUUGAAGUCUUGCAUUUUCUCGAAUCGUCAUUACUCUAUCUUGCUCUGGAUGUGUAAUUGCCUGUACGUAUCAGUGGACAACACAGAAAUGAGUUGGUUGAAGGCUGGUUUAUACUGGAAAAUUAAGUAAUUUCUCCUACGCAAAAGAUAUAAAAAGGCAUACAAGUAGAGUUAUAACCUGGUUGUGAGGCUCUGCCCGAGUAACAACUGUAGGCACUGUCUCGUCCCACCAUAAACGAGCAAAUGGCCUUUUUAUCAUUUCGUAAAAAUGGGAAAUAUAAGUAAGGAACAGGGAAGUAAAAUGUAUAAAAAGGAGAACGAAUCAAAAUCAAUGCUUACUUUGAUGAUGAUCCAUUCACAAAACUCAUGGCAUAAUCAGGAACCUGCAAUUGCAGUGGCGUAAGAUAUAAUAGGACUAGGAAUGGAAAGAAACCAAAAAUGCUCCCAGGAACUUUUAAGCCAAAGUUCAUACUGAAAUGGAUACAAAUGAAGUAAAUAGAGAUCCAUGCAAUGAUGAAAAUUGCAAUGGUCGUAUCUCAAGUGUUGGAUGUCAAUUGAUAUUUCAGAAAAAAUAACAAUAGACCACCACAACAGAAACAUGUAAAUUUGUUUAAAUUGAUGAAUGAAACCUUAUUGUUUUUACAUUUAAAAGUACACAAUUGAAACUUGCAUAUUUUGCUCUAUAUUAAUUUUAAACACAUCUGAGAGACACAAGCAUCUUACCAAUGGCUUCCCAGAUUCCAAAUACACUCUCUUAACAUCAGGAUCCCAUUCAACUCUUUUAUCAGGGCGAACACGAACACCAGAUAAAUCUCUAAAGUUUGCUCCCUAUGGAAAACAUAGGGGUUAGUGACUGAAUUUUAAAAACUAAAAAAGUCCAUCAAACACAUUAACAUUCAAGAAAACCUUUCGCUUUGGAAUCUGACAAACACGUUGGUAGUCAUCUGUAUUUAGUUCAAGUGGCCGAUGAUCGUAAAGUGGGUGCGUAGCUGGCUUAGACAUUGUAGAAGUAUCAAACAUUUCUGUAAAUAACAAUCCACCAAAGAUAUUAUAAUGGGCAGGAACAUAUUCAAUCAAAUAAAUGAGAAGAAAAUCCUACAGAAAUAGAAUAACUUGUAUUAAAGACUAUAACCAAGGAAACCAUAACAAAAGGUUAUUCAGAUCCUCAACAUCACUUCAAAACAAGAGAUGAGGCUUCCAACAAGACACUGAAAAUACUAAUCCAUCCAAGGCAGACAGCCAAGCACUCAAAAAAAAUUCUAGAAAGGAUUCUAAUGGUGCCGUUUGCACCUUUUGCUUUCAAGAGAAAGGUCACAUGCUUGGCAAGCCAACCUUUUUGGUGUUUUCUAGUUUACUAGCUAGAUAGAUAGUUCAUAUAAUUAAAUAAUUAAAUCAAUUCUAGAAAGGAUUGUAAUGGUGCAUUUUUUUAGCCUCAUCUUUCAAGUUUCAUUUUAUUUCUUCUAAUUAGUUUUGUAGUGUUCCUUGCUUUUGGUUGGCUUUCUUUCUGUGGGUUGCUUUUACUUCCGGUUAUGAGUGAGCUGAUUUUCCAUUUUUUUAAAAUAACACAAUAGAAAGGUCCAUCCAACAAAUUUGGGUAUGAAGAUUUGGACACUCUACCUAAAAGAAUAGAGUGUAUAUGUUAGUUAUCACUAAGUUGGGCUCAUGUUAGACCUUUCUCGAUUGACCACUCUACCACUGCCAUUAAUAACAUUACUCUCACAAUUAAAAUAUUGUUGAUGUCACUCUCUUCUUGUUUGACCUUGCUUCUACAGGUAUUGCUUUCACAUUUCACUCUCUACCCUCACAGCCUCAGCCUCACUUUCUCCCCAGCCUCCCCUCUCUCACUCACUCUCUUUUCCAACUUGUCACUGCUGCUUGAUAACAAAAAUAAUAUUUUCAAGAAUAUAAUACACAUAUAUAUCCCAAACCAUCUAGGAAACUGACUGGUAGUCUGGUUCAACUUUUAAAUCCAAAACAGUUCUCAAUUUAGAAGAUUCUAAAACAAGAUGGUUGAGUUCAAUCAUUGAUUUCAGCAAAAAGAUCAAACUGAACCAAAUUGUUCAUAACCUUGUCAUAAAUCACAAGUUGCACAAGAGACAUGAACUUUGCAUUCAAUAAAUCUAAGAUACAUAUCAAAAGAUACUUGGGGAAGAAAUAAGUAGCUAACCUUCCCUUGGUGAUCUAAUUAAAUGCUGAAACUCAGUCUUGGGAGGUUCAUGGUAAGGCAUUUCAUCUCGCCGUUCAUCAUUUUCAACCUGCAUAUAGCAAAGCAAACAAAAAAGAAUAUAAGCACAAAAUUUAUAACUGAAAACCAAUCUGAUAAGACAUGUAUAACAUACAGCAGGAAGAUCAGAAAUUGCAUCUUCCAAAAGAAGCUUCUUUUCCAAAUGAACGUCUUUAUGUCCUUCCUCGUAAGCAACAACAUUCAUCUGCAUUAUUAUCAUAUGUUCUCGUUAGAUAAAAUAAGAAACGAACAAUAAUGCCUCAUUAACUAUCCCAUACCUCAAAUUCAGUAGGAAUUACACCCCUCACUACAACAUCGUGAGUUGGAAGAGGAUACUGUGGAAGCUUCUGAAAAAAGGGGAAAUUAAUGUUAUUACAAGUUCCACAAGGUCCCCAAUACAAAAAUCAAAGUUCUUAUGAAUCAACCUCUGUUGGUUGGGCACCCCACAUAAACAUUCGCAUACGAAAUUGUGGAAGACCAUAUGCACCUGCUGCCAUCAUUCCCAUUCGAACUUGAUAAUUCAUUGAUAUUAAACGACCAAGAGCAUAUCGUCCCAAAAAUCCAUUGGCAAACUUUACUAUAUCAACUACAUUCUCCAUCAAAACAUAUUUAGGCCUGAGAUACUCCACUAAGUCCAUAUAGACAACAAGCUGUUUGUUUUUCUCAUCUUCCAGUGGAUUUUCUUUGUUCCUAAAGCGAUUGAAACCACUAAUGCCCUGGCAGGGAGGCCCUCCACAUAUAACAUCAACAUCACCCUAUCAACCCAAAAGUUCUAAUUAGACCAACAUUGAAAAAAGAGGACAAGUAAUGAAAAAUUCAGCAAAAUACUUAACUUACCGGCAAAGGUAAGAUCUUUGAUUUGUAACCACUUGUCACAAAAUCUUUUAACUUUUCCUUGCAGUUGCUGUUCAAUAGAAUGUAACAUAUAACUCAUUCAAAUGCUUGAUCAUACACACAUAGAUCAUAAAAUUAUAACAGGCAAGACAAAUACACUAGAAUAUGUACCUCAACCCGUCAAUUGGCUCCCAUGUGUCUUCAUCAGAGCCAUAACCCUUCCAACGAACCUACAUUUAAAUAAAAAUAACUAAAAUAAUUUAAGGGGUAAUUUUAUUUUUAAAAAUCAAUAAUAAAUAAAUAAAGAGGAAGAAAAUGCGUCAGGAUUAUGUAUUUAACUCAUAUCAGCUACAACUUGACCGUUUGAAACCAUGCCACACAGCUAGAACUCACUCGAUGCUUCUAGAAAAUGCAAGAGCAUGCUAAUGCUAUCUUUCCACCUUCCCUUCCAUCUUUCCAUUUUAUGCUUCUUCUCUUCCAUUCUUCUUCCUUUUCUUCUUUCAACUCUUCCUAUUGUGGGUGAAGAAAAGUGGCAUGUUUCCAUUAAAACGUUCAAAAUCCACAAAUAGUGAACACCCUUGACCCUUGACCCUAUUGAAGAUGUUCGCAUAGAUGCACACAUGCAAUGGUCACACACCUCAUGCCACCCUCACCAAAGUCAAUCAUCUAAAUGCAGCUUGAAAACAUUGAUCAUAGCUUUUUCCAGUCGGAUGCACAAUGUGCAAACCUUGUUGUCCCAUUUUGGUUGUUCCAAAAUUUCCUAGAAAUUAGCAACACCAAAAUUCUCCUCCAUCCAUGUUUCCAAUAGCAUCUUCUUUAAGCCAUAGCAAAAUUUACUCAGCUGAGUGAUACUGCUCUGAAGGAUACAUAUUGAUCAAAUUGUCCAAGCAUUUGUGUAUUGUGAUCUCUGUACAUAUUGAUCUAAAUGAUCCAAGAUCCUCAUCUGUUCUACAUUCCCAAUUGCUCUCAUUAAAAUAAAUAAAAAUCACUCUUAACACAUUACUUUGCUCCAUAUAAAUAUUACUUUAAAAUUUACCUACAUCUCCUCGUAUCUUUAGAAGUUAUCACGAGGUAAAAUAAUAUAGCUAAGAACAUCACUAUUCUGGAACUCUAUUAGGAUCAGAAAUAGAAAGGAAGAAAGUGAUCAAAUAGACAAAUAUUAGUUCAAAAUCAUAUCUACAUCAAACUGAUUUGGCAAAUUGAUAAUUAUGAUUCAAGUUCAAAUACCUUAAGAAACAAUCCUCGCUUUUUAGUUUCAUUGGGAUCACCAUAACAUAUUGCAAGUAUUUUUUCUACUUCAAACACCUCUUCAUCCUCUUCAGUUUUUUCAUCCUCAUUUUCCUCUUCAUCUUCAUCAGCAAAAAGAUCGAUGUACUUUUGUUGAGGCUCUUUACUCUUUACCAAAGAACAAUAUUUGCAAAGCACUUCCCACUCUUUAACCAACGAUAAAAAAUCUUCUGCCAUUUCAUUUCUCACCUGCAAUAAAGAAGCUUAGAAAGUACAAGCCCAUAUUAUGGCAGAACAUCAAGUUGAACUCAAUUAUAAAGUGUACCUGAGUCUCUGGAUGAUUGAACCUCAGACUUUCACAAGCGUAUUGAUUUAAAUCAACGGCCCAUUUCUAUUAAACAAACAAAAAAAGACAUUUAUAAAUAAAUGUAACCAACCAUAGGUUCCAAAAAAAGGCAAAAUAAAAAAAAAUAACUGAUGAAAUAACUUUUUGCUCAGUGGAAGUAUUUAUAGCAACAUACUGUGACUAGGUUCACCCCAGACAAAUUGCCCCCUAAACAUAAUCCAGUUGACAUGGCACCACAUCCUGAAUACAAAUCGAGAAGUGCAACGUCAGGCUUACAGCACUGCUGUGCUUGAGUAACAUCCCCAAUUUGUGAGUUCACUUCACAUGCUUCAUUGGUAUCAACAUCAGAGGAAAUUGUUGAUGAUGUCUCACUGCCAACCUUUUUCUCACCUACAAGUUAAUAUGCAUGUGAGAACCACAAAUUCUUGAAACUUGAGUUACAAUUGAAGAAAGUGUUCUCAGAAAUUAAUUCUUUUACAAAAUUACUUGUUGGCAGUUUAACGAAUGAGGAAUAUGGUAGCAAGUAUAACAUGUCACAGUAGAAGUCACAAGAAGGAAGACAAUUUUUCUUCUCAUCCAUCUAGAAAAAAACAAACAGACAAACAAAUUAGUAUCACUCUAGUACGAAAAACCUGAAACAUUGACUAGACGUAAAUAACAAAAUCAUACAGUUAGAGGUAUUCUAGCAAUAUUUAGCUUCUUAACAAGACAAUCCAAUGGAUUAUCGUCCCGAACUUCUGAAAAAAAUACACGCUUGUCAUUGAUGAGAUGAGCGUGGUCUUUCACAACCUAACAUGUAAUAAACGAAAAUAUAGCGUCAGCUAAUUAUCUAAACACAUUUAUGACUAAAACAUAAUAAAAUUGCAUAAAGAUUAUCUUACAGUAUCUUUAGCUCUAUAAUACCAUUGUGCAGUGAAGUAGAGUUGCCCGUCAACAGCCUCAAACAUUUCAAUAAUUUUACAUAUAUAAUCAUCCUCCUCACCUUCAGCCUAAACAAAACGCUCCAUGUACAAUUAUAAUAAGAAUCUAUGCAAAGAAUUUAAAAAGGAAUAUACUACCUUACAGAAAUUUUAAAACUUCCUCUAAACGUGACUGUAAACCACACCUUCACAUGGGCAUCAUCAAGGAGAUUGUAUGUGAUAUUGUCAACUUUGGCCUGUGAGUAAUGAUGCAGAGCCUGGAUUACCUCCUCAGAGUCAUCCCUAUAAGAUAUCAGAAACAGAAAGGCACCGAGAAGGGAUAAAAAAAACUGUUAAUCUUAAGAACACAUUCAAUUUAAGAAAGAAACCGUUCACUCCAAGAAAAAUCUACACUGUCAUCCGCACAACAUUUCUUUCCUAGAGUAUUAUGCUUUCCUUGAACAAUAAUGAGAAGUCAUUUUUUGGUAAAAGAAACAUUUCAUUGAACUAAAAACUAUAUAAUUAAAGGUCAUAACUCAAAAGACUUGUAAACAAGUAACAUCAAUCUAUGAUGAAAAAAAGGUUAUCUCGUCCCUUCUUUGAGAUAACAGAGGAACUCUACGACACACCACUUUCCCCCCACUGCCGUAUCAGAUAUUUGACUUAAAGUAAAUAAUAGCAUUAUUAGAGAUGUGCCGAGCUCUUAGAAGGAAUUUAGACCUUAGCUAGGUUUAUUGCCUUUCUUAGGUCAUUCACCAGAAGAAAAUAAUAAAAAUAAAAAAUCAAAGAGUUGUAGUUAUCCUCUCUCUGGUUCUUUUGAGUUGCUGAGCUGCAGACCUUUUCAUUCUUAUGAAUUGUCUUUAAGUCUUGAAAUCUUUUUCUUUGUAUUGUCAUUGUGUAUUUUUUUUUUUUUCAUUUCUUUUAACCAGGCUAAUUUUAAUUUUUGAAAAAAAAAUAAUAAGAACAAAACUGCACAUCUGUACGUAUUCGACAUGCAUAGAGCUUAUCAGCAAGAGUUGGGAUGGUUCAUAAAAUAAAGACAGUACCUUGAUUUUUUUUCCUCAACCACGUUCUUCUUCUGAACAAACAAAUAAAGAAGAAAAUGAGUAAUGUUGAGUAGUGUUGAGAUAAGAAGAAAAUGAGUAGAUAUGAGUAAAUCUAUAACCAAUUCUGAAUACGUUGUCCAUAAACAAGCAUAGUUAAUAACAAUAUAGGUCACAAAAAUCAACUAAUGAUCAAUGUGCCAGAGAGCCUAAACAGCAAGAGCAACUACAUGGACAACUUGGAGAUCAAUGGCACAAUGAGAACUUAAGUAACACUGUAUCAGCAUGCACAUGAAGUGUCCUCUAAUAUUACUAAAAUUGAACCAAAAAUAACAUUAAGAUAAUGUCAACCAAAUGUAAUAGGAUCAAGUUGUCCCAUGAGUAAGUGGGAAAGUGGCCUUGCUACCACAAUUCACUGAGAUUCAAUACUUCUUUGCUCCAAUUAGUUACUUUAACAAAAAAAAUCAAGUUGUCUCAUGAGAAUGGUAGCACACAAGCUAGCCCAUACACUCAUGAAAAUUUUUAUUUUAGAAGAAGCUCCUAAUUUUUUUAUUAUUAGAAAAAUUAAUUAAGUUUACAUUUUAAAUUAAAUAAUUAUUAAAAAAAAAAAAAAGUAAGAAAACCCUCCAAAUAGGGUUUAACCUUCUUUCAUUUGAAGCUUUACUCUCCUCUUAUAUCUGAGUUUCAUCCAAUCGAUAAAAUUGUUUGAAAUAACAAAAAUUCAGUGCAUCAUGAGAAUUCCGACAGCAAAGAGUCUACAAAACCAUGGAAGCAUAGUACAAAUUCACACUACAAAGACUUCAAAAUUAAACACAAAACUGUUCAUAAAUCAUAGAACCCAAAACUUUUAGCAAAACACCCACUUGAAGCUCCAACCUAAUCGUAAAUACAAUAUCCCCAUACACAAAUAGCCACCUCACUCCAACCCCGCUCAAGAACCAAGAAUGACGAAACGAAUCCACUUUCCUCUCACGUAAAACCAGCACAAACCCCCCAAAUUCUUGCAGCUAAAUCCCUCCAAUAAACCCAACAAGCAACAGAAUCUUGAAAAAACCCAUCAACAUGCAACAACACAAAACCCCCAAUACUCAACUCAAACCCAUCCACAAAUAAAAUCACCAAAACCCCACAAAACAAAUUUCAAUUCUCUUUGAAAAUUCCAAUCACCUUUCUCGCAUAGCGAAGAGGCCACCGCACUCUGGCGUCACUAUCAGGGAAAUGUGGCUGUAAAAACCUAGCAGGAGCAUCGUCCUCCUCAACACUCAACUCCGCCUUCACUUUCCUAGUCUUAGCCGCACUCGGUUUAGGAGAAGAACGGGAAAUGGGAGUUAAAUCAGCAUUAAGCUCGGUUUUAAGCUUCUUCUUGGAGGAAGAAGAAGCUUCAGGAUCGGGCUUAGGAGAAAUGAGAGAGAGGGAUUUGGAGCGGCGCCUGGAAGACAUAGUGAGAGAGAGAGAGAGAGGAAAGGAACGGCCGGAAGAGAGAAAGAGCGGAAAAAAUGGAGGAGAGGUAAAGAAAGAAAGGGAGAAAAUGCAUUUUAUAGUGUCGGAGAAAAUCGAAAAUGGAAAAUAAAAUUGGGGGUAAGAUUUCGAAGUUGGGCGGGAACUCAAAUCUUUUUUCUUUUUCUUUUUCUUUGUUUUAUUUAUCUAAUUAUUAUAUUAUUGUUUUUUAAAUUUUAUUAUUUAAUUAUUAUUCUGUACGGUCUGUAUGGGUUGUGAGCCGGGUUUGGGGAUUCGGGAUUCAAAUUUAUUAUUUAGUUCCAACCUAAAAAUUCAACCAACAUAAUCCAAUUUUAAAUGGUUACUUAAUUUUAUAUUUUUAAAAAGGUUUCCAAAACAAAGUUUUUUAUUGUCUUUUUUUCAAAUGUCUCAUCCUUCCCAAAAGAAAUAAAACAUAUACAUUAAUGGAUAAUUACGAGUCGCACAAGAGUCAUUAAAAAAUAUAUUUUCUCUCAACCCAAAUCCUUGUCCAUCCUACGUACCACCAUGGAAGAUCUACUAGUUGUUGUCUCCAUUUGUGUUGUCAUCGACGACCCUUCCAUGCUGUUGUCAACAACGUGUUUGCCUAACUCAACCACCGCAUGAAUUUCUUCCUCAUAUCUUGCAAUUGUGUGAGUUUAUUUCAUAUAUCUCACCAUCGUAGUUUCUUCUUUACAUCUCGUCAAUAUGAUUUGGUUAAAUUUAAUGGAUAUGAAUCUGGGAAAUGACAUGAUGACAAGUACUUAACGAGAAGGUAUUCACAGGGGAAGAUGGUUGUGAAUACACACAAACACACGGAUGGACAAAUAGGCAUAUUGAAUUUAUUUCAAAUAAUCCAUAUAUACCUGACCAAUCUAACUUAAGGUUGAAAAUAAAUGGACGACAAAUCUGAAUAUAUUAUCAAAUAUAUGAUUUUCAAUUACAAGCAACAUAGUCUAUACCAUUGUUGUUUUAAUGUAUAUUAUUUUUUUAAAAAAAUUAUAGUUAGUAUGUGAUAUUCUAUUGUAUAUUAUAAACUCAUACAAUUUACCCUACAUUAUACAUCAAUUAUACAAUAGAAUAUGUAUAUUGAAGGAGAAAAAAGAUUAUUGACCCAUUUUAAUUCCACAAAUUUUGUUUGCUUUCUUUGAAUAAGUUUAUCUAAUUUGUGGCAUAUAAUAUGAGGUAUAUAUUUGCAAAAUAACUAAAUAUACACAAGUAUAUAUGAAAAGUUACAUAUAAUAUAUAACUCAAAUAUAAACAAGACCGUAUAUUCUAUUAUUCUAAAAUAUACUUAAAAAUAACCAUGAAAUUAACUAGACUAUAGUAUAUAUGAGAUAAUAAUGAAAAAUAAAAAGAAACUAAAACAAACAAUAUCAACGUAGAUAAGCUAAAAUAAGUCAACAAUGACAUACAUAUCAAAUAUUGUGAGAAUAUGUUAAAUAUAUACUACGAUUUAGGAUGAAUAUUGAGCCAAUUUUUUAGUUGUAUACUGUGGUAUAUCUUAAACACAUAACACAAUAUUUUCAAACACCGAGACAAAAAAUUGUUAUGUAUUUUGGCUUCAAACAAAAUCUACAUAUUUAAUUUUUGUUUUAUAAAAACAUUAAAUACGUACUCUUCCUCUAAUUAAUCGAACAGUAACAUUCAACAAAUUACACUUUAUCUAUCCAACUAAAUAUCAAUAGACAAAUGCACUUUAUCUUUUCCAUGGAACAAAUCAAUAAAAUCUCAACAAAUAAAUGUAUUUUUUCUCUCCAUUGGUAAAAGUGAUUAGUAAACCAUAGGGAAUAAAAAUUCCCAACGCCAAUUUCUCUAUCCAUUCGAGAUUAUUUUUGUCCAAAAUUAACACUAGAGGCUAUUUAAAAAAAAUCAAAUAUAAUGGUAUUUAUGAAAUAUAUGUGUCAAAUAUCAUUUCUUAUGGAAAGAUUUCAUACAAAAUUGAUGUCUUUCAAUAGAAAAACCUAUGAAGUUCACAACUCCUACAAUCUUACUUAUAUAUCUUCCAAUCCCUCGGACCAAACACAUGUACAUAUAAAGGGAGGUGGUAAGUCUCAUCAGUUUUUAUAUUUUCAAGAGCUUAGCAUACUAUUGAAGAGCUUAUGUAUACUAUUGAAAGGAGAUAGGCUCUAAAUAAAUAUAACUCAAUCAUUAUUGUUGACAAUACUAUACUUCCAACCUCAAGUUAGAGGUUUGAUUCAUGUUGAAAAGGAAGAAAAAAAUUCAUGGGGUGUAAAAUCUAUGCACGAGUUUGGAUAAUUUGGAAUGUGUUCCAAACAAUUAAUUUGAUUAUUAGUUAGUUAUUUGGGAGUUUAUUACUAUUAUAAUAAUAGUAAUAAUAAUUUUUAUUAUUUUACUAAUCCAAACAAAGCAACGAACAUAUACUCUAUUGGCUCCAAUAAUUAUUUUAAUUGUAUAUAACUUUGUACAUAUGGGAGAUAAAAGGGAAAGUGUUAUUUUAAUAUUUGAGAAAAUAAAAACGUGAUUAUAGUACAAACCUCUAAUACACCAAUAUAUCAAAUUAUUAAGUUCAAAAUAAAAAUUAAACUUUUCAAUAUCUAGAAACAUAAAGGAACACUGCCACUGCAAAAUUUCGUUUAGGUUGAAAAACACAUUUCAAUCCUAAAGUUUCGUACUGGUUUAGUUUAUCUACUCUUAUAACAAUUUAGUCGAUAUUGCAAAAAGAUUUAUACAAUUUAAAAACAAAAAUUUAAUCCAUCCAAAUCAACAAAGAUCAAACAUUUUUAUAAACUAUAAAUAAUAAGCUACUACCUAACAAAAAUUGACCCAUAAUUUUUUACGAAUUUUUUCUCAACAAAAUCUAGAUUGUUACACAUUGAAUUUUACUGACUAAGUUAUUACAAAACUGAAAGCACAAAACUAAAUUGUUAGCAACAAUAGUUUAAGGACUAAGGGCAUUUGGGACAAAUACUAUCUUCCAUUAUAAUAACAAUUCUUUUUACCAACUAAAUCUAGUAAAUAUUUUUUUAAAAAAUCAAUCUUCUAUGCUGUUUUUACAUUUAUUGUUUUUUAUUUUUUGUUACAUGUUCACUAUUUUCUUUUCAAACUUAAAAUAUUUUAGGCCUCAAACACAUAUUUUUAUAACUCAAACUAAAAUAGUCUACCUCAAAUAUAAAAUAUUAUAACUCAAGACUACAAUAAUUUACUUCUUGCUCCAAUUGUUACUUUCACGAAAGUUAACCGACCAAAUGGGUUUUUUAACCUACCAUUUAUUUAAAACAUAAAUUAAACGAGAGAGUAAAAGAAAGAGAGAGAAAGAGGGAAUUCCAAGCACAGGUCAAAAGGAAUAGUCCAAAAAUAAAGUUUGAAAGUAGAAAUAGAGAUAAUUUUGAUGCGAUUGAAAAAUAUACAUGCAGAAGGAGAUGAGAAAAAGAAAAAACAUUUUAGGGCUGAGUGUUUGGUAACCUGCUGAGGAUGGAGUGCUCAGGUUUAUGCUCACAUUCAAAGUCAAGAUGAACAAAUGCCCUUUCAACUUCUGGAAGCUUUUCAAUCUUUAUUUGCAAUGUCUCUCCAAUGGCGUGUGCUUCUUUCAAAGGCAGCUCCUCGGGAAGUUCAAUGUCCACCUGAAUUACAUUAUUGCUUCUCAGUAUGUAUAAACCCCACAUUUAUAUAUACGUUUCAGAUUCUUUAUAUUUUUUUUCUUUUUUAGUCUCUUUACAAUUUUUCUUUAACUCUAAUAAGAAUAAUAAUAAAGAAUGUCAUGUAAUUGUGGGGUGAAAUUUCAACGUUCUGGUUUUAAGGCUAUUCAUAUCUUAAAAGGACAUCACGAGUUACUGAAGUUAUGAACUUGAACUUAUGAUGCAAGUUGUUAAAAUGAAAAGAGGAUCAAUGAUUAGGUGCAACCUCUAAAAUGCAUCCUAUUUCUUCACGUAAUAGUAAUGAUAAUAAUAAUAAUCCAAUUUGAAAAGAAAAAGCAAUCUGCCAUAAGACAAAUUUGUAUUGGUGUGUAAUAUGAAUGCACAAAGUGAGUGCACCCAGGUUGUGUCCAAGUUUUUUUCACAAAAAGAGAGAACAAUGGAGUUCAAUUAGUCACGAAUGGCAGGAGAUCAAAAGUUAUUAAACGAGGCCCACAACUACAAUUGGCAUGUGGUUGACCUUUUCAUAACCGUUGGAUGUGAAUUCAUGAGAAAUAUGCAUGCCACCACUAAUAGACACUAAAUUCAAAUUUGAAGCCGUUUUAUAGUCUUUUUCUCCUACAUCUAAACAGUGUAUAAAGUUGCCAAACGCUAGUCACAUUGUGGUGUUAAUACGACAUUGGAGAAAUUCUAAUGCUAGAGAGAAAAGUGACUCAUAGAAAAGUUGACAGGGUAUGGAUAACCUCGACGAAAUAAAGGACGCCAAAGGUGUAAGCACGAACUGUAUCAACACGCUUGACUUCAGGAUGCCUAAUGACAAGAUAAGUCAACAUUUGCAGGACUUCGGGAGGGGCUGAUUUCCCCACGAGUGAAACUACAACAAGAAUCAAUUAACCUUGUGUUAAUUGUAAAAUUUGAAAGAAUUCAAGUAACAUGAGAUGAGAGAGUGACACACAAUUCAAAAGGCAGAGAUGAAACUAAAAAUGCUACAAACAUACAAUUACUUCCGGCAUAUGACAAAAGUAUAGCUAUUUCAAAUCUUUUUUAAAUCAUAUCACAUUUGAAGAUUAUUGAUUGCACCAACAUUUUCAUCUCGAACUGUGGUUGCUAAACCUACAUUUGUACAACUCCUUCCGGAACUAGUCGUUUUAGUAUUUAGUCAAAUGAACAAACACAUGAGAUUUCCCAAAAAGAAGACAACUGGCAUAUCCAGCAAUCAUCCUUUCAAUUUCCAUAUUGUUCAUAAAUUUUCGUUUUAAGAGAAGGGGAACAGGAUGGGAGUAAAAAAUAUACCUGCAUUUUCCCACACGGUUCCAGACCAAUUUAAAAUUGUAUAUAUGGCUAAGGCAAUAGCACCAACUGGAUCUAUCCACCAAAAGAUCUUAUCACCAAGAAUAGCUGCAACUAAUCCAACCACAUUUGUUACCACAUCGAAGUAAUGAUCCUGAGAAUCAGCAUUGAAAGGAUUUAUGCCAUGAAUACAGAAGAAUCAUUUCUUUGAAAAUAAUUGCAUAGUAAUAAAUUGUAGGUUUAACAACCUUCGCAUAAGCGCGCACAAUAUCAUUUCUUGAGUUUUUGCAGUAUAACCACAGGGCAAGUUUUACUACUGUGGCAAACGUCAUAAUUGCACACAACCAGACAAAUUGUUCUGACGAUAGACUUUCAGAAGGUUUAUCUUGAAUCAGUUGUUCUACAGCUUGAAGUAAUACCUGAAAGCCUAAACAAGAAAUUGAAGUGGUUUAGCUACUCCACAUUGUUAUAAGAACCCAAAUCAUACUAUCAUACUAUGCUAACAAUGAAAGUAAAAUGAAAAUUCGAUGUACCGAGUUUAUUCAACCACGGAAGAUUCUAUAAUACAAAUAUGAAUAGAUAAUUGCACAACCUUAAUAUUUGCUAGUUACAACUCACAAGAAAUUGGUGUAAUAUCCAUCAGUUGGCAAUGUCAAUCCUUUAAAUUGUUAUAAUUGAGAAAGGGGCCUUCAUUUUUAGCAUUGGUAGAUAGGCAAUCGAAUUAGAAGACGAAUAAGCAAAUCAAUGCAAUUUCACACUGGUUUAUAGAAUAAGAUAUACCUAGCGUAGCCAUUACAGCAGCAAAUACAAUAAUGCCUACUGGCUGGACCCUCAGCUUUCCGAUCGGGUAUUUAUAAAUAUUUACUUGCUUCAUGUACAAGUGAGUAAACCAAAGUAUUCCACCAGCCAUGAGAUCAAGUAAGGAAUCCAAUGUUGAUGCAGCAAUGGCAAUGGAUCCACUCCGCACUGUAGCAUAAAUCUGCAAAUUGUCACUGGAGAGUGAGUGAGUUGAGGAUUUGAAAUAAGGGAGCAGAACAGAGCCUUUCAUAAACCACGAAACAAACUCGACAUUCAUCAGUUUAAUAACCAGCUCUUCCAGAUGGGAUUUAUAUACGCUCAAUGUUAAUUUGGGGCACUCAACAGUCUCAACAUCUAAACCAUACUAAUUUCAACUUCUUGUCCUUGUAACUACAGAGUCUUCAUCAGAAAGUUGUUGUGUUAUCAUAACUAAUGCUGCUUAGAAUAAGCCUAUGGCAAUGUAAGUCUUCAUCUAAGGCAAUAAAGUCAUGGUGACAUAAACGACCUUCAACAAAAGAAGUACUAUAUUCGCAUAAUUUGAGAUCUUCAUGGCCCUCUCUUGCUGAGCUCCUUCCUCCAUGUCUUCCUCAUCAAUGCAAUCAGAUGACACCAACGAAUCCACGUCCUCAAAUGAUUUCAAAGUAGCAAGUUGCCUUUCGUAGUAGUCCUUUUCCUCUAUAACAAACCAAUACGUCAGAAAUGAACAUUCGCAUCACAACCAUUCUAGGUUAAAUCAAAUUUCAUUCUAGUAUACAGAGGAUAUAAAACAGAGUCUCGGCAUGGUCUCACUAUACAACAAUCGGAAAAAGAAAAGAAACAAUUAACGAUAAAACACAACAAUAAUUCACCUCAUCUAUCGUCUCCAAUCUCUCAACAACCAAACAAAAAUUGAACAGAAUGAAAGCGAAAGAGAUUGAGACCGAUAAAAGAGAAAGAAGAACAAAACAAACCUCUGCUGAAGCCAGAGGACUUGGAAAGAUCAAUUUCGUAGGGAGAUUCAACAUCUUGAAGAUGAGACCUCAGUUUGUCAGGUAAUCUAGAAAUGAACUCGCUCCGGAGAGAGUUCACGGAGUAUCGCCGACUGAGUCGGCCGCGUUUACCACCACUGCCGUUCAGCGAGGCUCCCAACAACGGAGCUUUCGGACUCAAAUCCGAAUCUCCAUCCAUUAGUAGUUGUUAAGUUGUUCGGGGGAGGUCCAACGCCGGAGAUAGUCGGCUUCCUCUUCUCCGUCAAUUGAGAAACGAAGCCGUAAAACCAAUGCAGCUGAUCUUAUAGAAACGAUCAGAAAGGCAGAGAAAGCGAUACGCCUUUUUAACUCAAAUUGAAAUUUUCUUUUCUUUUCUUUUCCUUUUUCUUGGUGUCAGUUGCCAUUUAAGCACAAAAAAAUAAUUCUAAUAAUAAUUUUAUUAAUAAUAAUAACAAAAAGAAUAUCACUGAAAGAAAUAAAAUAAUAAAGCGAUAAAUUGAUACCUCUUCCCUAAUGCUCAAUCAAACCUUUGACAAUUUUAAAAAAAUAAUUUUCCAGUCAAUCAUUUUUUUCCAAACAAAUAUUAAUGGAUUUAAAAUAUCAUUUCUACAAGGUGAAUUUUCCUAUAUUUGGUAAACAUAUCAAUAAUUUUAUCAUUUACAAUAUUUCACCUAUAUUAAGAAGUUUUUUCUUCCUUUUUUCCUUUACCUCUAUGGUUUUAUUGGUCUAGUUGUCUAAUCUACAUCUUUUGGAUGAAUCUUAAAUUUUAGUUAAUUUUUGUCGAAAUUAAUUCAACAACCAAGGUAACUUUUUAUGAAAAAAAAAAUAUUUAUAACAUAUAAUAAAAUUAUCGGAUUCUAUCCAUAAAUAGACAUAAUUAUAUAAAAUUUAAGUAUUAAUAUAAUUUAAAAUUUUAUUAUACCUCAUAAAUAUUUUAAUUUAUUUUGUUAUUUUAAAAAAUGCUCCAAAACAAUACUGUCAUUUUCAAAUAUAACAAAAUAAAUCAAAAGAUUUACAAAAUACAUCAAGAUUUUAGAUUCUAACAAUGUAGACAUUUCUAUCACUAUCUUAUUAAUGAAACUAAUAGUUAGUGUUAGAAAUUUAUUAGUGAUAGAAUCUAAAAUCUUGGUAUAUUUUGUAAAUAUUUUAAGCAAUCUUGUGAUGAUUUUAAAUUUUAUAGUGAACAUUUUAUAAAAAGCUGACCUUUUUUAUAAAAAAAUAAAAUAGAAAUGAAGAUUAAAUUUAGAAUUUGUUGAAACUAUGUGUAAUAAAAUUAAAGAAAGUUGAAGGUUGGUAAACCAAAAUUAAACGAGUUGCAUCCAAUGGAAAUUUAAACUCAUAAUUAAAUCAUUUUCAAAUAUAUUGACAAAAAUUAUAUUAAUAAUGCAAUUUUUAUUCUUCUUCCUUAAUCGAGUCUUGAUUCUAUUUCUUUUUUAUUUUUUCUUCAUUUUAUAGUUUAAUUUUUAAAUUUAUUUAAAAUGUAAAAAAAGAGCCGUAAGAAAAUAGUUAAAAUGUGAUAUGCCAAUGUUAAAAUGUGUUGAAUUAAUUUUUUUUAAAUAUAUUAAAUUAAAUAAUAAAAAAUAAAGAAUUUGAAUUAAAAAAUGUUGGGUCAUUGUUUUAAAUAAAAAUUAUUUUAACUAAUUUAAUAAUUUUUUAUUUUAAUUAAUUCUUAUUUUUUAAUUUAAUACUAAUUUAUUUUCUUCCAAAAAAUCCACUUUUUUCUCAUUUUAACUAAAUAAUUUUUUCCUAUUUCGGCGACUUCUCUCACAUCGAAUAACCCAUUUUGUCGGUGUUGACUUUACUGCUUGAUAUGAUGUAUGACUUUUAAUAGCAAAAUAUUUUCUUAUACAACUUCGUGUUGUCAAUCACCACAUAGACUAUAAUUGGAUCGUGUUCCUAAACGUUAUCUACUAAUUUAACUUACUAAAUGUAUUUAAGAAAAAUUCAUACUCACAACAAUCGAAGCUCAUGUAUUCAAAUUCAUCAUUAGUCUUUGUUUUAAAGUCUCUAUAUUUCUUGUUAGCCACCAUUUUUGUAUCAUCGUACACUCGUUAUGCAUUUAAGUUUAUGCAAAAUUAGAUCAUACAUUAUAUUUAUGUUUCCACAUGGAGGUUGGUCAUGAUCAACCUCAUCGAUAUUAUAUGAUCAUUUGUAAACAACAUAAAUGACACACACAUAUUUGUUGUUUUGAAUUUUGUAUUGAAAGUCUGCACAUCUUCUUCAUAUUAGUACUUCUCUUUCGUCAUAUUCCCAUUUCUUCAUCUCAUAUUACAUAAUUUUUUCAUCAUCUCCUAUUCCAUCAUUUUUUUCAUUAUUUGUCAUUUGUCAUAUUCGGUUUCAUCUCCUUGUUCUUUUUUCGUUAUCAAGUAUUGUGUCUUUAACUUAUUUUUUUUACUAUAAAUCCAUUUAAAUUUGGUACACUCACGUUACAUCAAUAGUGUAAGGAAGUUGAAUAUUAAAGAACUAAGAAAUUAUUAGAUAACUCGUAUGGAACCAUUAUACGAGAUUUUAGUAGGAUUUAUUUUGAUUCUAACAAAAUUAAUAUAUGAUUUUGAAUUUUUUUUAAAAAGAGCAAAUUUUACAAAAUAUUACAAGUUACAGCAAAAUUUUUAAAUUUUAUCACUAAUAGCAAUUUUAUCACUCGUUAUCAUUGAAAGCCAAAAUUUUGCUAUAGUUUGUAUAUAUUUUAAUUUAUUUUGCUAUUUUAAAAAAAUGUCCCUGUAAAUUUUGUAAUAAAUUUUCUAAUAUUUAAUAAGUUAGGAUCAAAUUUGAUAUUAUCUUUGACUUUUUUACUUUAUUUAUAUUAAUAUUAAUAAUAAUUUUAAAAUAAUUUAGUUUAAAAAUAAUUAUUUGAAAACAUAUACAGAACAAUUAAGUUCAUCUAAACGAUAUAAAAGAAAAUAAUGAUAGGAAAGGAAAUAAAAGUUUUUUUUUUUUAAAAAAGAAGAAAGUUAGGUCAAGCAUUCAAUGCUCGAUCUAUGCAUAUUUUUUUUUCUUAAAUUAAGGAGGGUGAGUUUUGAUAACUCGUCCAUGCAAAUUAAAAAAAAAGAAAGAAAAGAAAAAAAAGCAGUAUUUUGAUAAAUUGUUCUAGAAUAGCAUUAUUUUGAUAAUAAAUUUUAAAAACAACAAUAUUUUAACAAAAUAUUCGAUUUAUAUUCUCUUACACCCUAAUUUAGUCAACAUUAGAUUUAUAAUUUUAUCAAUUAAAUUUUAAACUUUCGUAAAAGAAUCUAUUCAAACUUUAAAUUAAAAAUUUCUUUUAAAAAACAGUUCAACUAUGAACUCAAACAAUCAAUUUUAUUAAUCCAACGUUGAGAAGAACUUAGAUUUUAUAUAUAGACAGACAUACAUCCAUUUGUUAUUGUUACUUAAUUUAGGCUUUUAACUCUAUAUAGCAUUUUAGUAUAAUUCUUGAAAAGGAAACAAAUUCGAACAGAAAUCUAUAUUUGUAAUUCAUUCACUGUACUCUAACUAUUUGUACUAACAAUCAUCUAUGGAUAUACAUUAAAUUACACCAUCUACUUUUUACAGGGAUAUUAUUAUAAAUAAUAAAAAGGUAGAAAAUAUUUAUUAAAUAUUUAUAUUUACCAUUUUUUUACAUUUUAGAAUACUCCUGCAUUAAUUAUAUUUUAGAAAUUUGAAUUUACAACUUUUAAAUUAACAUAUAUAUUUUUUUUCCAUUGUAAAUUAAUCUUAUUUGGAUUGAUGACGUAACAUAUAUAUUAAAUUAGGUAAGUCUGUGUAAAAUUGGUGUAUGGUUCAAAUAGUUGAUCAAAAUAAAUCCAACCAAUUUAUGUUUGACUUCUCCUCUAAUUAUAUUAUUCAUUAAUAUUCAUCUAACUCUUUGAUUAGACAGAAAAAUAUCUAUUUUCUUUUUGUCUCGAUUUCACGUUAAUUUUAAUUUAUAAUAAUCAUAAAAUGUUACAACUUUGUCCUUUAAACUUUCAAUUUGGUUAUAGAUUUGAAGAUUUCAUCUUACGCUAAUUGCAAUUUAAUGUAAUUAUAUUUAUUUUAAUUGUUUUUUAAAAUUAUUUAAUACAUGUUGCCGGUAAAGAUAAAAGGUGAGUGUUUAGUGAAAAGAGAGAUAGAGACUCUAUUAAUGGAGAUGACUUUAAACUAAAACCAUAAACUCGUUUAAGCUAAAACUCAAUAAAAAUCACGUGAGUCAUAAUCGAAGUAAGUGAAACAAGAUAAGUUGCGAUAUGAUUAAAUGAGAUGGUGUAAUUAAAUGAAUCACCUUCACCACGGUAGCUAUGGUCCAACGAUGUGAAACAAUUGUGGCUCAUUGACACUAACCAAACAAAAAAUGAAAAGUGGUCAAUGGAUAGGUUAUAGCCAAAUGUGCAACAUUAAAACCUAUUAGGUGGGUGCAACCUAAAUAGAGACAAAUGAGUUAGACAAUAGGGUGACCAAAUAAUACAUUAAACCACUUAGUUCACAUUGGGCUCACCUUCCAACAUUUAAUUUGAAAUAAAUCAAAUAUAGCACGUGGUUCAAGAAGAUUACAUUAGACAUUAUCCAACAAAUUUUGAUGUAAUGUGACUAACACGUACUAGAUAAUAUGCCACCUACCGCUGUAGUGAUCAAUUUGUCCUAUUUGUUAUCACUAUCAUCAACCAGAUUUAAAAUAACGUUAUUGUAUCUAAUACUUAUCGUUGUUAUAAGUAAUUUCUCACCAUACACGCUACCAAUCUUCCUAAUUAAUUAGUAGUCACUAACACUAUACAUCCGUACCAAAAAUAAAUGAAAAAGGAAGCAAAUAAAUAGAAGGACGAAACUAAAAGUGUAUAAAAAAAACAAUUGUACAAAUAAGGGUCAACAAUAAUGGUAGAAAUGGUCUUCCUAAUUUGGCGCCCAAGGCCAGAGCAGGGCUUGCCGUUUGGAUGCACUUGCAUGCCAAUGGCGCGGCGCCAAGCCAGCUGCCAUAUAUACCAUUUGAUUGUGGUGCAUGUCUCCAUUUAUUCAAAUAUCUAGUAUUUGAUACUAUUUUUAGUUCUUAUAGGACUUUAGUUUAUUUUUUGGUCAUUUUAGUUGACACUAUUUGAUUCAUUCAUGGUCAUUUUUAAGAACAAAAUAGUUAUCAUUAAAAGUAUAAGAACCAUCGAUAAAUGUAUUACCUCUACGAAAAAAAAUUAUCACCAACCUCCUUGUCUACUAAUAAUAAUGCUACCGCGUAGUUUCUUUGACUUGUUUAGAAAUAGACUGGUCACUUGGUAAAAUUAAUGAUAUAUAUUGUUAGCCCUCAAAUUUUAUCUUUGUUGAAUGUCCUUGCAAGGUUCUCUUGAGUUUGACUUACGAAUUAAUUGCAUCUCUUUGGUAUAUGAUAUGUUGGAAGUUUACGUAAGAUAUAAUGAAAUGCAAAAUAAACUAAACUAUAUCUCAACCUCCCACUUAACCGGUUAGAGAGUGAAAUGAUUAAUUCGAUCGUAAAAUAACGAGUAAUAAAGCAAAAGAAAAAAAGAAAAAGUCUCAAAACUUGUUAAGGCCAAACUAACAAUGGACAUUGGCACUCAAAUCUUGUUUGCGUUGUGUGUAGUUGUAAUGUUCUCUUAAACUUCUUGACUAAUUGCCUGCUUCUCUACUUGAAUUAUUAAAAUAAACUAGAUUAGCUUACUAGCAAUUUGCAUCAUCUUCAUCGUAAGAAAUAGUUUGAGGUUUAAUUUGGAUUGUUUUCUGCACUUAGUGCUAAAAAGGAUAAAUUAUUUAAGGAGGAUUGAAUUAAUGAUAAAAUGAUCCCAAAGUGAUUUUAUAUUGAUGUGUGUAUGGCUGAUAAGUUGGUGAUAUAAAUACUAUGUAUGGUUGAAUGUAUGAGAAAGAGAGAGCAUUAAAAACUAUAUUUUCAAUAAUAUAUAAAAUUAUGAGAAUCGUAUGGGCUAAAAACAAAUAAUAUAUGUUCUAAGACGACAAAAAUUAAAUUGAGUAAAAAAAGCAAAAUACUAAAAUUUAUUCAAUUUUAGCCUAUAUAAUUUGAAUGGUCUAAUUUAGUAUAGUAAUUUGAAUAUAUCUUAAAUUUAGUUUCAAAUUUUAUUUUAUUAUAAUAUAUAUUUUUUGGCAAGAAAAUAAAAUAUGUGUAUAUAUUUCCUUAAUUUACCGUAAAAUGGUAACAAAUUAAUAGUGAAAAGUAAAUUAAAAAUUUGUUGAAAGUACAUCGAUCAAAGUGUGACAAUUAAAUAUAUAUAUAUAUAUAUAUAUGAACUAAAAUUUUACAAACUGAAAUGAUCAAUUUUUAAAUUAGAAGAGAAACUAUCCAAACUGGUUUGUUUUUUCUAAAACCUAAUAUAAAAAAUCAAGAAAUAAUUGAAUAAAAUAUGUUUUUUUAACUAAUGCAUUUAAAAUAUCAAGUCAUUUUCACUUGACAAAUUAGUUAAUUUAAAAUUAUAAACUUUUCAUAGUGGUCCAAAUUCUUUUAAUAUAGAAUUUCCUACAAAGAUUUAUAGAGUUUUUGAUGAUCAUAGAAUAAAAAUAAAUUAAACAUAUGAAAUAUAAUUAUCAAUGAAUGGGUUGGGUAUUGGGAGAAACAUUCCAACCUCUUAAAUACUUUUGGGUUUUAUAAUUAUAUUAUAUCUACAUUUGACUUUUAAUUAUAAUUUAGUAUCCAACUAAAAACAAAAACGAAAAAUGUUAGAGCUCUCCCUUUAACUUUUAGUAAAAUUUGAAAAAAAAAAAAAACAAUCAUAAUGUAUGGAAUAACACGAACAUCGUAUUGAAACGUUUGUUAACUAAACAAUUUAAGUUAAUGAAUAAAAGAUAAAUUUAAUAUAAUUAUCAACAACAAUACUUGAAUACACAUUUAAGGAGAACAUGUAACUAUCUUUACACGUCUCAAUCUAAAAUCACAUAAAAUAUAUAACAAUACCAAAAAUAUUUUGAAAUAAAAGAAAUGAGAAUAGUUUUAUUACGUAGCAAUUGAUGAUUGAAUAAUCAUCCAUGCGUUGUUAGCAAUAUCGCGGUAGAAUUAGUUUGGUUUCAAUGAAAUAAUCAUUUGUUCCUUAUUUGGUAAGGGUGACAAUAGGCUAUCGUUGAGAAUCCUUUUUUUUUUAUUUUACUCUUUAGUUUGUUUCAUGAUACUGUUGUUUUGUCUUUCGUAGCUUAAAAAGUUUCUUGUUUAUUUUUCUUCUUAAGGUAGGGAUUUCGAACUACAACUCUGGUAGUUGGCUAGUACACUCGAACUGAGCUAAUUAAACUUUUGUUGGUAUGAAGUAGUAUCUCUCCAAUAGGAAUUGAUUUUGAACAAAAUUAUUUAUCAUCUCUUUUGCUCAUAUGUUGAAGAAGAAAGAAAAGAAAAAAGAAACAAAAUCAAAGAAUCAACAAAACCAAAGGUCGGUAAGAUAUUUCAUCUCAAAUUUUCGAUUGAACCAAACAAUUUUAAGUUUAUCGAUGAAGAUAAAUUUAAGAUUAUAUCAUCAAACAUUCUUUCUCACUUGUGGAUUUGCAAUAUGUAGAAGACCCGACAAAUGAAAAUCGAUAUUAAUUAGAAAGAAAAUAACAAUUUGAAAACAUAGAUUUCAAAUAUAUGUAACAUUUUUUUAUAUAGAAAAUAGAAAAAAUAUCCAACUUUCAAUCUAGUUUCUUUUCCGUUCCUAUGUUUGAAAUGUAAUUUACUAUCUCAUGAGUGCACAUUUGAGUUGAGAAUUUGUGUUAACUUUGGAGAGCAAUUGACAUAUACGAUUUGACAUCUCGAGGUCUUGUGAAAUUUUGCUUUCAAAGUAGUGAAAUCUUCCACUUCACAAGAACAAUAAUCAACCUUUGAGUUUCAAUUAAUAUAAUAUUUAGAUCAAUUUUAAUACAUUUUGAAAAUAAUCAAAUUCAAUAUUGUUACAAAAACAGCCCAUGUGUGAGAGAGGGUUGCAUCUGAUGCAGUCUCUAUAUGGGGAAGAGAGAAAUGUGUAAGAAAGUUGUUUGAAUUUGUACAAAAUUAUUGCCAAAGCCCAUACUGCCACAAGGUCCCCUAUUUUUAAAAUUUAUAACAAUUAAACCAUCAAUGAAAAUAUGAUAUCUCCAUGGGGUUUUACUUAUUCUUUUGAAAUUUUUGGUACAAUCGUAAACAAAAUAGACUGUUUAGUUUAGUUUUAAAUUUUAAAUUAAAAUCUAAAAUCGCAAUCUUAAAGUUAAAACAAACCGUAUCUAACUGUUUAGUUUCGGUUAAGGGAAAUAGAAUUUUCUUUUUGAAGAGUAUCUUAAAGUAUAUGGGAUGGAUAAAUUUGAACCCAAAACCUUUUUGUUCUCGAAAACCAACAGAUGUUAAUUGAGUUGGGAUCAUGUUGGCUAGAAGAACUUCGACUAGAAUAUGCAAAUACAUAUUUGUGCACUUCUAUUGGAAGUUGGAGCUUGAAUUGCACAUAGCGAAGUAUGUAAAAGAUACAAUGAGUCCCACAUAUCUCUCAUCAAUAACACACCUUUAGUUCUCCAUUACAUAUAUUUACAAUUUCGACAAAAAAUGACAAAAGUAAUAUGAUGAGGCUCGUUUGCCAAAAUCGUGUUGCAUAUGUUUGCGAUUGCGAGUUGGUAAAUGAGACAUAAGUUUAAGGAAAAAACAUUUUUUUUUGUCUCUCUCUAUUGGACAACCAGAAAAUCUUCCUAAACAAGUUUGUUACUAAUACUCAAGAGAACCCCUAUUUAUACUAAUUCCUAAACAAGUUUAGUCACCUCUUUAAACUCUUGUCAGCUGCUAGCUUCUACGUACUCUAAGUGGUGCAUGUGUAGACUUAAGGUUUAGCUUAAUCAUGCUUAACUUAAACUCUACACGUGGUCUAUUAAAUAUCCUUAGAAAAUUUUCUAUAAGUUUUCUUAUUUCUUCUCGUAUAGCUCCUUUGACUUCUUGCCUAACACCAUCUCCCAAAGACCCUUCUUCAUAUGAAAAACACUUAAACUUCACAAGUCUUGUCGCAUAACCUUUCUCGCAAACUAUCUUAAUUAUAAACUCUUACCUCGUAGUUUGCUCAAAACGCCUUCUCAAAAACAUUUAGUCAACAAUUACUUCUUAUCUUAAAUACAUGUCUUACAACACAAAAUACUCCAAACUCAACCGAACUCAAAUUAUAAUCCAGACAAUUAUUAUCAACUUCUAACUCUCUAACCCUCUAACCCACCCUAAAAAGAGGAAUACAAAUACAACUUCUUACUUUUAUUCAAUCAUGAAGACAUUCUUUGGCAUGAAUGUGACAUGUUUGUUGGCUAACAUGGAGACUUCUCUUUGUGUAAAGAAUAAUGAUUUCUUUUGAUAUUUGCAUUGUAUGUACUAUACACACAUGCAUGUAUUAAUCGACAAUUUUUUAGUUUAGUUUUAAAUUUUAAGAUGAAACCUUAUCCAUAUUUAUAUAUAAAAUACUAGUAGCUAGUAUUUAUAUUAUUAGUAUCCACAAGGAUCCAACAAUGGUUAUACAUCAUGUACUUUGUGUAUAUACUUAGUAUUUGCAUUGUUCAUGUUCACAAUGACACAACUAAUAUUUGUUAUGUAUUAGAUUUUCUUAUGCGGUUUGUGGAAACUGCUUCUUGGAAUUGAGUAGAAGAAUUUUAUGAGAGAACAUUUGUAAGAAAAAUUGGGAGAGUAUUAGAGAGAAUGUGUAGGAAGAGUGUUCUAUGAGAGCUCCCACAGACCCCCAUUAUUUAUAGAACUUUAUGUUACUACUAAUCCUCCUUAGCCGUUUGUAUUUUUAAAUCAAUUAUUUAAUUAUCUUCUACAAAUUAAAUAAUCUAUUAUUUUAAAAGUAUAACAACCACAAAAUAUUGGAACAAUUUAGAAAACAGCAUGUACGCUCACAAUAAACAUACCAAAAAUGUCUCAAUGAUUAAUUAUCACCCAUCGUGCAUAGUAGAUUUGGUAAACGAUUUUUUUAAAGAUUAUUUGUACACGAUUAUUUAGAUUUGACUAUUUUUUGUAUUUAUAUUAUUUAGCUUAAACUAAACUAAACUAAACUAUUUAGCUUGAUCAGAAAAAACUGUCGCUGGAGUCCAAAAUUUUUGUAUACGAUCUUGAAUAACCAAAUAACAGUUUGAAUAUUAAUAAAAAAGAAUUGCAGAAGAAGAGAAAAAUAUGAUGAAAAGAAAAAAAAAUUGCGGAAUAAAGAAGAUGAAAAGGAAGAACAAACCUAAAAUAUUUUUAAAAAAUGGAUAACUUUAUACCUAAAAUAUUUUUAACAAAUAGAUGACUUUAUAGAUAUUUUGAUUGGCAGACCCUAAAUAUUUGGAUGUUUAGUUAUAUUUAUGAAAUUUUUUCUAAUUUAAUUAUAUGAAUCUCAUCCAUCCAAAAAUAAUGAUUUAAAUAAAUUAAAUCUCCCAUUAUUUAUUUAAUUAGAUCUUAUUCAAAUUAAAAAAAGUUAUUUAUUUAUAUGGAUCUUAAUCCAAUUCAAAUAAGUAACCUUUUCAAAUGUAAAGGGUAAUCAACUAAAAUAAUUAUAAAAUAUAAAAACUUUCGUAUUCGAUUAAUGAUACGCAUUAAUAGUCUUUUAUUAGUGUUUCUCAAUGUAUUUAAUUAAUAGAUAUUCAUAGACUUUUAUCGGUGUCUAUCAAUAUCUAUUAGGUCAAUGUUUGAUAGAAGAAUUUGAAAGUUUGUUAUAUUUUGUAAUAUUUUUAACCGUUUUUCAUCUUCAAUUACUUUCCUUAAAAUAAAUUAAUUAUUCUCUAUCUUUUUAACCUUAUAAUUUGAAUCUUAUUCAACUAAAUUAAACUAUAUAAUAAAUCAUGUAACUAAUUGUAUAUGAUACAAUUAAUAUGUUCCCUUGUAAACUUGAACAUAAUUUUCUUUUAAUCAUUAAAUGAUCUAUGUUGGUCCGUAAUGAGCUAGCAAUGGACCUUAUAGACCUAUAGAUUACAAACUCCAAUAAUCUAAAAUUACUUAAUUAAAGUCUUUAAUUAAAUUAAUUUUAUUUCAUAAACCAAUAGACCCAUAGUUGAACUCUUAUACAUUGUACAACAAGUAUCCAUGGAUAUACAUAAUCAAUAUACGCAAGUGGAUAAUUCACAAAUUGUUCAUAAUUACAGUUGCGUCAAAUAUUUCAUUUACUCGUAUAAUUAAUUAUAUCUUUUUCUUAAAUCCCUCUCAGGCCAGUGAAAGGAAACUACGUACUCAUCUAGUACUUCCUCUUAUAGAGAAGAAAUGAAUUUAUGUUCCCAAUUCCCUAUUUUAUCAAGUCUCCCAAAGUGGUAUACAAGCAUAUUAAGUCGACAACUCAGCCCACUCUAAUCUUCUAAAUAAGAGUUUCUAAAAAUCACUCAAGAUGAAGAUCAAGUUACACCUAAUUAUCCUAUGAAAUAUUAAUUUUUAUCAAUGAACAUUUUUACAAAGAUGAAUUAGAUAUUUCAUAACUAUGUGUUUUAUACAAACUCUUUGCAUAAGAUACCGCAUUCACAUAUAUUUGCACAUGAAAUUUGAAUCAAACCAUUUGUAACUAUUACAUAAAGUAGGUCGUAUUCAUAGUUUUCAAUAAAUAUCAAUUACAUACUAUUGAAGACUAUCUAUAUUAACAACCUUCAAUUUUCUCAUUAAUGGAUAAAUUAAUAUACAUAGUUAUUAAUUCAAUUAAUCAACUACUAAAUUAUGAGGUUUUACUGCAUAAAUCUCAUCCUUUAUAGUAAUAAAAUAAUGCUUUUGACCAAAAAAAAAAACAGAUUGAUGAAAUUGAUUUUUAGAAGAAGCCAAAAGCACCAAAAUGGGAGAAUUGAUUUUUUUUUUGGAAAGAUAGUUAUUGUUUUUAAUUAUUUUUAAUUUUUCUAUAAGGAAACUAAAACUCCCAUUCGGAUGAAUAAAAAGAUAAAUGUCCAAUGUAUGUUCCAAAAUUUCAUACAAUGUUGAUUUCUGUUCCAUUAAAAUUUAUUUUCAUUUGUAGAGUCUACUUUAUGUUUUGAGCCCACAAAUGAAAGGUGUAUUAGAUUAAAUAUAUAUAGUUAAAUUCACUUUCAUCUAAUAUCUUAAGCAUUUGGAUUUAUUGAUGAUUUAAAAAUGAAAUAAUAUAUAAACCAAUUUGGAAAACUUAACAAAUAUAGUAUUAGGUUAUUUGAAGAUACGAAAUGUUUUGAAAGGUUAUGAUAAGACUUGGGAUAUUUGCAAUCCUUGCCAUGCAUGUGUGCCCUUCAUACAAAAUAUUCCUUCUCGCCCCCAAAUGAAGAAGAAGACAACAGUUUUGCCGCAGAAAGGAGAAAAGUGGGAUCUCACAAAACCCAUGCAUCGGUCAUACGGCCAGCAAUUAAUCGGUUACAUGAACUUGAAAUCGCAAUACCUAGCCAGUGACGUACACACACACAAAACCCUUGCUGCAAUUACUAGAAAAACGUCACACCUUUAAAAAGUGAAUAAAAUGUGUUCUCUUAAUUAAUUGUAUCAACACUUUGUGAAUUUACUCAAUCUUGUAUACUCGAUGCUUGAUACUAGAUUGAUCCUAGAUACUUGAUGCAUGCAUUAUGUUAUAUACUAGAUAUGCGAUAUUCGAUACUCAAUACUAGAUACUAGAUAUUCAUCCGUCUAUGCUCAAUAUUUGAUGCUCUAUGUUUUACUUAUACUAUAUAUGUUUGUCACUUAAUGUUCAAUACUUGAAUAAACACACAAAGAGUAAAAAUGUAGAAAAAAACAGAAGAAGAAGUACAAAAAGACUCAAAAGAGAGAAAAAAAAAGUUAAAAAUAGAAGAAGAAAGGAAAGUUACAAAAGGAAGAAAAGAGAAGAAAAUAAAGCAUUUAAGGUGAAUGUGUUAAUUUUAGAUAGUGAUGAGAUAAGGAGAAAGCUAAAUUUGAUUGAUUUUAGAAAAAGUAGCAAUUUUUUCAUUUGAGAUUUGAGUCUCCUAUACAAAUUUGUCCAUAGUUCGAAGGUUGAGAAGAGACAACACAAAAGGAGACUCAACUAUGAAAUUCCUUGGAUAGGCCAAAUUACAGUCACUUUGCAAUUGAAAUAGGAGAUAGAGAAAUCAUCAAUUUCCAGCAAUCUAUUUCAUCCCAAUUCCUUCAAUUCAAACAAACUAGAUCAGCCCAAGACCCCUACAUAGGCUUUUAAUCUUAUACAAAAUAUGUUGUUUAUAAACAAAUGAUAAUCAAUUCAACACAACAUGGGGAUGUAGCUCAGAUGGUAGAGCGCUCGCUUAGCAUGCGAGAGGUACGGGGAUCGAUACCCCGCAUCUCCAAAUCAUACAUUUCUCUUUUGAAUUUUAUUUCCUCAUUUUUCCUUGAUGCUAACAAACAUCCUUGACUUAAACAAACAUCCACGUGGUUUAAGAAGGGACCUUGUCCUUAUGCACAGAGGCAACAAUCCUUUGUCACAAGGCACAGUAUCCAAUUCCUCCAAUCAUCUAUCAUCCACCGUCCAUCACCUUCAUAAUCCACACAUCAUCUCCUUAACCCAUCAUCUGACGGCUGUGGUUUUCCCAUUAUGCCACAUCCACUACAGGCUCACUUCUCAAUUUUCACCCAUCAAUGAUUUUUUCCAAUCUGUAAAAUAAUGUCUUUUCUGUUCCUUGAAAACGCUUGAAAGCGAAAUCUUUUACAAUCUAAUCCAUUCCUUCUACUAAAAUAGAUCAGCAGAGAUCUAAUCCAAGAAGAAUUUCAAUACCCCAAAAGGAUUUUUUGCUGAAAGAAGCGUAUUUCUGUUCUGGGUUUUGGAAGAUCUUGCCUUAGUUUUGGAAAAUGAGUUCAUCCAAGACAGUGAGGAAACUCCAAGUGGAGUCUCCAGUGCCUGCAGAUAUAGUCAUUGCUAAUUCAGUGGAGCCUUUGCAUAUAGAUGAGAUUGCUAAAGAGCUCAAUCUUACCCCCAACCACUAUGAUCUUUAUGGCAAAUACAAGGCCAAGGUGGUUGUGAUUCAUUACGCUUUUUUUCCCCCCUUUUUUAGAUUUCCUCUUUUUCUUUUUAAGGUCUUGAGUUUUUGAGUAAUUCUGUAUUCUGGGGUUGUUUUGAUUGAAUGAUUUGGAAAAUGGAAAUACAUUUGAUCAAGCUUUGUUGUUAUCUUUUGCUUUCUUUAGGAAUGUAUAAAGUUGAAUUGGAUUGUUUGGUGUUUGGAGGAUUGAUAUGGCUGUUUGGCAAUUUGAGGCUGGAUUAAAUUAUGUGGUUUUUGGUUUUCAGGUUUUGUUGUCUGUUCUUGAUGAGGUUAAGGGAUCUAGGGAUGGAUAUUAUGUUGUGGUUGGGGGAAUUACUCCUACUCCCCUUGGAGAAGGUAAAUCCACUACUACUGUUGGACUCUGUCAAGCUCUUGGUGCUUUUCUUGACAAAAAGGUAGUUUCCUUUUUCUUGAGUCAUCAUAAUUGUAGUCUUUUUUACUGACUAUUUCAUUUUUGGUUUUUGAAAAUUUAAUGCUUGCCAUUUCUCUUGGGAUGGUUUUUACUAUUCUUGAAUUUUUUUUUGGUAUUCUCAGUCAAAUUUUAGAAACAAAAAAGUGUCUUUAAAAACUACUUUGAUUUUGCAUCUCUGAUUGAAAUGAAACAUUGUAGUUUUUAUUUGCAACAAACGAGAUGAAAAAGGGACACUUUGAAAGCAACAGUGCUUUACGUGCUUUAGAGAUUUUUUUUUCCCUUUUUCUGGAUAAGAAACAAUUUCAUUGAAAAGAUAUUUCCAAUUGAAACUUCGGAAAAUUUUUGGUUCAAAUCAAACUCUUGAAGUCAAGAAGAAUGCAUGCUUUCAAAUUCAAUUCAUCUUUGUAUGUAUUUUUUAUCCAUAAUUCAACUUGUGCCUAUUUAAAUAUACGUAAAAUUUUCUGCGUGUGCAAGUGACUUACAAAUAUAUUUGUACUCUCUAUUCCCAGCUGAAAUGCUUACCUUAGUAAUUGAAUGACUCUUUUAUUGUUAGCCUCAACCCACUUCAAGAACAAUUCUUGAGUUUUUGGAGGAUGAGAUGCAUUAUUUUUGUUCAUUUGAAUCCUUUUCUAUUUCCAGUUUUGAUGAGGAAAAAGGGAUCUUAUAUCAUGUUUUGUUAGAACCUGUGAAUCUAUUCUCAUUAUAUUAUGGCUUUUAAAAUCAUGGUUUCCUUUCUUUUAACUUUUUCUAGGUUUUAUUGAUCAGCAAAUUAAAUAAGUGUGCUAGUUGCGAUUAAUCAUGAUUAUACUUGGAUCUAUUUUUACAGCAUGAUCACUUGCCUAGGUUGAUUUCAGGUGGUCACCUGCCUUCGCCAGCCAUCACAAGGACCGACAUUUGGAAUCAAGGGUGGUGCAGCUGGAGGCGGUUACAGUCAAGUGAUUCCAAUGGAUGAAUUUAAUCUUCAUCUAACAGGAGAUAUUCAUGCUAUAACAGCGGCCAACAAUCUCUUAGCUGCUGCUAUUGAUACCCGAAUUUUUCAUGAGGCAUCACAGUCGGAUAAGGCUCUUUUUAAUCGGCUUUGCCCGACAAACAAAGAAGGAAAACGAAGCUUUAACGAUAUCAUGUUCAGACGUCUGAAGAAACUUGAGAUCACCAAGACAAGACCUGAAGAUCUGACACCGGAAGAAAUUAAAAAGUUCGCCAGGCUUGAUAUUGAUCCAGAUUCUAUUACCUGGAGAAGAGUAAUGGAUGUAAACGAUCGGUUCUUAAGGAAAAUUUCUAUCGGUCAGGGUCCCGACGAGAAAGGAAUGGUAAGAGAAACUGGAUUUGAUAUUUCAGUUGCCAGUGAAAUAAUGGCAGUUUUGGCCCUUACAACAUCCCUGGCUGAUAUGAGAGAAAGGCUUGGAAAAAUGGUCAUUGGAAACAGUAAGGCUGGUGACCCUAUAACUGCUGAUGAUCUUGGUCUUGGUGGUGCUUUGACAGUGCUGAUGAAGGAUGCUAUUAACCCAACAUUAAUGCAGACUCUUGAGGGAACUCCUGUUCUCGUCCAUGCUGGUCCUUUUGCAAAUAUCGCCCAUGGUAAUUCCUCUAUAGUGGCUGAUAAGAUUGCCCUGAAGUUGGUUGGACCUGGUGGGUUUGUAGUUACGGAAGCAGGUUUCGGGGCUGAUAUUGGUGCCGAGAAAUUUAUGAACAUAAAAUGUCGCUAUAGCGGUUUAACUCCCCAAUGUGCUGUAAUUGUGGCGACAAUAAGAGCAUUGAAAAUGCAUGGGGGUGGGCCUGAAGUUGUUGCUGGGCGACCUCUUGACCAUGCCUAUUUAAAUGAAAAUGUUGGUCUUGUUGAAGCUGGGUGUGUUAAUUUGGCCAGGCAUAUUGCUAACACAAAGGAUUAUGGUGUGAAUGUUGUUGUUGCUGUCAACAAGUUUGCCACAGAUACUGAAGCAGAGAUGAAUGCAGUUCGAAAUGCUGCUUUGGCUGCUGGCGCAUAUGAUGCUGUUAUUUGUACUCAUCAUGCUCAUGGUGGAAAAGGAGCGGUAAGCUACUUGAUGCUGAUAAAAUUAACUCUUACACAACCAAUCCAGUAAAACAACUCAACUUUUAGUAUCAUAAACAGAAGAACACUAUUAAUGUCAAGAUCAAUGAAAUAUAUGGAAAUAUUCUGGGCGUUUGGCCCACUGGUAGUAGUUAAUAAGUUUGGAGUUUAUAUUUGGCCCACUGGUAGUAGUUAAUAAGUUUGGAGUUUAUAUUUCAUAGCUAUGUUUGUGUUCGGGGAGUAGUGUUGUAAAAUAGAGUUUUUUGAUGAUUGUGAAAAGUAGAUUACAAGAGGAAGAUGAAGUUACUCGAAAAAUGUGGAAAGUAAAGGUAGAAGAGAAGAUGAAGUUCUUCAAUAAAUGUAAAAAAGUAAAAAAAUGAUAGAAAGAUGAUGUUACCCGAUAAUAUGCAAACUAUUGAAGUUGCGUUGUUUACACCAACUUAAAAAGUAAAAGUUGGUGGGCCAAAUGGCACAUAAAAGUAUAUUUUGGUCAAUAUGCUUGCAGAAAAUGGUAUUUUUCGUGUUCAUGCGUAUUAUUAUCUUGUGUACACUUCUAUGCUUUUUAAAGUUACCAAAUCCUAUAGGAAAAGGUAGAAUAAAGAGAGAAUCAAUUUCUAAUAGUAUGAGCUACGAACAUUUUCAUAAUCCAAGCCCCUAAAAUUUUUUCUUUCGCAUCACAUUCCCACAAAUUGAUCAACUUUAAUAAACUAUAAUAAACAUCAAGAUGGUGUCUUUGAUGAUAAAUGAUGAUUUUUUUCUUUGAUUGCGCAUUAAACUUCCACAUGAUCUUCAAUUCUUCAGGUUGACCUUGGCAUCGCAGUUCAAAAAGCAUGUGAGAAUGUAACUCAGCCAUUGAAAUUCUUAUAUCCAUUGGAUAUAAGUAUUAAAGACAAAAUAGAAGGAAUAGCCAAGUCCUAUGGAGCUAGUGGGGUGGAAUAUUCAGAACAGGUGAGCUCUUGUUGCAACUUUCUAUUGUUCGCCGAAAAAUUCAUUUUAUUUGCAUUAGCUUUAUAUAAAAGGAUUGAUUCAAUGAUGUCAUAGAUUCUUGUUUCUUCAAUUUGAAAUAAUCAUCAUAUUUAUAUAAGAAAUCUGGGGUCUAGAAAGGGUUUACCUUCUGACUAAUGUUGAUCCAGAAAGAGGAAAUUUUAACAGUUCUCUCUCUCCGGUGAGUUAGUUUCUGUAAGGAUUUGAAGAAAACCUUCCCUCAUUAGCUUAAACUUUUGGGUUGAUUAGUGAUCCCACAAUCACUGUUUUACUCAUGAACAUAUAACUUUCACUAAAAUCACUAUUUUGAAAACACUCUCAAACGAACAUAGCCUAAACGAUGAAUAGUUAUUAGUUCUAAUUGUAAAGCUCGAGUAUGGUGGUGUCCUGGCCUAACGAAAAUGAAAAAGAAAACUUAAAAGAUCCACAAUAAAUUAUUUAAAUCCCUAGCAUUUCCUACUACUGCAGGUGAGAAUGCAUUUGUUUUAUAUGAAAAGAGUUUUUAUAAAAGUAUUGAUAGGAAACUAAAAAAUGUUUAUUGUUUAAAUCGACAGGCUGAGAAACAGAUUGAGAUGUACAGCAGGCAAGGUUUUUCGAAUCUACCGAUCUGUAUGGCAAAAACGCAAUACUCCUUCUCACACAAUGCUAAAGAAAAGGGAGCCCCAAGUGGAUUCAAGUUACCGAUAAGGGAUGUGAGGGCUAGCAUUGGUGCUGGCUUCAUCUACCCUUUGGUGGGAACCAUGAGUACAAUGCCAGGGCUUCCUACAAGACCUUGCUUUUACGAUAUCGAUCUUGACACCGCUACCGGGAAGGUAAUUGGCCUUUCUUGAAGCUGGAAAAGGAGGUUUCUAAAACAAGCAGCAAUUCUCAAACACUUUGGAACAGCAGCUGUCUCAAAAGUUCCUAUCCGAGUGCAUCCUUUUUCUUCUUAACUAUUAAUGUUCUGAGCUUUCCUAUAAUGCAGCCUUUGCUGAGCUUUGAACAGUAUGAAGUUAUAUUUCUUAAUAAAAUGGAAAAAAUGGUUGUAAAGAUUUAUGUUCUUCUUCUUACUCAUAUUUUGCCUUCCUUUGCUUUGGUAUCUUUGUUUUCAUGCUUCCUUAAAGUGGAAAAGAAGGAAAAUGGAAGAAGAAAAAGGGAGUGAUUACCACUGGUGGGUUCCACUACUUAUUCUCUUCUAAAACUUUCUUAUUUUUGAUUUAGAAUUAUUUUACAAUCAAUUUAGAGAAUCAAAUGAGAAUGUUUUUAAAAAUAUUAUUUUGGGUUAGAUGAUUCUAGGUGUGUUUUAAAUAUAGGAAUAUAGUUUUGAAGCUUUCAAAAACUUCAAAAUUAAUCCAAUAAGUUAAGUUAGGCUGACUAAUAUUUUUUUAAAAUUUUCGAAUGAAAGAUUAAUAAAUAAAUUUUUUUCUUUCAGAAAGUCUAAUAACAUAAUGACAAUAGAUAUUAUCUUUAAGAUAAGAUAAUAGAGAUUAAUUUAACGAUUUGAUUGAAAGCAUGAACACUAAAUCUAAUUCAAUACAACUUUAACUCAAACAGACAAAGUAUAUACUCAAAUAGACAUAAAACUUAUAACAUAAUAUUAUCAAUUAAGAAAGUCUGAUAUUUUAACCUCUACCAUGUUGAAACUAAAAGAAAAAGAGAAAAAAAAAAAAAAAAAGAAAAUCGAAACAUUUUUUUAAAAAAGAGAAAACAGGAACUUAAAGAAGUCAUGAAGUAUAGGAAAAUUAUCACGAAUACCCACAAAUAACAAAUGGUAAUGAGAAGUAAUUGGAAAGUUUUGUGCUUCAUGACAAAUAACGACAAAUACCCACAAAUAACAAAGUUUUGCGUAUAUACAUAUAUGCCUGUCCAUCUAUUACUUUACAUAAUGACAUGCUUUACUAUCUUGUAGUUUGAUGAUACUUUGAUAGUAUCAUGCAUUUACUUUUAUAUUUAUUACUAGUUAUCAAAUAACUUAUAGUUUAAGAAGUGUAUCUUUUAUAUUUGUGAAGUAUUUGAACCACCUUACACGCACUUAAACCAAUCUCACAUAAUAAUCUAUUUGAUCCUACGUUAAAUCAAAAAAACUUAUAAGAAAAGAAGUGUGUUAAAUUUUUGAACAAAUGCUUAUCAUAUGUGUUCCUAAUAUAUAUACAUUAUUGAUCCAAAAAACAAUUUCCUCGUUGAUUCCAAAAACCACACCAACAAUUUUUUGAUUUGAAAUUCAAACUUCCAUUUGAAAUACAAACUUCCAUCAAUGGUAUCUUUUCAUACAAAUUAAACUAACAAAAUUCUUUCAAUAUCACAAAAAAUUAAACUAACAAAGUUCUAUCACAUGGUGUGUGACUUUAGUCUAUACAUUUCAUACUUCGACUAAUUUCACAAGAUAACUUGUUUAUAAUUUAUAAUUAAGUUACCUCGGUCGAAUGAACUCUUUUGUUUUUAACCAUUUAUUGAGUCUCUUUUCACACUAGAGGAGUCUUUGCUAUAAGAAAGUUAUGAGGUUCAUUAAUCAUUAUGUGAUCGACCAUUGGAGCACAUCUAGACAAAUUAGAACUGUUAAAUACCAAGUCCAACAUGAAUAUUGCUACUUCUAUUGACAACAAUUAGAACAGUUAUACUCAAUAAAUUUCAAGAAGACAACACUGAAGCAUAGUUCUGCUGGAUCCUCAAUUGGAUUGCUCAUAUGAAAAAUUCAGUCAAAAUCAACAUUAUAUGAUACAGUACAGUAGUACACAAAUUUUGUUACUAAAAUAUCAAUUCAAUUGAUAAAUACACAGGAAAUUGACAAUCCAAGCCGACUUUGAAAACUGCCCGAGUGAGAAUCGAAUUAAACCAAGAGAAUAAGAACAGCAAUUUAAAGGUGGCCUGUUAAGCAAUCCAAACAUCUGAAACCGGAAAGUACAACAGAUUGGGUGAGAGGCUAUAAGGAAAUUCCUGUUAAUCAUCUAUGCUAACUAAUAAGUCAUGAAGGAUUUUCUAAGGCACCCCUGGGGUCGGGAGAUAAAACCGAUGAAGAUAAAUUGCAUCUAAUUUACAAGAAUACAAACUGGCAGGGUCAUGCCACUCGGUAAAUCAUAGGGCAGUGUUGGGAUUGUUUCCAGCAAGAAUUAGAGAGAUCUCAAGCCCUCGACUGAAAGCCUGGUUGAACAUAAGACGAGUUUGGAAUGUUGAUACAAAUGGAAACCAUGAAAGGAAUGCAAUGGGAAUAAAGACGAGCAUCCCCAUCCCAGCAUCAUAUAGCCGAGCAAUUGAGCGAAUGGAUUUCCAGAGUCCCAGUCUCUUUAUCAAAGGUUUCCAAGCUGCUGCAAUCUGAAAAAGUGAAUAUUCUAUGUCAGGACAGGAUUCUAAAAUUUAACAAAGCUGGGGGAAAAGUCAAUAUCUUUUGAUUCCAUCCAAUUCCUGACCAUCAGAAUGAACAUAGAAGUGUACACACAUAUAUAUAGAGUAAUAAAACAAAAACUAAGAUCAUAUUUACUAAAAUGAUUAGAUACUUUUGUUAAAAGCAUUCCCAAACACACCUAAAAGAUCAUUUUGUUAUUGACAACGGGCAAAACUAAAAUAGUCUUGACAAAGGACGUGACCGGGGUAUGACAUUCACUAUUUUAUUUUUUGGUACCCAGUUAUACUCUCAAAUCAACCAAGAUAAAUGUGGUAGUAAGACAACAGGACAACUAGAUUUGGGAACUCACAGAAAGAAUGCCCCAUCCAGUAGGUAGGAAUGCCAAGAUGCAAGCAAAUACAUCAGGCAGUGACAAAUCUGUAAUAGCAACCGCAACUGCCAGGCCAGCCAGCGUCAAAAAGAAAGAAAGACCUUGGAUAAAUCGCAACAAAAGCUGGAAAUUGACAGUCAUCUUCUGGCUGAAGGUAAACACCUGCCAAACCGAGAGAUGCGGAAGAUCAAAUGACUAUCAUACAUACAAAUUGGUAAACAUGUACUAUUCAUAACUUUGAUAUUGAAUUGCACAUACCUUGAAAAGAACGAUAAGCCCAGCUAACACGAUCCAGGAGAACCCAUAUACCUAAAAAGUUGCCAAUUUUGGAGUUUACAAGUUGAUCAGAAAGAAAAUAUGGAAAGGCUAUAAAAUAAUCUGAAAUGAUUAUCAAGGCUUUUUAAAACAUGAAACUUAUUUAGAAGCUGCCAUUCGUAAAACUAUUUGAUGGCUAAAAAAUAUAAAAAAAUUAAAACAGCUGCUCAUAAAAAACAUAUAAACAAAACUUGGAUAUUUUGAAAAUUUUCUUCCAAUAUUGGUAAAUGUAAGUGAAAAAACAGGGAAAAAAAGUUCAAUAGAGAAACCAUACCGACAAUGAUGUGUUUGAUCCCUGCACAUGGAGCUUAUAAACAAUUCCGUAUUGAAAAAUAAAAAAUCUUAGAUUUAAAAUAGUCUCUGCUAUCCGGCCUUCAAAGGUUUUUAUGUGCGCCUGCAAAAGGAAUUUCUAUUUAGACUAGAAAAGAACGAGUAUAUCUAAUAUAUAGAAGUUUUUCUACAUCUGAUUAUCUAAUUACCUAAAUUUAACAGUCUUUACACAAUACAGAUUUUAACUUUUUCACUGACUGAAAGUAAAAAAAUUAAGAAUAAAGAACUAGGACCCAAAUUGCCGGUUCCAUAACACUGUACACCACAGAUGUAACGAGCACUACAUUAAAAAUUUAUAUACAAGGAAAAACAAAGAAAAAUAAUAAAAACUUGAAUUACCAGUUCCGAGUCCCACCAUGCUUCCCAACUUUCUUCACCCUUAACACCAAUUCCACCACGGUAAAAAAGCCAAUUGGUCCAUUCCCUGAAAUCCUCCACUGUCCUGAAAGGAAAUAUAGAUAAUCAGAAAUGGUUUUAAUUAGGGCUUUAGUGAUGUCCCGUUUCCAUGCUAAAGGGAAUAGAUAAUAAGAAAUGGUUUUAAUUAGGGCUUUAGUGAUGUCCCGUUUCCAUGCUAAAGGGAAUAGAUCUUUAAGGUGCCCAGAUUUUUGUUUUGCUGUAGAUUAUAGUCAAAAUCAACAAAGGAAAAUAUGUUGUGGCAAAGAUGACUUACUUUUGCCACUCAAACCCAGACGGAUUGAACAGAUAGGGAGCAAAAAGCCAAGAUAUUGCCAUGAACCAACUGCUAAGAGUUACAAGUAUGUAUGCUAAUGAACCACCUGAACUAUAUCCGUAGGCCAUGUAUACAACCAACAGAAGCACAACUUCCAAUCUGAAAACACAAUAAUGUAUUUAUUAAAAUUGUAAAAAUAAAAGAUAGCGUCUAUAGUACUGCUCAAAGCUUGAAAAAGGAGUAAUUUACGUAAUCAGCAGAGUGCAAAUAAGACAUAAAAUCUCUCAUGUGAAAUAGGAAAGAAUGGCACAAACCCUUUAACAAAAUGGCUGCGGGAGUACAGUCGGUAAUUUUCAGAGAAUUUGAUAUGGCGAACCACAAAUCCCCUUCCAGUUGCAUGAUACUGUAUAGAAGUAGAGUUUUUAAAAUACUACAAGGUCUCUUGAAAAAUGACAAGUGAGCAGAAAAUAUAGCAGAACAAACCUUCGCACCACCAUGAAGAAUUGUUCGGCCAAAAUAGUGAGUUUUUGUGCCAAGAGAGAAGGUGAAGAAGACAGAACAAAGCUGAAGCUGCAUGGUUAUGAAGCUUACAAUAGCCUGCAACCAGGAUCCAGAGUAAUAAAUGAGACGAAAACAAAAAGAUUGCUGGAGAAAAAUAUAACUAAACAAUGAUCUCAUUGCUAAGACUAUAGCUUUACUGGCAUUAAGCAUAUAUGAUAACCUCGAGGUUAGAGGUUCAAUCCCCCCACACCUCAAUCAUCAAAGAAGAAAAGGAAAAAAAGGACUGUUUGAACUUGCUCUUGCAUAUGACAAGCAUGGAUGCUUCAUUGACCAAACAGCAUUUGUGGUUAAUUUUGAAGCUAAUCUUUCAGAUGUGAGAGAGAGAGAGGGAGAGACCAACAAUGAUAGCAGUUCAUGAUCGUACAGGAGCAGUCAACUGUUUUGCAUACAAAAAAUGAGGUAUAUAUUUGAAUAGUAGCAUUUACCCUGAAGAAACCUUGCUCCAAUAUGAAUCCCAAGAUCAUAGGCACGGCAGUGAAGAUACCAAUUUGGAUGAGAAACUGUGUAUUCAAUGCAGCUGACAAUGCAGUAUUAUCUGUAAUAUUAGCUCUAUCUUCAAUGGUCUCACCAACUCCAGAUAGUGCCUGAAACAAAACCACGCAUCAGUUUACACCACAUUUUUUACUGGGAAAAAGAAGGAAACAUGUUAAUACAUAAAUAUUUAAACUAGUCGCAAAUAGGAGUGCAAGUUGAAGCCCAAAAAACCAGAAAGACCUAGUCCAAUUUGCAAAAAUUGGUCCCAGCAUCAAUUUGGUAAACAAGCAGAGAAAACGAGUACCUCAAAUCAGAAAUAAAUAAAAAAAUAUUAAUUAAAGAGCAUUAACAAGGUACACAUUGAAGCCCACUACUUGACUAACUGCACAGGAGUCUACCUUUAACUGUACCAAUCAAAUAGUUUUAGUGCCUAUGAGAGUUGAAGAAGACUUGGGACUCGUUUGGUUGGAGGUUUUAUGAGGAGGGAAUGAAUUUGGGCAGUUAAAGCCCACGUUUGUUUGAUGAGCUUUGUCCAUUUUCCUGGGAUAUCAUUUUCCCAGGCAUCUUUAUUACUAUCCGCAGUUGGAUUUUCUUUACCUUGCAAAAUGGUGGAAUUCUUACAAUCCUUUCCCUCGUGCAAACUUCUUUUUAUUAUAUUAUUCUUAUUUUAACUUUUUCUCUUACUUGCCAUUUCCUUAUUUUAUAUUUUUUGAUAAUAUAAACUUUACAAAAAUAUAUUUUCUUAUAUUAUUUAAUUAAAAUUAAAAUUAGAAUAUAAUUAAUUCGAUAUUCUAUUAAAUAUAUUAAUUAGUUAGUUUUAAUUAUAAACUAUUCAACUUUCAAAUAUUUACAUUUAAUAUUAUAAUAGAUUCUUAAUUAUAUUUUAUCAAUAUAUUGAAUGAUAUUUAUUCUCUAAUGAAUCAAUUUAUUACAAUUAUAUAAGAUUGUCAAACUUAAUUUCAUUAAUUAAAUACAAAAUAAAUAAAAUUUCAUAAAAUCCUGAAUCCUGAUAACAUUCUCAUGUACAACCCAACACUGUUGGGUUAUCUUUGAUUCCCCCACAUUAUAUAUCCAGACAUCUAAUAUUCGCCGACAUUUAUAAAACCUUGACCAAAUCACCCCUCAAGACUUUAUAUUCUAGAGGCACAGGUUACUUCCAAACUGUUCGUGAAAUUCAUGGAUGAUGGUCAUCAGGACAAUUAUAAAUUUACAUCAUACUACAAAGCAACUAACUUCUACCCAAGAAAACUGAACCUUAUAUAAAACAUAAUUGCACAAGAUAAAACUUACCAAAUAUGCUUUUCCAUAGAGAAAAAUGUACACAGUCAGCACCGUUAACUGCAGAAGAUUAUAAAUAAAGAAAAUAUAUCAGAUGUCUUAAAAUUUAUGAUAACAAAAUUAUGAGGCUGGACUUCAACUACUCGUUAAGAUACAGUCUUGUUCUAUAAACAGUAAAAGGUCCUCAGUAAAAAUUAUUUUGUUCAAUUGUUCUUGUUAAAAUAUUGCAACAAAUUUUACUUUGAUGGGAACAUUGUUUUGUUUCUUUUAUUAAAAAAGGACCCUCAAUAUUUUUCCUAAGAUGAGUAAACAUACAUAGCAGGAUAUGUCAUAAGUUAAUACAAAUUGGAAUCAGUUGGUAUCUAAACUUAAAGUAGGAAAUAGGAAUAAUCAAGAUAUUCUAUAAUACAUCAGGGACGUCCAGAUGUCAUUAGCUAAACAUACUCAAGUUUAAAAUAGCAAGGAAAAGCAAAAACAAGAUUGAAUUCUAAUUUUGGGGAAUGACAAACAGCAAGACUUAGCAAACCACAAUUUCUUUUUCCAGAUAAACAAAUAAAAAAUAUCUCUACUAGCGGGAAAUUCAAACUCUCUCUCCUGUUCAAUAGGUUCUAACGAGCUUAGAAAAUGAGUAAUCAUUGCUUAAUAAUGUACAUGUGACACGUACCAUAGUGCAAAAGUAGUAGCCAACAGUGGUGAAAUAGAAUGACAUCAUCCGGAAAAAAUCAAACAGUUGGCCAAGCCUAUAUACAUCACGGCUAAGAACCUGUUCUCCAUUACCACCAGCAACCUUUCCUUCGAAAAGAGCAAUCUGAUUGAGACCAACAUCUCGCCCUUUACCGACCUGACAUAACUCAGAACAGUUUUAGUAAGUUCACCAUGAACUGAUACUGCAGUAUUAGAAAAUUAAAUGAUGGAAAAUUCCACCUGAAUAUACUCAUGAUGAGUAACGUUCCCUUGCCUUAAUGUUGUGUUAAAUCCUUCAAUACAGAAAAGUACUCAGGUAAAUGGAGAGAUCUUAUGCCUCAUAAAGAGCAAUGAAAAAUUCAUACCAGUAACGAUCAAGAAAUGAAAUAGUGCAUACAAUAGUUCAGUGUUUGUUAUUCUCUUUUAUUAAAGAUGUUACAAGUGGAACACAAAAGGCAAGAAAUAGAUCGUGGUUGUUAAAGACUAUUAUUGGAAUUUCUUUGCAUGACUCUUCAUCUUAUUGAAUCAAUCAAGGUUGGUUUUUUGUUUAGAAAGAAACCAACGGAUCUACAAUAAUCCUCUUUAUUAAGAUAGGUUCGUUGUGGCUCGUCUAAGACACUGACAAGACAAUGUGCCAAUUUCCAAAAAAGUAGGACAACACGUUGAGGACACUUAUCUUUUCCAAAAAUAAAUAUAAGUUGUGCAUACAAGCAAAUAGUGAAAUAUUACUUUUAAACAUCAAAAUAAUAACCAUAAAAUUCAUGAAAAAAAAAGAAGAUUUAACAUCCUAAUUUUAUUGCCACAAAGGUUCCGGUAGUCAUUUUUUGAUUAAUUUCAAUAUGAUUAGAAGAUGGCUCUGCAAUUCUAAUUUUUUAAAAACAUGUAACUACAGUAAUACAAAAGAAAGAAAGAUUUAAUAAAAGGACCAAAAAACGUAAAAGAAGAAAAACGAAGAAAAUUGAAGCAAAACAUAAAAGAAGAGAAAUGGAAAAAAAGAAAGAUAAAACGGAAGUUAAGAAAAGUAAAGAUGGGGAAAACAUAGAGAAACGAGAAGAAAAAAGAAGUGGGAGGAAAAGAAACCAAAGUUGCCAGCAGUGGUAAUUUGACACCAACAUUUGGCCACGUUAGGAGCGUCGGUGAUUUAUAGCACUCUCUUGUUGAGUUCGAAACUUUUGAUCAUUAGUUUCGUUUCUAAUUAAAAAAAAUUUAAACAUUUUGCCACCUCGCAUGGAUUCAACAAAACCAUUAAUCAAGGGGCAUAGUCAAGCAUUUUCCAAAUGUUAGGAACUUGAUUGGUCAAUUUUGACACCGAGGGAGUAAUAUGGCAAAAAAAUUCAAAGCCUUGAGAACAAAAAAAUGUAAUUUAACCAAGAAAUUAUAAGAUAUAACAAACAAAUGCAGUUGUUUGAACCUUCAACAAAUAUAAAAUUGAACAUCGUUAGAAAAAUAAUACAUAACAAUAGAGUUCCAUAAACUGUCUGUCAUUGAGUAACGAAGAAUUUUUUUGCAUUUCUUUUCUGAAGAAAAAAACAAACGGAAGCAACUAGUGACAAUCAAUUACAAUUAUCAGAUAUAAUUACUUGCUCUGACUAGGGAAACAAAUAGUUCAAAAUGACUUUUGGCAAUCAAGUGACAUUCAAUAGUCUCUUCAAUGAUUUUGGAUGAUCAAAAAACAUUUAUGGUCUUUAAGGUUUGGCCUUUUGGAUUUAGCUUCCAUUUGGUCCUAGAUUUCAAAAUGUUACAUCUUUACUCCAGAGGUUUAAGCUUUGUUUCAAUUUAGUCCUUAGGUUUCAAAACUUACACUUUUAACCUAGAUUUUCACUAAAUACUCACUAUCGAACCCUCACUUCCAGCCUUUGGUGUCAAUGUGCAUUAACAAAUUGAAAAUCAUUAUGAAAUGAGAUUUUGAAUAUAAUUCUAAAGUUAGGAAACAAUAGUGAAUUAAUCAAUUAUAAUUCUCUUAAGUUAGUUAAUAGACAUUCAAACUAAAGAUUAAAAGUGGGUAUUCAGCAUAAAAACCAAAAGGUAAAAAUCAUAAUUCUUUACCAAAUUGAAACAAGAGUAAAUUAAACAUUUUUUAACUUGGGGGACAUUUAGGACAAGAACUAUCCCACGACUAUAACAACC
Molecule: long non-coding RNA, 97004 nt
Filed under: Cucumis sativus (cucumber)
Lineage: Eukaryota; Viridiplantae; Streptophyta; Magnoliopsida; Cucurbitales; Cucurbitaceae
Description: long non-coding RNA (CSAT_LNC000415)
Rfam family: tRNA (bases 82692-82764)
Source: RNAcentral